Molecule: long non-coding RNA, 103638 nt
Filed under: Lynx pardinus (Iberian lynx)
Lineage: Eukaryota; Metazoa; Chordata; Mammalia; Carnivora; Felidae
Rfam family: tRNA (bases 88806-88878)
Source: RNAcentral
CUCAGACCCACGAGGUAAGGGCUGCUAUUCUGAUUUUACACACGGGAGUCUUGAGGCUCAGGGCGUUUGGCGAGUGGCAGGGCCCAGGCACUGAAUUCUUUGGUUGGUUUGACUGCAAAGCGCAUUCUGAUUUCCUUGCUUUUGCUCAUCUGAGGCCUGGAAAACUGCCCUCGAGCUCAUAGCUUUGCCUCCAAACACUCCAUGACCUUUCCCACGGCUUUCACUCCUUCCUUCUUGCACGGGACCUUUCGCAGUUGUUUGGUUAACAAUUCGGUCGCGUUACUCUCCCAUAUCAGGCUUUGAGCUGUAGAGCAACUUUCCCAGGACCGCGCGUGAAAUCAGAACUGAAGUAACAUCAUUGCCUCACUGAUGGGGAUGGGGGUGGGGUGGGGGGCAGAAAGCAAACGCUGGGACCUGGGUCCAAGCCAACACUUGUGGCAUUUGUCUUACCACGUGGCACGUCCAGCUGCGUCAUAGAAGGUGGCGGCCACGUACUCGUCUUUCUUCACAAACCUCUGUCCAGACCCUGCUGUGUGCCGGGUACCGUACGAGGCCUUGCAAAGGCCGUAAUGAAAAAGGCAUAGCUCCUGCUUUCCAGAAGGCCACAGACUGGCAGAAAGGCUCUCUUAACCUCAACGUUUUGCUAGCCAUGGUUCUGAAGCUGAGGACUCAAUCAGGACUCAGAGCAAAUUAGGAAAUGGAGGUGAUGUUAUUUCUGAAGCUCAUCGGAAUUCCUGCUUGCCCGAACCUUGUUAUCGAUUAGGGUCCUUGGUUGGGUGUCAUCACCGGCAUCCUUGGAUUCAUAGCUGACCCUGGCCAAUUUUGCAUGACCCUCUACCUUAGCAGAUAGAAGUACCAUUUUUCAAGAUUGACAUGAAAAAAACCCCAAAAAACCCAAACAAGUUCCGCCCUGGGUCCCCACCCCCUACCUGGCCGCAGCGCUUUGUAAAAUCACUGAUUGUUUUAACACCCUCGAGAAGCCAGCAGGGCAAGAAGGCCAGAAUUAUGCCCAGCCAACACAGGAAUGGAGCACAGCUCUCUGGGAGUGUUUCCAUGGUAACAGUGAUAACAGCUUAUAUUUAUAGACCUUCUAUCUCCAAGGAGCUCAAAGCACUUCAGACGCAUUAUCUUCUGCAGAAGAGAGAGAGAGAAGGACAGAGGGACGGAGAGAGGGAGGAAGGGAGAAUGAGAGGAAGAAGGAGGAGGAGAAGGAAGGGAGAGAGGGAGGGAGAGAGGGAGGAAGGGAAGCAGGGAGGGAGGGAGAGCAUGAGCGGGAGACGGCAGAGGCGGGACAGAAGGACCGGGCGUGCUAUUAUACGCAUCUCACAGAUGGCACAGAAUGGGGGCCUCAGUGACCCAAGGUGGCAUGGGGAACCAGUGGCAGAUGGUGGACUGGAUGGACUGGAGGGACCCCUGGAGCCCUCACUGCUGGCCUCGGGCAGAUGUUAGGGCUGAGCUGCCGAGUCCUAGCAUCUAGCUCUGUUCAGUGUCAUCCGGGUGAUCAGAUAACUCCAGGGACGUCAGAGGCAGUUUGGCUCAACUAUUGUUGACAUGAAACACAGGGGCGAUUCUUCUAUGGAGAUUUGAAGAUAAUGUUCAGGGCCCUCAUGGCCACAUAGUCACCAGACAAUCCCAGACGGUAUUCCCAGGAACGAGAGGCUUCGAUGUUCUGAUAACCUCAGACAAAAAGGACGGCACACACAUAUAGAGGGUCUACACCCAUUGAUGGAAGUGGUUCUUUAAACCCAUUUCACAGUGCCCCUAGGACCGUCGGAGGGAAAGCAUCUCGAACCAUCCGCCCUGAGACACACACCUGUCCCAUUAGAUGUGAGAGGUGGGGUAGAUUUAUUUGAAGGCUACAGCCUGGGAACUUGAAAAUGAGUUCUGUGAAUCCCCGAUCUGCCAUUUUUUUUUUCUCUUUUUGGUGUUGUUUACAGAACACUUUGUAUGGGUAAAGCCACAGCCUCUGUAGAGGCGUAAACCCUGAGGUGGGUCGCAGCGAUCUCGAACUCCUUCAUCCGGGAGUCAUUUCCGUCCUCAUUCCUUUUUAGUCGGAGUUUACCGACCCUGGUCCCGGCGUCUCACCCUCCUAGACCUUCUGUCCCUCUGCCCCCCGCCCGCCAACCUCUUCACUCCCCAUUUGGUCUUUAGAAAAUAGGAUCUAUCUUCUCUUCUGCAAAGACCUGUGAUCUGCAGAAGAUUCAGCCAACACUUGGCAGCCCUGAGAGGUAAGGUCUAUCCCCUGUGGGUCCUCAGGGUCCUUCCCGAACAAUCAUGCUGGUUCCUACAUCGCUUCUUGUCCACCUUCACGGGCUUCAGGGGCCCCCCCUGGGUUAAGGGGUUGUAGUUUGGUAACUCGAGUGGUUGAGCCUCAGGAAGGUUUAAAAUGUUUGAUUUACAGGGGUGUCCGGGUGACCCUUCGGGCCCCUAGCUUUGUGCCAUAGGCACUCGGUAUUUGUAAAUGAGUGACAGUUGUGUGGCUCCACCCUCCUUCCCUCCCUCUGUCCUCACACCUUUUUCUUGGCUCCCUAUUCGUCUUCCUUGAGGGUCCCGCGCGUCCUGGCCCCUCCGGCUGGUUGCCAUGUAGCAUUUUAUCUUUCCCCGUCCCAGCCCUUAACCACACAGCAGGGCGUUUGCUUAUGCUUACGAAUUCCUGGACGUCUUCUGUCUAGUGUCUGUUGUAUGUAGAAAACAGUAUUUUGAAGGUUUACGCUUUGGGUUAAAAAAUAAUAUUCUACUUAUUAAAGUUAAAAUUAGAAAAAUAUAGUUUAUUUUUGCUCAGCUUACAGAUGUAAUUGUUUUAUUUCUUAGUCUAACAGAGCUUAGCAAUCAUUCCUAAAGGGCCUACGAAUGAAGUGCGGUAAUUACCUCUUAACAUGCUGAGCCGUAAUUCCAAAUUUUAUGUACACAUUCAUAUACGCAUGUACAUAUAUACAGCACACACACGUAUAUAUGCAUAUCUAUUUGAAUUAUCAGACAAAGCUUUCCGGAGUACUUUCAUACUUACAUACAUUUGAGCCCUUAAAUUUAUAAAUACAAGGUUGCAGAGUUGUCUUAUAUGUUCCAAUAAAUUUAGUAAGAAUUCAACUUAAAAUCGUAAAACUCCGCAUUCGUUACUCAAUUGUAUUUUAAAGUGGCAUUAUGAGGCGACCAUUCUAAUUUGCCCAAUUCUCUUAAAAAUUACAAAUACACAAAACAGAAAAUAUAUACGAUUUUCUCUUUAACAUGGGCUAUAAAAUUCUAUGGUUUGGCUCUCUCACGUCUUUCCAGGCUUCAUUCUCAAUCUUCCUGAUGUUAAGAAACACAUACCUGGGGCACCUGGUUGGUCACCCGGGUCUGCCUCUGGAUGUUGGCUUGGGUUCGUGAGUUCGAACCCCGCAUUGGGCUCUGCACUUGACAGUGUGGAGCCUGCCUGGGAUUCUCUCUCUCCCUCUCUCUGCCCCUCCCAUAAAUAUUAAAAAAAAGAACAAGAAGAAGAAGGAGAAAGAAACACAUAUUCUAUCUAAAGGAAGCCAUUUGCCACACAGCUUACGAGCAGAGUUUUGGCCAGGACGUUGGUUUGCUCACCGUUGAAGGGACUUUUUGAACGGGUAGGAGUUGGAGACUUUCACACUAAAAAGGGGGCUCUCCCAGGUCUCCCGGCACUUUGUCUAAUUCUUUGUGCCCUCAAGGAGGUCUGAAGCCCCUGUUCUUGUUGACUGGGUUUUGCCUUUCCUUGGAGCCUUAAAAUUGGGAAAUAUAUUCACAAGUAAUGCAAACUUGAUGGGAUGUUAAGGUUUGUACACUUUAUCUUCUUGCUGGUAACAAAUCCUAAACACUAGAUAACUAAAUACGGAAGAACUUAAUACGAAAAAUAAAUAGCAGACAGAUUUGAUCUCGAUGGGGUUCUCAGUUCCUUCACAGUCUCUGUGUCGUACCACCCUUAAGGUUAUUCGUUUGAUAUCCUGUUGAACUUCGUUUGCCUUGUCCCAACUCUUGAGGUCAUUCGCUGCCCCCCUCCCCACCCGGCUCCUUGCGUCCUCCAUUAGGCGGUGAGCUCUCUCAGGGUAGGACAAGCCGUGAGCCCAGAAGUCAGCACAUUGGUCGGCACAGAGCAGACAAACGUCAUCUGACCCUCCGGCUACAGGCCGGCAGGGAGACACCUGUAGCUGAACCCAGGGGUGGUUAUGGCCCAUUGCACGGAGACAGACGGUGCGCUGUGGGCAAGGAGGUGUUAGAGAGGACUUAGGAGGGGCUUGGGCUGGCUCGUGUUGGGGUGAUUUGGGGUGGGGCUUCGGGAAGCCGACUUUGCUAUGAAUCGGAUGCUGCCAGAGAGCAGAGAUCACCGUGAUGGGGAGGUUGGCGGGAGGAAGGCGAGAGACGCGAUCGGGACAGAAACGGCGGUCAUUCCUGCUAGUCAGGAAGGGGAUGUUGGCUCGUUUGGGGGUUUCGACAAUGCCCGCGUUCUUGUCUGUUCAGACACAUCACGGAGCCCUCUUGUCUGGAACUCGCUUCAUCGCCGUCACGGGGUGGCCUGUUCCGCUCUCGGGUGAAAUUGUUUCUGUUCCACGGAAACACCGAGACCUGGCCACGAGUGCCGGGCCAGCUGGCAGUGGCAGCAAGGGGUAGCCGUGGUAGGAGGCUGGCUCCCGUGUGGACUCCAGGACAACCCUAGGUGGCCGAAGGGCCGGAUCCCAUCCUCCUGCUCCGCCCUCGCUGGGCCUCGGGGCGUAGCUUAUCCGGGGGGCCUCGGUUCCUGGUUCCUCUGCCUCCUCCUCUCACCAUCUCUGUCGGUAACUGGUACCUUUCAGUGUAGCAACACUGUCCUUGGAGUCUGGAGAGCAAAUCAGACGUGCUCAGGGGCGCAAGGCCGGCUGGCCAGCGGGCGUUCCCUCCCCUCGCGCGGGCGCUCGCCCGUCCUCCUCCAGCCCAGAACUUCCACCCUGGCUGGUGGAGUCAGUCAAGCUGGCACGGACCAGGCUCUCAGCCCCCUGCGGCUUACUUGCCAAAAAUAUUUCUGCAACUGGAAUGCAAUUUGGAAAAUGUCUUACAAACAGAGUAUCUUGGAGAAUAUUUUAACUUCCCUGAUCAAGGUAUGAUGCACUACUCUUCCGGAUAGUAUAGCUCUCCCAGUGCUUAGAGGUGGAGAUCCUGGUUCACCCCGGUCCCUGACAUCACCCCGGUCCCUUCAGUUGGACACCUUUCAAACGGAAUUUGACGGGAUCCCAAACAUAACACGCUUAGAGUGAACAGAAAUGCUUAAGAGCCUGGCUCAGAGAACUUUGACUAGGGGGGAAAGAAAAGUCCAGAGAUGAGUCUGUCCCACUAUCCUACUCUCACUAGCCAUGCAGAAUCACUUUGAUAAAGGCAACUUUUGGAGAACUACUCAAACAUUUAGAAGAUGAGAGUAUACAUAUUUAUAUGCAUAUAAAUAUAUAUGCACGGCUCACAUACCCACACAUAUACAACAUAUAUAAUAUAUAACAUAUAUAUCAUAUAUAACACAUAUAUCAUAUAGAUCAUGUAUAUAUGAUACACACAUAUCAUACGAUAUAUAUACAUCUUCUUCCUCAUUUGACUGAUGCUGUGAUUGUGUUAGCAAUAACGAUGACCUUCCUUGGCAAAUGCUUAUUAAACCGACAGAAUGAAGAAGGCCUUGAUUACUCCUUGGUUUUUAAAUUAAAUUGCAGGGUAUCUUUAAUCAAUCAAACCUACCAAUGAACCAACAAGCGCCUUUCCUGAGAGGAACUGUCAAAUGAACAAGUAAAUGGCUGGAAGUGGAAAAUAGGCAAAAUGUAGUGGUUUAUUUAUUGUUGAUGGACACUGACCUCUUUAUAGACUUCAGUUUUAGCUUUUAUGAAUAUGUCAAGGGCAAAGUACAGAAUCCAAGUAUGCAAUAAGAUCCUUGUGUAAUGGGGCAUUCACUGUUCUGAGAGCUGAGAGACCUGACUUCUAGUAUCAUCUUAGUUGUUAAACGUUGACCUUAAGCAAACGCGCAAACAAAAAUGUCUGGAUCUCGGUUUUUGGAAGAUCAGAGGAAUUACACCAACAGGUUUAGUAGGUUGCUUACAUCUUAAAUAUUCCAGAUUUUACAGGGAUACAUGCAUUUAGUCAAUUAUUUAAUACAGGAAGCUCACAAGAAAUAAUAACUCUUAUCAUUAGUGCAUGCUGCCACCAGGUGAGGGUAACGUUUUGCCCAUAAGAUCGUGUGCUCCAAAUUGUAGGCUUUUGCCAUACCUGUGUUGUAUCUGGGCAUGCCGUAUCUAUAUCAUAUCUGAAACAUAUGUAAUACUCUCACCUUUUGCCUCCUUUAAAACAAAUAUUUGUUUAAGCAUUAAGCUUAGCCAUUAUCACGUACUUGCUGGCCCGCGUCUCGGUCUGCUCAUGAUCUGAUUUUAUCUAUCGCCUAUAAAUGCUUCUUGGCCUGGAAGCUUGGGCUGGGCUCCUGGUAGGAAUAAUAUAGUACAUAUCUGGGCCACUAAGAUCCUGAAAAAAAAAAAAAAAAAAACAACUUUGUCCAACCAGAAAAAAGUCAUUUCCCUAUUUCUCCUCAGGACGGGGGGAAAACAAAAAUGCCUGGAUCUCAGUUUUUGUAAAAUUAGGGGAAUUACACUAACGGGUUUAGUAGGUUGCUUACAUCUUAAAUAUUCCAGAUUUUACAGGGAUAAAUGCAUUUAGUCAAUUAUUUAACACAGGAAGCUCACAAGAAAUAAUAACUCUUAUCAUUAGUGCAUGCUGCUACCAGGUGAGGGUAAUGUUUUGCCCAUAAGAUUGCCCAUAAGAUUUAUGCUUUGCAUAAAGAUCCUAGAUAUUAACAGCUUAAUUAUAUGCCUACCAAAAAUGUAAACAUUAUAGCAAGCAUUUUUGAUAAAGAAAUUUUAGGUCGUUUUCUUGGUGAGCAUCUUUUACUUUAAAAACCUGCAUAGGAAGUGAAUUAUUUUAACAAUAGCCUAUCUGAAAAGACUUGUUUAUUUUUAUUAUUGGGUACCGUAUGUUAAAUAAAACAAAAACACAAAUUCACAGGGUUUUUCAAACUCUUUUAUACAAAGAGUUUCGGGAAAGGAGGCCCUUCUCAUGAGCUUGGUUUCGGUGCCCAAAGCUUAAUCCCGUGACCUUCAGUAGCAAGAUCAUACCCACAACAUGUGGCAGCUGGAGACAAAGAAGGAAGGACAUUAGGAAACAUUCGGAGGACAGAAUGUCUGGCAUUAAAACCUCCCAUUAGCACCAGAGCCUGCCUUAGGCACACAGAUCUACUGUAUUGACUUUGGCAGUGCGUCUACCUUGUCAUGCCAAUAAAGUUAACCGAGGUUGAAAAUUGAUUGAUAACACAACCCAGUUCUGUCUGUCUCUCCUUUCCCUUGGUCUGCGAUUUGGCUUAGCUGAAUGUGGCAGAACCCCCUCUUUCCGUCCCCGUGUUCUUCCUCCUCUCUGGGUCAGGACCUGGGUAGCCCCUUCCUGCGGGAGAGGCAGGCUGCCUCAGGAAAUCGUCUUUCCUGGCCUCCUCCUACAUCUACAGGCACUUGAUGUCUGUUUAAGGAAAAUUAAGCUGCUGUGUACUCUGCGAAGUGUAUUCAAUGGUGUUCUGUCUACAGACGUAUGUGUGCCUAGUUAAUCCAUUUAGGCAGAAAAAAAAAAUAACAUGACUCUAGCUAAAAUAGUCUCAGCAACACGAGAAAUGCUUUAGCACCUGCUCCACAGCUCACGGGGCAUCCUUCUGACCUUGCAGAAGCUUCUGGACCUUGCAGAAGAGGUGUGCCCCCGGGAACUGUGGAUGGAAAAGAGACUGGAGGGGCGAGAGUGCCUGCGAGGUCUCAAUCUGAAAGGACAGGAAGGGGAAGGAAGGAGCUACUUAGAAACUACAGGCUGUUAGAUCUGCAGAGCUCUCUGGUGCUUUCUAGUAGAACCUCCUCAUAUUGUAGGCAAAGAGGCACAGUCCCCAAAGGGUAGUCGUCUGCCCAAAGACACGUGGCUGAUUUCAGUGACGAAGCCAACUUGGAAUCCCGGACUCCUAGUCUGGUAGUGUUUUGCUUACACCACACUGUUUUACUUGUGAGAGCUACUGGCACUUCUGGGAGACAACGGGCUCUAAUCGCAACCUCACCACUGAUGUUGGACAUGACUUUGGGUGAGUCACUCUCUCGGAGCCUGUUUCGCUCUUUCUUUCAGCUGGGACAGCGCCGGGCCAAGGUGACGCACAGCUACAGCUCAAGCAUUCUGGAGAUAGGUGCACUCUAGAUGUUUUUAUUCUGUGUGUUUCAAGGAAUGUUCCGAGCGGUCGACUGUACCCACACGUGUCUGCUUUCUUUGUUUUUCUCUACCUGGAGGUUGCUUGGUCUCCUGAUCAGAGCGUGUUAGAAGCAGACUAAAUCUGACUGCUCUCAUAUACGAGUUUCGCUUAUUCCAGAGAUCAACCAAAUUCUGCUAGCCCGUGAAUCCUUCCCUUUGAGGCUGCCCCCAGAAUGGCUGAGAAAGUGAUUGCCCCCGGCAAAUCGAGACAGUGAAAACACAACACACAGCUAGGGCUCUCUUAGAAUGACCGCCCUUAACAAUUUGACCGGGACAUUACAAGAGAAUAAUGACUUGGGCAUUUUUGGCUUUGAGCGAAUCUAAAAGUUAAAAUGAUGUGAACUUCUAAAACGGACACACGAGGCGAUAGCUACUCACGUUAUUAAACGAUUCUUUGUGCUUCUUGCAGACUUUUCUUCCAUUAGCAUAAUGGAGAACGCAGCUCGAUUUGUACACAUCUAUCGCGCAAAGUAGUUGACCCCAGAUAUGCAGAACGCGUUCAGAACCUCGUCUUUGCCACACACGCGCUACAGUCCCAACAAUCCCUGUCUUCUCCCGUUAUUGACUCAUAUUAAAGACAUUGAAAAGUGAAAAAAUAACGUACGUCUUCUCUACAAGGCACAUAGAGCUAUUAGGACAGAAUAGAAGGUUACCUGCGGUAAGUUUCUAGGAAUUGCUUGGUCGGAGGCCAUUCUUACUUUAAGGCUGUUGAUGUACGUCUUCAAACUGCCCUGAAGAAAAGUGGUACCCCCCACCCCGCCAUCUGUGAGUUAUUUUUUCCCCUGCCCUCCCACAACAGCCAUGCCCAUUAUACUUUAAGAUACUAGUUUUUAGAACAGUUUUAGGUUCACAGCAAAAUUAAGAGGAAGGUACAAAGAUUUUCCCACACCCAGUCUGCCCCCACACCUGCACACCCCCUUGCCCCGCAGAGUGCUAUGCUUGUUACAACUAGUGAAACCGUAUUGGUACAACCUAACCACUCAAAGUCCAUCGCUUACAUCAGGGUUCACUUUGGGUAUUGGACGUACUAUGGGUUUGGACAGAUAGAUGGUGGCAUGCAUUCAUCAUUAUGGCAUCGUACAGAGUACUGUGACUGCCCUAAAAGUCCUCUGCGUCGUGACUGUUGGUCCCUGCCGUCACCUCCUUUCCCCAGCCGAAUCUUGCCAAUCAUGGGUCUCUUCACUGUCUCCAGAGUUUCUCCUUUUCCAGAAGGUCGUAUAGCUGAAGUCACACCGUAUGAAGCCUUUUCAGAUUGGCUUCUUUCAACUCGGCAAUAAUAGGCAUUUAAGGUUUUUCUAUGCCUUUCCAUAGCUUAGUAGUUCGUUUCUUUUCAGCACCGAAUAAUAUUCCAUUGUCUGGAUGUCGCACGGUUUAUUUAUCCAUUCACCGACCGAAGGGAAGGGCAUCUUGGUUUGUUUCCAAACCUUGGCAAUUAUGAAUAAAGCUGCCGUAAACUCUACGUGCAGGUUUUUGCGUGGAUAUAAGUUUUUGAUUCCUUUGGGUAAAUGAGGUAAAAGUGUGUUUAGCUUUGUAAGCAAUUUUCAAACUGCCUUCGAUAGUAGCUGUGUUAUUUUGUAUUCCCACCGGCAAUGAAUGAGGGUGUCUGUUUUUUCACAUCUUCGCCAGCAUUUGGUAUUGUCGGUGUUCUGGAUUUCGGCCAUUCUGAUAGGGAUGGGGUGGUAUCGCGUUGUUAUUUUAAUUUGUAUUUCCAUUGUGAGAGACGACGUGGAGUUUAUUUUCACACACCCUAAUUGCCAUCUGUAUAUCUUUUUUGGUGAGGUGCCUGCUAAGACUUGGCCCAUUGUCCUAUUUGGGUCGUUUGGGGGGUUUCUUCUUGUUGUUGAGUUUUAAACGUUCUCUGCGUAUUUUACAUACUAGCUCUUUGUCAUAUGUGCCUUUCGUAAAUAUUUUCUCUCAGCCUGUUGCUUGUCUUCUUGUUCCCUUGACAGUGUCUUUUGCAGAGCGGACAUUCUUAUUAAUUUUAAUGAAGUUUGGCUCAUCAACUGUUACUUUCAUAGAUCGCGCCUUUGGUGUUGUCUAAAAAGUCAUCCCCAUAUCCGGCAUCAUCCAACUCUUCUGUGUGACCUUCCGGGACCUUUGGACUUUUGUGUUUUACAUUUAGGUCUCUGAUCCAUUUUUUAAGAUGCUUGUGUCAUUUUGAGAGAAAGAGAGAGAGAGAGGCAGAGAGAGAGGGAGACAGAGCAUACAACACGGGCUCCACACUGACAGCAGAGAGCUCGAUGAGGGGUUCUAACUCAUGAACCAUAAGAUGUUGAACCAGCUGAGCCACCCAGGUGCCCCUCUGAUCCAUUUUGAGUUAAUUUUGGUGAAGGGUGUAAGGUCUGUGUCUAGAUUCUUUUUUUUUUUUUUUUUUGCAUAUGGAUGUCCAGUUUUAGCACCAUUUGUCAAAAAGACUAUCUUUUCUCCGUUAUAUGGUCUUUGCUCCUUUGUCAAAGGUCAGUUGACUAUUCUUAUGUGCACCUAUUUCUAUCCUGUUCAAUUAUUUUUCUAUUUUCUGUUCUUUUGUUAAUACCACACUGUCUUGAUUAUUGGAGUACCAUUGUAGCCUUGAAGUCAGGUACCUCAGUCCUCUGACUUCCUUCUCCUUCAACACUGUGUUGGCCAUUAUGGAUCUUUUGAUAUACAUUUUAGAAUCAGUUUGUCAAUGUCCACAAAAUAACUUGCUGGGCUUUUGGUUUGGAUUGCACCGAAUCUACAGAUGAAGUUGAGAAGGAUUGACAUUUUGACAAGAUUGAGUCUGCCUAUCCAUGUUCAUGGACUGUCUUUCCAAUUAUUUCAUUCUUUGAUUUCUUUCAUCAGUUUUGUGGUUUUCCUCAUAGAGAUCUCCUACAUACUUUUGGAAUCAUUUUUGAUAUUUACAUACAAAAGAUAAUCACUUUCUUUAGACACAUGUACAGGUCUUUAAUAGCCAACAGGGGCAGAGGAAAUGAGGUCCCGCCCUGUCCCCCACAGUCCCCAUCCUGUGGUUGAAGCCACUGCCCGGCCCUCCCUCCUUCCCAACAUGGCAACUCACAGAGGUUGCUUUACACUUUGGUCGUAAUGUGUUAUGUAUUCCGCGGUGGGUGCGUGUCCCUUCCCAACAUCUCCAUGCUUAAAACCAAAAAUGGUUAGGGGUACAUCCUUCCUAGUGGCAUCAGUUCCUAAGCUAUAGUGGGAUAGCUGAAGAGAUCCGGUCACGAGUUAUUUCGUGAAAGGGGUGCGAGGGCCAGAGCUGGGGUAGCUGUGGGCAUUGCUGCACUCUGGUAUCUGAGUGAGGACAGAAGAGAUGGGACAGCACGGAGGGCACAGUGGCAAGCGGGGGGGGGGGGUUUGGUGAGACCCUGGGGACAAUUCUCCCCACCAGGUUUAGAUAGAUCGAUGUACCAAAGUUAAAAAAAAAAAAAAAAAAAAAACAAGAAUCCACAUAAUCCCCACUCCAAACACUGUUGACUUUUCAAACUUGUCCCACCAAGAUAAGUCAUACAGCAGUAACCAUCUAGAUCUUUCCAGGAAGUUAAGGUAGAGCCCCUGUACAUGCAGUGUUAGAUUUAUACCUAAGAAUUUCAUUUUGGGAAGUGGUAAUGUAAAUGGUAUUGUGGUAUUUUUUUUUCCCGUUUGGAACUCAAAAAUUUAUUGAAUGAAUACAUUCGAUAAAUAAAUAAGUAAAUAAUAAAUUCACCUUUCAUCUGAAGUCUGUUCUGUUACAAUAACUUUAUUUCAUUUUUUUAUUAUUAUGUUUGCAUCAUGACAAGUGCACUCCUUAAUCCCCAUCACCUAUCUCACCCCCCUCGCCUCCCCCUCCCCCCCACCUCCCCUCUAGUAACCAUCAGUGUGUUCUCUGUAGUGAGGAGGCUGUCUCUUGGUUUGCCUCUCUCUCUUUUUCCUUUGUUCACUUGUUUUGUUCCUUAGAUUCUGCAAAUAAGAUCAUACGGUGUUUGUCUUUCUCUGACUCAUUUUGUGUAGCAUUACGCUCUCAUCGGUUUAGCAAAUGGCAAGAUAUUAUUCUUUUUUAUGGCUUUGCCCAUUCAUCUUCUUCGUCCACUCAUCUUCUUUGUCCAUUCAUCUACCAAUGGACACUAGAGCUGCUUCCAUCGUGUCCCAAGAGGGUGAUUCCUGGAUCGUAGGGUAGUGCGAUUUUCGUUUUUCGAGGACGCUCCGUACUCUUCUCCACAGUGGCCUCACCGGUUUGCGUUCCCACCAACAGUGCUUUCUUUUUCUCCACGUCCUCGCCAACACUUGUAAUGUCUUGUUUUGAUUUUAGCUCGGCUCACCAGCGUGAGGUGGUCUCUCAUUGUGGUUUUGAUUUGCAUUUCCCUGAUGAGGAGGGAUGUGGCGCAUCUCGUCGUGUGCCUGUUGGCCCCCUGGAGGUCUUCUUUGGAGAGGUAUCUGUUCGUGCCUUCGGGCCAUUUUUAAAUUUGAUUAUUUUGUUUUUUGGGUGUUGAGUUUCAUAAAUUCUUUAUGUGCUUUGGAUGCUAGCCCUUUAUCGGACAUGCCAUUUGCAAAUACCUUCUCUCACUCCAUAGGCUGUCUUUUACUUGUGCUGACUGCUUCCUUCGCCGUGCAGAGGGUUUUUGUUUUGAUGCAGUCCCAAUAGUCCGUUUUUUAUUUUGUUUCCCUUGCCUCAGGAGACAUAUCUAGAAAAAUGUUGCUAUGGUCGAUUUCUCAGAGAAAUGAUUGCCUGUUCUCACUUCGAAGAUUUUUAUGGUUUCAGGUUUCACAUUUAGGUCUUUAAUCUGAGUUUAUUUUUGUGUAUGGUGAAAGAAAGCAGUCCAAUUUCAUUGUUUUGCACGUUCUUGUCUAGUUUUCCCAACACCGUUUGUCAAAGAGACCCUUUUAUCCCAUCGGAUGCGCAUUCCUCCUUGGUCAAAAAUUAAUUGGAGAUGUGAUUAUGGGUUUAUUUCGGGGCUUUCUAGUCUGUUCUGUUGAUCUGUGCGUCCAUUUUUGCGUCCAAAGCCAGCAUCCUGCUGUUUAAAUUACUACCACUUUGGACUACAAUUUGAAAUCUGGAACUGUAAUACCUGUUGUUCUGUUUUUCUUUGUCGAGAUCGGUUGACUUUUGGAGGUCUUCUGUGGCUCCAUACACGUUUUAGGAUUGUCUGUUUUAGUUCUGUGGAAAGUGCUAUUGGUAUUUUUAUGGGGGUUGCAUCAAACCUGUAGAUUGCUUUGGGAAGUAUAGACAUUUUAAUAAUAUUUGUUCUUCUAACCCAUGAGCACGGGAUGUCUUUCUAGGUCUUUGAAUUGUCUUGAAUUUCUUUCAUCAGUGUUUUCCAGUUUUCCCGCAGUACAGAUCUCUCACCUCUUCGGUUGUUUAUUCCUAGGUACGUUAUUGAUUUUAGUACAAUUGCCAAUGGGAUCGUUGGUUUUCUUAAUCUCUCUUUCUCCUGCCUUAUUGCUAGUGUAUAGGAAUGCAAAAAGACUUCUGUGCAUUGAUUUUGUAUCCAGUGAGUUCACUGAGUUCAGUUAUCAGUUCUCUUCAUUUUUCGGUUGCGUCUUUAGGGUUUUCUAUACGUAAUAUAAUGUCACCUGAAAAUCGUGAGAGUUUUACUUUCUCCUUACCAGUUUGGAUGCCUUGAUUUCCUUGUUUUGUCUACUUGCUGUGGCUAGGACUUCCAGUACUAUGUUGAAUGAAAGUGGUGAGAGGGGACAUCCCGGUCUCAUUCCUGAACUCAGGGGAAACGGUAUUGUGGUUUUCAUUUCGAUUUUCACGUUGUCAUCACUGGCAUAUGAUAAUUAAAAAUUUUUUAAUGCUUAUUUUUGAGAGAGAGAGAGAGAGAGAGAGAGAGAGUGCAAGCAGGGGAAGGGCGGAGAGAGAGGGAGACACAGAAUCCGAAGCAGGCUCCGGGCUCCGAGCUGUCAGCACGGAGCCGGGCACGGGGCUCGAACUCACGGACGGCGAGAUCAUGACCUGAGCUGAAGUCGGAGACUCUGCCGACUGAGCCGCCCAGGCACCCACCUUCUGUGCGUUAACGUCCUCUAACCUUGCUAUAACCGCCUAUUGGUUUCAGGAGUUUUGGUUAUUGUUGCUGUCGCUGUCCUUGAUCCAUUUGGAUUUUCUGUAUCGAUGACCAGGUCAUCUGCAAAAACAUAGGUGGGCGAAAAUAACCAGGGGUAGGUAGGAUUCACAUCAGUGAAACAGCAAAGGAUGGGCGCAGGUGGGGGGUUUGGAGUGGGAGGCAAGCGUGUACUGUCCAUGGGACGCCGCAGCAGGGACAGAGUUGAAGGUGCAGAUUGUGGAGAAUGACGAGCACCAGCUUAGAGAAAAGGCGUGGGACCAUGUUGCAAAGCAGGACAGAUGCCAGGCGCUGGGGCCGGAGCUUUUUACAUAGUUAGGGACUCCUGGCGAUUCUUGAGAGGAGAGCAAUAAAACGAAAACCUCUGGGUUGGGAUUAAUUCGGGGAUUUGUUUCAGGCUGUCUGGGAAAUAAGAGAGACUGACGUCAAGGAGGCUGAUUCUGUGAUAACCCCUCAGAAUUGCUUUCUGGAAAAGGGAGGGAAUUUUCUCACCUUCCAAAGAUUGAGAUGAAAUUGGUCACGUGUUCUCCUUCGUGUUCCGUACUUGUGCCUGGCGAGCAUGGUUUUCUCCAAAGUUGUGCCUUCCUUUAAGGUAAUAUGUUACGGAAAAAUCAAACUGAAGAGGACAAUCGGGUUGUUGUUUUGAUUUCCUUUUCUAAAACUUAUAUAUUUAAAAAAAAAUUUUUUUAACGUUUAUUAAUUUUUGAGACAGAGAGAGAGACAGAGCAUGAACGGGGGAGGGGCAGAGAGAGAGGGAGACACAGAAUCGGAAGCAGGCUCCAGGCUCCGGGCCAUCAGCCCUGAGCCCUACGCGGGGCUCGAACUCACGGACCGCGAGAUCGUGACCUGAGCCGAAGUCGGACGCUUAACCGACUGAGCCACCCAGGCGCCCCUAAAACUUAUUUUUUUUUAAUGUUUGUUUAUUUUUGAGAGGAGGGAGGGGCAAGGAGAGAGGGAGAGAGAGAAUCCCAAGCAGUCUAUGCGCCUACAUGAGAUCGAGACCUGAGCCGAGAUCGAGAACCCGACGCUUAACCGACUGAGUCACCCAGGCGCCCCAAGUUGUUGUUGUUUCCUAAUUGAACGUAUACUUUGCAAACGUCUGAGGAAACACAGCUAAGCGUAGGUGUGGAGCCAUUGUAACCUAGCAUUUCUGCAGGGGGUUUUACACUUUUACAAAGAACCUCCAGGUCCAUUGUCUCAGGGGACUCCAGAGCGGAACCUUAGGGAUGAGGAAACUGACAAAUAGUGUUGCCCAAGGUCGCAAAGCUAGCAACAGGUGAAGCCGGCACAUUAUUUUAAGAGGACAGUUCUAUUUAUCAAAAUUGAACAGAGAACAUUUCUGGAAUUAUAAUCUAAUAGGAAACAUGGUUUGAUUUUUAAAUAUCAAACGCAGAGAAUCUCUGAUGAAUACAACUUUUGCAGGAAGUGAGUUUCCCCUGCCUUUUUUUUUUUUUUUUUUCCUGAUAAUGACUAAAAUACCACCACCGGAGGCACCAUUUUUUUUUUUUUUCUGAACAUAUUGCAAAUCCCACCACUUACAUUAAUGGCUAUUAAUCUUUCUAGCUCAUCAGCAAAAACCCCGCCGUUGAUGUAAUACUAACAUGUUUUUGAGGGCUUACUGUGUGUGAGGCACUGUGGUGAAACAUUUCCUGUGUCACCUCAUUUAUUUCCUUCCAAGACCCUCUAAGGGAGGCAUUGCUCUGAUUCUGCUCUCAUUUUCCAAAAUGGGAAAACUCAGGCUUCGUGAGAGGGUAAGAGGGGGGCCUGCACGGAGCAGGGGCUCGUCUCUGGGGAGAGUCUAGAACGGAAACCUCUCCCAAACUCCGCCAAGCAAGGCAGUGGGAAAAGCGGUUGAAUGCACAACACACUCUGGAUUCUGGAAUCGGAAUUAUCGGCCGAAGCUUAAAUAAUCAAAUAACUCUAUGCUUCAAAUUCCUCAGGGGCGGGAGGGGCAUGAUACAGGUGCCUUCUGUGCAGGGUUAUCGUGAGGAUAGUGAGAUAGCGCUGGCGAGAUGCUGAGCAAAGCGGCCCGCGCCUUCCCAGGUAACGGCAAAUAUACGUGCAACGCUCCAGCGAAAAACAAACUCCUUUGGCAUAAGCUGUUGGUUUCAAGGAAGAGAGAGGCAUCCUGUUGUUAGGGGGAAAACAUAUUAACUGAGCACCUGUGCUGUGGUGCUCACAGCACCAGGUUUGGAUUAGAGGUUUGGAUUAGAUUGAAUCGUACGUUAUCGUUCCCAGUUUGUAAGUGAAAAUGUGAAAAUUCAACUAAUUGGCUCAAGGUCAGGUGGGAAAACCACAAUUUUAACUCAGGUCUGUCUGACCUUCAAGCUUCCGCCUUGUGGUAUCGUGUCUCAGGCACACAUGUUCCAGGCACGAGAUACAGAGGUAAGAUGUUUCCGCGAGUUCACGCCUUAGCACGACUGAAUUCUGCCGCCACCCUGCUUACAGGACUCCAAGUCCACAAAAGUGGGGCAUUCAAAUGUCUACAGGUGCCAGACAGGGGUCUCUCACUGCAUGUGAGAAAGUUAGCGGGGUCCACUGGAUAUUGACUCACGGAGAACGCUGAGCCCCGGGGACAGGGAGACAAUAGGGAGCAGUGGGGACUGGGGUGAGCUGGCAAGCUGCAUCACCGCUCCACCGUGGCGCAUUUCGGUCAUACGUGCAAGUGGUUUUUGCAAAAAUCUUGCGAUUUUUUUGAGAGAAGAGAAACAUUUAGACUUGCAUCUGGAACUACAUUAAAUUUUUCUCAUUACGCUUUUUCGUGUGAAAGAAUUGUAGAUUCGCACGCAGGUGUAAGGAAUAAUAGAGAGAGCUCCCUGGUGGUCCUUUACCCAGUUUCCCCCAAAGGUAACAUCUUGCAAUAUUAUAACGAGGGUUGGCAUCGAUAUAGGCGAGGUACAGAAUAUUUCCAUCCUCGUAAGAAUCCCUCAUGUACAGGAGAAGAAAACUACGAACACCGAGUACUCAUCACAAAUACAAACGCAAAAAUCUGUUCUAUGGAAUCUCUUUCAGGAAACAGAAGAGGAGGGAACAUUUCCCAAUGUAUUUUAUGAAGCUAGUGUUACGCGGAUAUUAAAACUAGACAAAACGGUACGAAAAAAGAUUUCUCUUACUUAAAAAAAAAUUAGUAAUUACAUUUCCUUAAGAGUUUAUAGAGUUGUUAGACCCCCCGAUAUUCUAUAGAUAUAAACUAUGCUGAUAACACUAUUCAGCUGCAGACAAGUCUACCUUCCGUCAGAAGGAAAGGACAACUUCAAGGCCGUGAGCUUGAAGUUCUGUGGGCUGUGAGCUCACAGAAUGGAUCCUUGAGACACAGAGGUCUUAGAACCUAAAGUCUGCCCAGCUGGAUUGCAAAAUGGGUCGGGAUUAGUAACUCCCGUCUUCCUUCCUUUUUUCGUUUUCAGUGGGAAUGUCGCUAAUUUGGUAACUGAUGCCUGAGCUAUCGCUGCAUUUUGGGAGAAGCUGACUUGGUUUCUAGGCCCGUAGAUGGAGAGGAAUUUUGCUCCAGGCUGGAUGUAAUUAAGAGUCUUCCCAUAACUGUGCAAAUGACUGAGAUGAUGACAUUUGGAAAUUUGAGUUGAUGAGCAUUUGGACUUUGCGUUUAUGCCGUAACGGAUUGAGACUUUUGAGGACCUCAGGGUGGGGUGAAUACACUUUGCCUGUGGGCCGGGCAUGAAUCUUUGGGAGCCAGAGGGCAGACUGGAGCAGGCAGAACAGUGGCUCUUCCGAGAAGUUCACGCCCUCAUCCCCAGAUCGUGUGAAUAGAUGACCUUCGCCAUGGCAAAAGGGACUUUACAGACGUGAUUGACCAUCUUGAGACGGGGAGACUGUCCUGGAUUCCCUCGGUGCGCCCAAGAAAACCACAAGGGUCCUUGCAAGUGAAAGGGACAAGGGAAUUACUGUCCAUGUGAUGCCAUGUGAGAAGGACUGGCACAGACUGCUGGCUUUGAAGACGGGGGGAGGGGUCAUGAGCCAAGGAACGAGGGCACAGCCUCAGGAAGGUGGACAUAGACUCCUCACUGGGGUCCCCAUGAAGUCACACAGUCUUGACGCACCUUGAGUUUAGCCCGAUGAGACCCACUUUGGACUUCUGACCAUCAGAACUGUAAGACAUUAAAUUUGUUUUUUUUUUUUUUUUUAAUUUUUUUAAUGUUUAUUUAUUUUUGAGAGAGACAGAGAAAGAAUGCGAGUGGGUUAGGGGCAGAGAGAGAGAGGGAGACACAGAAUCCGAAGCAGGCUCCAGGCUCCGAGCUGUCAGCACAGAGCCCGAUGCGGGGCUCAAACUCACGAGCUGUGAGAUCGUGACCUGAGCCGAAGUCGGACGCUCAACCGGCUGAGCCACCCAGGCGCCCCAAAUUUGUUUUGUUUUAAGAUAACUAAGUUUGCGAUAAUUUGUCAUGGCAGCAGUAAGAAACUAAGGCAAGUCCAUACGCUGAGUUUUAAUUUUGAUUGCUGUAUUUUUCAGUUCUAUGACGUCCAUUUAGUUCUUUUUUGUAUCUUCUGUUUCUUUGCUGAGGCUUUCUAUCUUUUUUAAACUGUGGUUUUUUUUUUUUUUUUUUAGUUAAAAAUGUUUUUUAUUUGAGAAAGAGAAAGAGAAUUUCAAGCAGGUUCCACACUCAGCACGGAGCCCAACGUGGGGCUUGAUCCCACGAUGCGGGGGUCAUGACCUGAGCCGAAGUCAAGAGUCAGAUGCUCAACCGACUGAGCCACCCAGGCACCGUGAGGGUUUCAAAUUUAUUUAUUUUUUUUUAAUAAGUUUCAAGCACGUUCACAAUUGCUUGUGGAGGAAUUUUUAUCUUGGGCAGUUUUGAAAUCUUUGUCGAGUAAGUCUUACAUUUCAGUCAUCUCUGUGUUGGCAUCUAUUGAAGGUCUUUUUUCCAUUCCCUUUGAGAUCUUCCUGGCUUGGGGGUGAUGGGUGACUUUUGACUGGAACGGGGACAUUUUUGCAUUGUGUUCUGAGGCUCUGGAUGUUGUUUAAAUCUACUCUUUUCUCUGACCUCUGCUGACACCAUCUUGGCGGGAGGUUCGGGCUGCCAUCUUGCCACUUUCAGGCAAAGGUGGAAGGCGAGGUUCGGCCAGGCUCACCACUUGGCCUCCAUUGACACUCAGGUAGGGGGGGCGCUCCUUUGAGGAAUGGUAGAUACGCCUCAUUACUGCCUGAUAGGCCCCCCAUGAAGGGGGAGGUGAGGGCUGUCUACCAGUCAUCGUGGAUGAAAUCCUGGCUCUCUUCUUGGCCAUCUCUGACACCACCCCAGUUGGGCGGUUGGGGUUAGAGCCUCACAAGAGUGGAAAUCAAGGCUUCUCACUAGUGGGUGGGGGUGGGGCCACAGAUCUUUUUCUGUGGUGUCUGGCUGGAGUAGAGCAGGUAUCGUGUAAACACUUUGCGUCUCGUUGGGCUGCCCUUCUGUCCUUCUGUCAUUCGGGCUUCACAAAGCAGGCUUUUCUUGGAGCUUUUGUUAUUUGUGCCUGUUAUUGGCACGAGCAUUUCUGGAUUGCAGGUUUCUUUUUUUUUUUUUACAAAAAUUUUUUAAUGUUUUUGUUUAUUUUUGAGGGAGAGAGAGAGAGACAGAGCAUGAGUGGUGGAGGAGCAGAGAGAGAGGGAGACACAGAAUCCGAAGCAGGCUCCAGGCUCCGAGCUGUCAGCACAGAGCCCGACGCGGGGCUUGAACUCAUGAACCGUGAGAUCAUGACCGAGCUGAGCUCAAGUCGGAAGCUGAUCCGACUGAGCUGAAGUCGGAUGCUUAACUGACUGAGCCACCCAGGCGCCCCAGGAUUGCAGGUUUCUUUAGUUCUAAGCCUGGGAUAUGUGAGCCAAAAAGAAAAUUCUUGGAACUCACUAUCGUGUUGUUUCUCAGGUCCUGAGACUCCUAUCCAACGUGGCUUCCCUUUUUUAUUUUCUAGAGUCUUCUGUUUGUUUUAUGUACAGUGUUCAAGGUUUUAGUUGUACUUAGUGGGAGGCAUGGAACAAGGUAAGUCUGCUCCAGCUUUCUGGAAGUGAAAAUCCGUCCUCAUUUUUUUAAUGUUGGUAACCAGUUAAAAGAAACAGUAACAAAUUUCGGGAAGGGAUGUCAAAGAAAAACCAUCUCUUUGGUCGAGGGCUCUCUGGUUGUGAUUUCUAAAUCUUUGUUAACAGAAGGAAACUGAAGGAAUAGAAAUGUUUACUUGUGUAUGGAUGCCUGUGGUGGCGAGGUGUGAUCGGCAAAGGGAGGGAUGAUAGAAAGAUAAUGUUGAAGCCUGGAGACCCUGGGGGGAGGGAAGGCCUAGAGGUCAGGAAACUCUAAAACACAGACCCUGGCAGGUGUCUGGAGGGAGAGCUCUUGGCUCCUAAGACCUCCCAGUACUUGAAAGUCCCUGUGUUCAAGUUUGCUGGAGCUACUGCCUUGGAAUUUUCUCUUUAGUUACCAACUUAAAAAGAAGAAUUUUUUUCUGGUUAUAAAAUUAAUACAGUUUCAUGUUGAGAAAAUAGGAAAACUCAGACAAGGAGAAAGAACGAAAUAACCGCGCUCCCCCCCCCCCCCCGCCCCCCCCGGCAAACCUUUUCUUCAGAAACUGCGGUUAAUAUUUUGGUGUGUUUCCAUCCAGCGUUUUAAUCUGUCUAUCCAUCCAUCUACAUACAUAAAAUUGUGGCUAUUCCCUUGUAUACUUUUAACUGUUUCUCACGCCCUUCCCUUGUCACUGAAUAAUUUGGAAGCCACGCUUUUGAUAACGCUAUUGGGUUCCGUUAUUCGAAACUUUGCAACGUUGCUCCCAUUGUUGAACGGUUUAUUGUUUAUAAUUUCUCACCCUUAGAAAUAGUGCUGUGAAGAGGCGCCUGGGUGGCGCAGUCGGUUAAGCGUCCGACUUCGGCCAGGUCACGAUCUCGCGGUCCGUGGGUUCGAGCCCCGCGUCAGGCUCUGGGCUGAUGGCUCAGAGCCUGGAGCCUGUUUCCGAUUCUGUGUCUCCCUCUCUCUCUGCCCCUCCCCCGUUCAUGCUCUGUCUCUCUCUGUCCCAAAAAUAAAUAAACGUUGAAAAAAAAAUUAAAAAAAAAAAUAAACGUCAAAAAAAAAAAAAAAGAAAUAGUGCUGUGAUGAGAAUGCUUGGUCGUACAUCCUCUUCAAUCCUAGACGCGGCAAGGCUUGAGCAAAGGGUAUUUAAGACUUUCGGAUCCUCAGCUUGUUCUCCCCAAAGGCUACCAAUUUAUAUUUCCACCUCCAGGAGUAGACAACGCUUGCCUCACUGCAGUCUUGCAGGCACCGAGAAUGAUCAUUUCAAAAAUCUUUGCAAAUUGGAAAGCAGAAAGGUCUCUGGUCAUCUAAUUUGCAUUUAUUUUGUUCCUGCUGGUGUUAAACAUGUCUUUUUGGCCUUUAAAAUUUUUUCUGAUAACGGCUUUUCGUUCCUCGCCAUUUUUUUUUCCCGUUGUAAUUUUUCUUCUUAGUGGUUCGUCUGUCACAUGUGUUACAAGGAUAUUUUUCUAGUGCACCAUUGCCCUUUGAUUUGCAUGUGAUGAUGCUUGACAGAAAGCAGUUUACAAUUUCAAGCCUGUUUGUUUGUUUGUUUGGGUUAUUUAUUUAUUUAUAUUUUGUUUUCGAGAGAAGAGAGAACACAAGCAGGGGAGAGGCAGAGAGGGAGAGAGAGAAUCUUUUUUUUUUUUUGGAAGAAGGAAAUAAAUUCAAUUAUUUCUGUAUUAAAUAACAGUAUCUCUACAACGCAAAGCCCAGGCCCAGAUGUCUUAGAUCAACUAUAACAUACAUUUAAUGAGGAAUCAAUACUCAGGACUCCUAAACAUCUAGGAAUGCUUUUCACUUAAUUCUGUGCGUAUAUUAUACUGUGAUACACGGGCGCCACAAGUAAGUAUAAUGGCAGAUCAGUAUAACCCAGGAAUAUAGUCACAGAAAUCUUUAAUAAAAUACUAGAAAAUGGAAGGUCCUGAAGUCACAUAAACUUCUCAACAGAUACAGGCAACUACCCUUUAAAACCCCACACCGGGGCGCCUCGGUGGCUCAGUCGGUUGAGCGUCCGCCUUCAGCUCAGGUCACGAUCUCGCGGUCCGUGAGUUCGAGCCCCGCGUCAGGCUCUGUGCUGACAGCUCUGAGCCCGGAGCCUGCUUCCGAUUCUGUGUCUCCCUCUCUCUCUGCCCCUCCCCCGUUCAUGCUCUGUCUCUCUCUGUCUCAAAAAUAAAUAAACAUUAAAAAAAAAUUUAAAACCCCACACCCAUUUACAAUUUUAAAAAGUCUUCAACAAACUAGGAAUAGAAAGGAACUGGUUCACCCUGAUAAAGGGCAUCUCUGAAAAACCUACAGGUGACAUCAUACUUAACAGAACAUCAUAAUAGCCAAGUAUGUUUUCUGAGAGAGAGGGAAUCUUAAGCAGGCUCCACACUCAGCAUGGAGCCUGAUGUGGGGCUCAAUCCCAUGACCCUGGGAUCGUGAACUGAGCUGAAAUCAAGAGUCGGAUGCUCAACCGGUUGAGCCACCCUGGCGCCCCAUCGAGUCUGUUAUUCUUUUAUUUGGAUUCCUAUCAAGCUUUUGUGCUUAGAAAGUUCUUCUCUAUUCGUUCCGUUUAUCUGCUGCUGUGUAACGAACCACCUCAAAAUUUAAUGGCUUAAAACAACAGUCGUCUCCCAUUUUAUAACUUUUGUAGGUCAGGAAUUGGGCAGGCUCAGCUGGUGGCUUUUCUGCUCCGCCUGAUGUUGACAGAAGUCAUGGAGUCUCUCUGCAUUGAGAGAAGCCAAGAUGGCGUCACCCACAUGUCGGGAGCCUUGCGGCAUGGCCACAAGGCUGGGCUGAGUAGGGACAGUUCCCUGAAUGUUUCCAUGUGGCCUGCCCAACAUGCCGCUUAGGCGUAGUCAGAAUUCUUACAUGGCAGCUCAGGGCUCUGAAAGUAAGUGUUCCGGCAAACAAAGCAGAAGCAAGAAAGCCUUUUAUGACGUAGCCUUGGAUGCCAACUGCUCUGAUGGUCAAAGCAGUUUCCACCUGCCCAGAUUCAAGUAAGUUUCAUGGGCUCUACCAUAUUAUUUGUGGCCAUAUUUUCAUGUUGCCAGUCUAUCCCAGGGUAAGUUACAAGCACACCUACCUUUCCUUCUAGCUGGUUUAUGCUACUGCUGCUGCUUCUCCUUCUUGCUCUUUUUAUAAACACAGAAUCCUUAAUCCAUCUAGAAAAUGUUUUUAUACAGAAUUUACAACGAGGUUCAAAUUUGAGUAUUUCUCCCUAAUAGUAAAUGAUUUCACUAUAACCCUUUCUGGAAUAACCAUCUCUUCCCCGAUGGCUAACUUUUAUGGACACUAGGGCCCGUGUGAAUAUUCUGUUAGUGGAGGAAAAAUAGCCUUGACUUUUCUAGCACUCUUCUCUCUGAGCUAAGAGUAGAACCUCCUAGUUAAGUUCAGCUUUUCAGUCUGAAAAGCACCGGCCACACCACUGACCCUGGGCUGGCCGACAAGCAUCGCUCUGGAAGGUCUCUCUUAGCUGGAAGGACUGUUGACCUAACGCAGAGGGGCUGCUACUUUUCAGUCUGCUUUUCGCCACGGGAGGCUCUGGGGCUGUGAGCCUUGGGCUGCUGCCCUGGGUGUGUCUGAGGUGCUUUUGUUGUUAUAAUUCCAAGUAUAAUAGUUCCUGGGGAAGAUUGCUUCUGAGAUGAAGUAACUUGAUUGCUUCCAGUGGGGAAAAGCAUUAGCUCACUUCUAUUAAUGAACUUGGCCCAGCUGAACAAAGGAGGAACUCCAGUACUAUGGGGCCGGUUCCCCUUCCCCUCCCCCUCCUCCUCCCCCUCCAUCCUUAGGUCUUGGCCAACGCUGGCUCCACCCGCCAAGCCUCCACCCUGGAGGGACCUCUGGCCUGGCCCCCAGCUUCCUCACUGACCUCUCUGCUUCCUCCUCCCCACCACAUAGGAAUGUGGGGCUGACCCUUGUGUCACAGCUCUCACAAUUCUGUGUUCUUCGCCUGGGCUCUCCCUUUGGUUCGUAACAACCCGCAUCGUGGCUGCGGUGGUUGUGGCCGCUCCUGUCCUGACUUUUCUGCUAUGCUGCUAGCUUUGUGACCUUAUCUUGUUUAAUUUCACCCACCCAGUUUGGUGAGGUAGCCACUGUCAUUCCCAUUCUGGAGAGAAGUGGAUGGUGGAACAAGGAUUUUAACCUCGGUAGUCUGCUUAAUGUUUAGACAAUGUAGGAGACUCUCUCUCUUCCCUCAUGCUAAUCUCGAUUCCUAACCGUGGACUGGUAUUUCCUUGGAAAAAAAAAAAAAAAAAGCCACACGCAGCUGAUACCAAGGGCCACAGGGGAAGGACACCUGCCUGAGGACAUAUAAUCCUGUCUGGCAGGAACUUUUGAAACUCAGCCCUCCUGAAGGUUUACUUGCCUCAUUCCUCUGCUUCCUGCCAGAUCAUUCUCUCAGACGAGGCACAGCAGAGAUGACUACCCUUCAGUUAACUGGCCACCCCCCCCCCCACCUUCUCCGGGGAGUUUUCUGCGUAACUUAAUUCUCCAGCUCCGUGGCUCACUUCUUCUUUUUCAAACUCUUUCUUCCAGAGGAAAUUUGCUUCUGUGGCCGGAGCCCCCAAAUACACCAAGCCUUCCGUGGAAAGAAAGAGGCAGAGGCAGAGAAGGAAGAGGUUUCAUAACACAGAUACUAUAGGUUGCUCAUUGCUGAGGAAUCUGGGCAUUGGAUGGCACUUGUCCCGGGUGGAAGGUCCAGCAGCGUGGGGAAGGGCUGGCGCCGAGUUAGGCAGGAGGCAACGGGGAGGAUUUUCCAAGGAGGGUGGGGGGGUGGGGAGAACCCAGAGAAGGCUCCCACAGGCUGUACCCUGUGCUCCCUUUUAGCCCUUCUGAAAAUAACAAGAUGGAAACCCGAGCUGUCAGCACCGGGGGCCUGCCAGAUUCUGGGGUGGGGGGGUAUGAACAGGAGAGGAAUGGACCAACCCGAAGUUAAGUGAAGGAAUAGCGAGUGAUCAGUGAAUCGGCUACUUGACCAUCACAUUUUAUACUUAAUACAAAUCUUGGAGAGGAAGACUUAGGCAUGUCUUCAGGAUCAAAUAGUUUCUUGACCUAUUUCUUUUGGUCAGAGUCCUUUUUUUUUUUUUUUUUUUUUUCAUAAGGAUGAAAAGAUUUCAAGCUUUUCCAAAAGCACCUUUAUACAGCUCCCAGCAGGGUCUCCAAUAAAGUUGUGAAUUGUGUUUCCUGCUUAUGAAAAGAGUGCUAUAUCCUCCAGAGAGGGGCAUUGGUCAGUCUUGUAACAGAGAGUGAAAUCGGGGCCACAUAUCACCAUUUCGACUUUGAUACUUCUCUGGAAUCAGAAUGUGUGUACCAUCAGCCCAGGUGACUCAGCACUACAAGAAGGCUUUGUUUUCUUUGCGCUGGUGAGCCUACUUUAAUAUUUUGCAUACAUGAAGCUUUUGGUGGAGCCCUUCUAUUGCUUCAGCCCACACAGAUAAAUGACGGUUGGGCCAUUCUGAGUUAAUGCUUUUGAAAGGGCUUUCUAUCUUUAAUCAGAUUGUAGCUCUGGGUAAACAAAAUCCUUGUCUUUGGAUAGUUUGAUUUUCCCAAGAAUGAAAUUAGUGUAAUUUUAUUCAUUCUCUCCUUAGAGCUCGAUGGGGCAAUUUUGUCUGUUGUAGACACGGCUGGUUGCCUACCAGGGGGCUAUUUCCCUCUAGCUACCUUGCUCUCAGAAUCUUAAUUUUGGCUGCCCUCCUCUGAGGGGUUGUGUCCCGUACAGGAACUUGGACUCUCCCCCACCUCCGAGGGUGAGUCUUCAUUGGUCUAGGCCAAUUGCGGUGGCCUCGCCUCACCCCGCCUCGGGAUUGUUGAAGCAUGGGUAGACUGUGCCAAUUCUGGCCAGUGAGACGUAGGGGACCGGCCCCCCUUCUCUGGAAGGACGCAAGAUGGGGGCCUUCUCUUUUUCUCUUUCUGAAGGUGGUUUCUGGCACGUGAGGCCUGACCUACAGCAGAUCUGGGGACUGGGGGAGAAAGCUGCAGAAUUGUUAAGCUAGAUGCACGACGUUCCUAUGUCGGUGAACGACCCCGCUCCGAAACUGUCCUACCUCCAAACUGGACAUGAUGCAAAGUAAUAAACAUCCUUAUCGGGCGGGCCCCGGUGGUUAGAUCCUCUAUCCUUCGCUGUCCAGAGCAUCUUACAUAGCCUUUGUUUGGAAAGGGGAAGUUGACGUUGGCCGGGUAAGUCAAAACCAAAAAGAUGGGAAGGGAAGCAGCCGUGUUUGACUGGUGGUCCUGGCAGACUCGUAAUCCUCUGCUAAUCCUCGCCAAAGAGUUGGCACCGGUGGGAAUACUGUUUCCUGAGGUUGAGCUGGUUCAAAAAGAGAGUACAUCCAAGGGGUAGCAGAGAAGGGUUUUCUCACAUCUGACAGGAGGCAGAGGUACUUCCCGCACACCAGGAAGAGAGAUGCCAGCCACGUGUUAACUAUUUGUGGUUAUUUUGGCACAGACAUGAUUUCCAGGUGUGACCCUCAUCUUGCCAAGUCAGAACCGAGGUGAGGAUCUAGCCCCGGGGUGGAGAGUACCUGGUGGUGGGAACGGAGGGGGGCAGGAGCUCCGUAUGCCGGGACAGGGGCGUGCUGAUAAGACUAUAUCCAACACUAGAAAGCAGUGGGAGCUUCCCAAGUUGGAAUUUCAAACGUGAGUGAAUUCACCACUUCACUGACAUUUAUCGAGCACAUGGGACCCAUCAGGCACCGUGCGAGGCGCCGGAGAAAGAAGGAAACUCGGUCUUUGUCCCCAAGGAGCAUACAGUCUGGUAUAUAGUCCAGCCCGUAGGCAAGCACGUCCAGCGCCUUCUCGCCUGUCAGCCCCAGUCUUAGUGCUCUGCUAAUUUGACAUCUCCUCCCUCUGCUAAAUGAUGGCAUCGCUGGUGUGUAAAUGCACGCAUUCCAGAUACUCCUACACACACCCGUACCAUUUCCUUGUUAUCAGGAUUAAAAGAUGCCGUAGUUUAAGCCGUGAAGAUUUGCCAAGCACCUAACCUGAGCCAGAUGGUGUGGGGCGUGCAAAAGCGAAUGAGAGAUCUUAUUUUUUUUUUUUUUUAACGUUUAUUUACUUUUGAGACACAGAGAGAGACAGAGUGCGAGUGGAGAAGGACAGGGAGAGGGAGACGCACAACCUGAAGCAGGCUCCAGGCUCCGAGCCGUCGGCACAGAGCCCGACGCGGGGCUCGAACUCACAAACCGUGAGAUCGUGCCCCGAGCCUGAAGUCGGACGCUUAACUGACCGAGCCACCCAGGUGCUCCGUGAAUGAGAUGUAAUUGCAGAAACCACAGCUCAGUUGGUGGCGGGUGAUUUGCCCCCUGGAAGUCAGAGCGAGCAACGGGGUGACAAGAAAGCAGAAUUUGAACGGUGCAGACGGUACCUGCUAGGGGAGUUCAAGUCCUGGCCCCUGGGACACAGGAAUAACGUGAGUUCAGGGUCCUGCUUUUCCAGGAGCUAACCUUAAAACACCGGUACAGAAAUAUUGGUCACAUCAACUGUCCUCUCUGGAGCACUAAUUAUUAUUAAGCAUUUCUACGUGCUUCGCAUAUGAUCGUUCACUCUGUGAGGCAGAUACGAAUAUCCUCAUUUUACAGAUGAGGAGACGGAGCCAGCCAGAGGGUAACUUUCCCAAGAUCACAGGGUUAGUAUGAGACAUGAACACAGGAUCUAGCUACUUAUCAGUCUUAUCUGCAAUAAAUCUGCCUACGGGAGAACUAGGCUCUCAGGCAGGGGAGAUUCAGUCACAAGUAGACCGCUAGCCAACGAUGGGACAGCAAGUAGGUUAAAUUGCCUGCACAUUCCCCCGGCACCACCGGGAACCACAGAGCCCCAGUGAUGGUGCAGCAGAUAGUUGUGCCCGGUACUAUGGAAAACGGAGCACUCGGGGAAAACCGUGCUGAACCAGCUUUCUUCUGUCCACACGCACCGAGCUGAGCUGAGGUCUGUUGAGGACGUGUGGUUCCGGGACACCUGAAUUUGGAUCCCAUGGAAAGCUACAAUGGAAGCAGGGGUAAAUUGGGUGCUCAGUUUACACAUCUCAGAAGAUGCAAGCCAUCUUUCGAUACCCUUUGUAAUGAGUCAUCGUAAACUGUUUUGUUUGUUUGUUUGCUUGUUUGUGUUGAGCGCUUGUCAGCCGUUGUAGCAAAUGAUCAGACUCGGGGGUGGGAGGGUCACGGGACUCUCCGGUUUAUAGCUGGCCAGGGUACAAGGGACAACGUGGGACCCGAGACCGGCACCUGCAGGGGGAGCAGUUCUGUGGGAAUGAGGCCUUCACCUGUGGGAUCUGAUGCUGUCUCUAGGGAAAUAGUGUCAGAAUCAGGUUUAGUUGUAGGACACCCAGCUGCUGUUGGAGAAUCGCUUGGUUGUGGGGAAAAGCCCCGAUACAUUUGGAGUACAGAAGUAUUCUGUGGGUAGAGAAGGAAACAGUUUUCCCACAGUUUCCCCACGUGACCUACGUUUGAUAGAAGUUAUGAUCUGUCACCUACUAAGACCCGGGUAGCUCUAAAACGAGUGGUUUCUUUAGGUUGUAAGGACAUAUUUCUGCCCCAAAAACGGGGCUCUUGAGCUCGCCCUGACUCCUGAUCUGUGGUCUGUACAUUUUUCUUCAUUCAUGGUACAUUUCAUACCUUCUUGUGCUGAUAGGAAUUAAUUCCCUCCCUCCCCCGCCCCCAACCUAAGUUAUCUGUACCCCUCGAGGUUUUAGAGUCCCCUGAUUGGAAAAAAAAAUGAUUCUUGGCGUCCAGGAGGGAUCUGAGGUUAAAAAAAAAAAAGAAAAGAAAAGAAAAAAAAAAUAGGACAGAGAGCCAGAGAGCAAGGGAUAAAUUUCUCUUAAAGUAUUCAUUCAUUCAUUCAACAAGGGUUUAUUGAGGUCCUCCCUGGAGUCAAGCUCGGUGCUGGCAUUAGAGACAUAGUCAGAAACAAAAUUAACGUGGCCUGUGUUCUCAAGGGUUUCUAGGCUACUGAGGGAGGCCAAGAAGGCAACAGAAUACUCAAUUACGAAUCCGAGUAAGUGCUUCAAGGAUAAAACGUAGAUAAUACAAAGGAGACAGAGGGUGAGGGGCAAGCUUCCUAUAUUUCUGUGGUCAAGGAAGGAGGUCACAUUCAAAACAAGACCUGAGGGCUGUGGAAUCAGUCCUGGAAAAACUUUCCAGGCAGGGAGACUUCUUCGAAGAGACCCGUGUGUUUAAGAAAUUAAGAUAAGUCCUGUGGCUGGACUAUGGAGGUGGGGGGCAGGGACUGGGUGGGGGAAAUAGAGAAACAGGAAGUAAGAUUGGAGAAGUGAGCAGGAGCAUAGGAAAGGCUUUGGAUUUUAUUCCAAGUGAGGUGAGAAGUACAGGGGGGACAACGCAUAGGGACAACUCCUCCUCCCCGUCUCAGAAACUCGGUGCCGUCACUUCCAGGGUGAAGGGAGGACCGUGUCCUUGAAAAGGAAGAAGGGACGAGUGUUUGGUUUCCUCUGAAACCUCGGAGCUUUUGAAAGAGUGGUGCCUGCUCUGAAUUCUACUGUGUCCGGUGUGGGAGUUAGCAUCUCAGGAUUAGCACUACUAAUAUAUUCAAAUGGCCUUCAAAGGAGAACUUGAAGAAUGUUUUCAAAGGAAGUUCUGAUGGGAGUAAUUGUGAAACCUUCAGCUAUGACUCAUCUUCCAUUGAACCGGCCUCUGGAGGCUCAGCCAGAGUGACUCAAAGUAAACACGUAUUCACUGAGCUUCUAACUCCAUGCCCAGCACCACGAAGGAUGCCGUGGUGGCUGCAAAAACGUAUGAAGUGCUCCCUGUCCUCAAGGACUUUAAACAGUAGGAUAUUGGGGAUGGCAGAAAGAGCGCAUUCGAACAAUCAGCCACGAUGUGGAUACCCUCCCCGCUGGCCUUUGUCUGACAUAUCACGCUGCGUGCAAAGUGGCCAAGGGCUGAGGACACAGAAGAGUUUGUGAACCGUUAGCGAGGCUUGGCCAGGCAAACAGGUGAGCGAGAAUAUGGAGAUUCUCCUCCCCACGGGAUUGUUCCAGGACCCCAGGAAUAGAGCGGCCGACGGGGAUGGCCUGUCCGUGCCCAUCCUAUGUUUGUAUCGUUGGCAUCACACUUGUGCAAACGCCGGGGACCCUGGCUGUCAUGGUCCUUUCCCAAGCUUUCAGUUUCUUUGUAGGGGUGGAGGCCUUUCCCCAACGUCAUACCAACCGCGGAAGAGGAAGAAGAACAAGGCCGCGCAAAGCCCGUGUAGAGAAAAUUUGGGUGCUUCUGAGGUUGUAGGCGGGCGCAUUAGAGUUCAGAGUCUGGGCCUGUCGCCUUGAGAGAGACAUUUGAUCUUAUUCUGUUCAAAUGAGCAAGUUGGACCCAAUGAACUCCAGCCAGUGAUGUCUCACUCCGACUAGGUGAUCCCACUUAUCCCGGAAGCAAGAGGCCCCAGGCCCUCCUGGUGGAAUGCCAUUUUGUCCAAUAAAAUAGAGCCCGUCAGAAAGAUCCCAGCCAUCCUGUGUGAGGCCCCUAAGGCUUUGGCCUUGCCUUUAGUUAAAAAACAAAAACAAAAACAAAAACAAAACAAGCCAAUGGUAUGUUCCAGAAUACCGCUGUCUCACAAAUACUUUCCCAGUAUCAGUGGGUAAUAGUGGAAUCUGGAGGCAGGACUGACGGACGGGAGAAGGCCCUGCCUUCCUCCCCUGUGAUUUAGGGCUUCAUUCCACAGGCAUGUGCUGGCGUUUGUUUCGUGCCGGGGCAUGGUCACAGACAACAGGCCUUAAAUUCUCAGGAGUUAGCAUAGCCGUGACACAAGACAGGUUGAUUGCCUCAAAUGCUCUCUUAAUCAGCACUCUCAAACUGCUUCCUUCUUCCUGGGGGGUCAGGUCUCGGGUCAAAGUGUUGACUUGUUGUGUUUCCGACCAUUCCCAUCGUGGCAUGUUGACGAUGCCACCCAGAAGAAGGUGCUUUUUGGCUUACGUUGGGGAUCUCCCAUAAUCGCGUAGCAGACCUGCGGCUACCUGAAGCCUCUCUCCCUUAGGCUUCCCGCUCCAAUGCGGUGUUGGCCAAAGGGCUCAGAUCUUACUUCCAGGUUCCCACACCACCUACAAUGCCAACCCUUCUGGUGCUCACCAUAGAGAAAAUCAGACCAAAGAGAAAUAAUGUGUUAAUGACAGUUGAGAUCUUUCUGAUGGGCUCUAUUUUAUUGGACAGAAUGGCGUUCCACCAAGAGCAGCUGGGGUCCCAUGCUUCUAAGACAAGUGGGGCUGUCUAAUUCUUCCCCUUCCCUGUCAGGAAGGAGAAAACUCAGGAGCUGGUUGUCAACAAGGAAGUGAAGUCAUGGUCCAAGGUGCACAGGUAUUGGGGUGUUAAGACCAUUCCGUAAUUCCUUUGAAUUACUUACUUACCAAUAAGUAAUUCCUUAGAAUAUAGUAAGCAAUUCCUUACUAGUCAUGUGAUAUUAAACAAGUUCACCUCUUUGAAUCCAAGCUCCCUUAUCACUAAAACAGAUUUAGCGUCUAUAUACGGGGCUGUUGAAGAGAAUGAAACGAAAUAAGGUAUACGGAAGAUCUGGGAAAGGGACAAAGUACUACACGGAUGUGACCUGGUCCUAUUAGACGAGGCGCUAAGGUAGGUGACUGGUGUGAUAGUCCCAUUCCUCAACCCAACUCUCAUGGCUCCCUCUGUGAGGAAUUAGGUGAUCGACACAUCUAUAGAUUCUCACUCUAACCACGCACUGCUGACGGCAUAGAGCCUUGGGCUUGGAGCUUUCGAAGGGACUCUUAAAAUGGUUGAGAUGCGGGACACGGGUAAACUCAAAACUGCAAUAUGGAAAAAAGAACAUUCAUAUUUAAGUAAACUAAAACACAAUGUUUCCUCCAGUUAGUCGACUGUAACACAAUGCGACUGUUACCACGUUGUACAGUUGUUUUUGACGUGUGAUAAGGGAGCAUCUUAACGUGUCUGACAGGAAGAAGGAGAGAGCUUCCAAAAGGAAGUUCUCGGAGCCUGUGCGAACCAGGAACAGUCGAGCAUCCUAUCUAUUUUUAACUGUAUCGCUAACUGCUCUUUUUGCUUCUGCCUCCAGGGUCCCGCAAGUUAUCCAUAGAAGCUACAGAAGAUGAGCUCUCUCCAGUUUUAUUCAACUCCAAGGUGAGGUAUGCUCACUUUCUGUGCGUUUUGAGGAAGGCCGGGCUUCAGGAAACUCACUCCAGACCCCUCGUUCCCAUCAUCCCAUCUUGUCCCAUCUUAUUUUUGUGGUCUGUGGUAUCCAUGGGACUCUGGUUAUUUGUAGGUAUUGAUUGAAUUGCGAGACGGCUCUUUGGUCAGGUGGGCCCGAGCUGGAGCUCCGAGGUUUUGUGCAGACAGGUGGACGGCAUCCCAGGAGGCUGCCAUCUUGUCUUUGCCACUGGCUCUCUGGCCUCGGUCAAGCGCCUCCUCUGCUCUUUUGUCAUUUAUCUGCGCAAUGAGAUGUGUCACAUCCAGAGAGGGGAUGAGUGACGAGACCCAGCUUUCCGGCACUGUGCUUCCGACGCCUCUCCUAAAUGACUCUGGGUACACACACAUGACACAGGCCCUCAGUAGGUAGACACAUCCAUAACCUGCUCGGAGGGAAAGGUCAGGCUUCAGCUGACCUUGGCUUGUUCUUUUCUUCCAAGCUGACAAAACAUGCGGGGUUUGGAAAGCUGUCUGCUGGACCUGCCUGAUGAAGCGUUGCAGGAAUUACGUGAUUAGAAACAGAACGUAAUGAAACUCAGGUCGGAAAUGGACAACCAGCUGACAUUUAUUUUUCCCCAAUUAAUCAUCUCCGUUUUCCCACGGGGUUAUCCGUGUCAGGGCUGAGGGAAGGUGGGAGUGCUGAGUUACUGGCACCGCUGGGUGCCUCCCUGCCGACAGCCACGAGCCACAUUCUGCCUUGCCGACAGAAGGGACUGGCUUCGGGUGUGGGUCGGCAUUCUCUCAGGGGAGGACAGGUCCCUACCUAACCCCAGGCGGUGGGAGAAUCUAGUCACAGUACUUCUGGUCCUUUUGCCUGUAAUUCUGCGCCACAGUUCUGUCCAGUGUGAUGUGAGGGGACAUCUGCUAGGGUAGGGGAACCCUCCAGGUUAAGUUUUUCUUGUUGUCAACGGGGAUGCCUCCGUGUCCUUGUGCCAGUUGAAUAUCCGAAGCUUGCAACUGAGGUGGCCAUCUGGACAGCACGAGAACAAAUGCCUACGAGCUGGGGAUGGUGGAGAGAAAACAUGGAGAGCACCUGGGCCCGUGACGACAUUUUUAAGCUGCUCAUUUACGUGACCUUGGAACUUCUCUGCUUUGGAAACUCUUACCGCGCGCAAGAAUACUUGGUCCCUGUCGCUCGGGGCCACGUCUGGCUGGGUUUGCUGUUAUGAAGGCCCGCGAGUGGCUGAAUGAAGCUGCCUCCUUGGCCCCAACGUAUUCCUUCCUGGAGCAAAGGCACCCACAGAGAAUAUGUCUCAGAGCAGAGCUUCUAAGAGGGGUGGAGUGGGAACAAGGAUCCAAAGUGGACUCUGCGCUGUCUGAGCUCUGGGCUCGAACUCGUGAGCCGUGAGAUCGUGAACUGAAUCGAAGUCGGACGCUUAACCCGCCGAGCCACCCAGGCGCCUCUCACAUCAGAGCUUUUGUCGCCAGCCCCCAGAGUAGGGCCGAGGAGAGGAGAGGGAAAGUACAUCUCCUGUAAGAUUAUCUCCUAAAGCUGCCGGCCGGCCAGCUGCCAUUUAUUUGAUUUCCUGCAUCUUUAACUGUGGAAUUCACGAGAAAUUCUCAUUUGCUUUCCUCCAGUAUAUUUUUCUUCCAGUACAGCUCCCAUUUUACCGCCUUAACCGGUUACAUUAUCUAGCUCCCCCCACCCUGAGAAUGUCCCACACGAGGUAAUAAUACAAGGUGCCCCACAUGAUGCCAGCAGGUAGGACAUCUACCUCCCGAGGGAGGUGUGUGGGCAGAACUUGCGACAGCUCACGGGCUUAUUGCUGUUGUUAUUGUUGCAAACGUGGAGGAGGUCCGAGCAGGAGGAAGUACUCUGGGGAGAUGUAGCAACUUUCUCUCCCUCUCUUCGUCAGCCUGGAAAACCCAGGCAGGUGGUGGGGACAGCAGCCGAGCACAGACCACAUUCCUGCCUCAGAUAAGGUCUGUGGAGGUGAAUUCCCAGGCUGCAGAGGUGACUCCUGAGUCAUCGCAGCUGAGAGCCAAGCGACUUGCCCCAAGCCAUUGCUCAACGCCGCUGGGGACAGUGUCUCAUGCCCACCGCGUGUCAUCCACCGUGGCAGGCUGCAGUUUCAAUUUGAUGCACGAGGGCAAACGGGUAGGUUCUUCUGCGUGCGCCCCCCCCCCCCGCAACCCUGGGAGGUACCUUUGUGGUCAAGUCUGAACCCUCUUUUUGUGAGGGCUCCCAGAACCUCAGCUCAGGGAAGUCGGGGACUCGGCCCCUCUUGUCCCCUGCAGGAUCCCCGGUGCCGAGAGCCGAGUCUGGCACGCGUGUUCGGAAUGGCUGACUUUGAAGAGACUGAGUGAGGGAUGCUUUGAAGGCCAUACCGCAGUAGGAAGGAGAAAGUGCUCUGGGGGCCACCGAGCCGUAGAGAGUUCGGACGGCAGGAAUGGGGAGCAGCACCCGGGGCAGGAUCCUGGAGCCCCAGCAACAGAGCCCAGCUCCAGGUAGAAGCUGCCGGAAGGGGCGCGGUGUGGACGGAGGGUGGCUGGCCACGCGAGGUGCUGCUCCAGGACACGGGAUCUUGACCGUGCGAGGACUUCUCGGGCCUGGGCCUCUGGUCGCGGCCAGGCGCGGCUCUGGUGGCCCGGAUGAGCUCCGUCUCCUUAGCCCGUCCCCCAGGGCUGGGCCGGGAGGACUGAAUCUCCAUCCCUCCCCCGUGGCCUCUUUCUGUUCAACUACCCCAGCACAUUUUUCAGGAUGCCCGUCCUCACAGGGAGUGGUUUCCACGUCGUGGAGGAAAAGUAGGGAAGCCCCUGAAUUUCUCCCGGCGAGAGGCGUUUGGGGGGCACCGCUGAGGUAGCUGAGCUGGCCCAGCGCGGUGCGAGGUACUCUCGUUAGGGACCGUCCGCGGGCCCUCUGUGCCAGCCCCCUGCUCCCUGGCUGGCUGUGCGGGGCCUCUGUAGCCUCUGCCCUCUCUCUCUCCAUCAGCAACAGCCUGGCCUCUCUCCUCCUGGGUCCAAGAACCUCUUAAAUUCUCGGGUUCUACUCCACCCGGUCCUUCAGAUACCUUACUUCUCAAAUUAUAGCCACCAGGGGAGGCAACACUUAAGCUAAAGCCUCUCAGCUGCUGAUCUCAGCUGACACUGUCUAGGCAGGGGGCACGGCGUGGGACACGCAGGUCCGGGGCUCAGUCGAGCUGGGCCCCGCCCCUGCUGUGCCUUUACCGGCCGUGGGGCCCCGGACAAUUCCGGCAACGUCGGUGGGCCGUAGCCUUCUCCUCCUUAUCGUAGAAGAGGCCAGCGGUGGAAACCCAGGGGGUCGUUCUGAGGAUUCACAGAGAUGAUGUCGAUAAAUCACCUAACCCGGGGCUUGGUGUGGAACCAGCAAUGAAUACGUGUCGACAAUUUCUAUUUCUGCAUUUUCUUCUCAUUCUUCCUUUUAACUCUUGCCGCGCUGGACAAGUGACUUUACCUCCUCACAGGACGGAUGUCUUCGUGGGGUGAGGACGAGAAGGGUGGGGCAGAGACAGUCUUCGGUUUUAUGUUUUUAAGUCAUCAGUCCAAAAACCAGUGCCACUGCUCACGGACGAGCGGGCAUCCCACGUGCUACGGGGCUUUUGAAGCAUGUCGGCAAGUUCUCGACACUCCUUCCCGAAAAGGAGGGGUCUAAUUCAUUUCCCUUCAUUCUGGGCUGGCACUGGUGGUGGUGUGCGUCUCUUUAAGUUCAUUUACUUAUUUUUGAGAGAGAGAAACAGAGCACUCGAGCAGGGGAGGGGCGGAGAGAGAGAGGGAGAGGGAGAGGGAGAGGGAGAGGGAGAAUCCCGAGCGGGCUCCGCGCUGUCGGCGUAGAGCCCCAGGCCGGGCCUUGAGAUCACCAACCUGAAGAUCGAGGCUCGGGCUGCACCAGCCGAGAGUCGGAGGCUCAACCGACUGAGCCACCCAGGCGCCCAGUAGUGACGUGCUUCUCUCAACUAGAAGGCGGUGGAAGUGAUGCCGUGUGACCGUCGGGGCCAGGCUAGUCGAGCCGAUACCUCUUUCUCCCUCUCGGGGCACGUGCCUUGGGACUCCUGAUCCAUCGUGGAAGAAAGCCGGUGACCCCGGAGGGGCCCGGCCCAGGCUGGUGCCUGGCGUGUGAGCGAGGAAGGAACCCAGCUCAGGCCAGCAGCUGACCGCGAUCUCACGAGAGACUCUAGGUCAGCUGGCCCACUCUCAAGUUCCUGACCCACACAACCCGUGAGCGCUAGCGAACGACUGUUGCUGUCUUAAGCCACUGAGUUUGGGGCUGAUUUAUUAUGCCCUCACAGGUGACAGAUACAAAUGUCACCGAGUACUAGCCCUGUGGGAUAGGCGCUUGUGACCUCAGUUUACAAAUGAGGAAACGGAGGUGUUAGAACUUACGGAGCAGGUAAGACACCACGAGGCGAUGCGGCGGUGGGACCCAAACGUGUGUCCGUGGGACUCCAGAGCCCGCGCUCCAUCCUCCGCACUGGGGGCUGCCUCAUCUGAUCCCAGAAGAGGUUGAAAAAAAUGGGUCAAAAUACCUUCUUCUGGACCCGCGCUACAAAUCUGCCAACGCCCUAGGGUUAAGCACGCACGCUCACGCCGUAUUUGGAAGAUCACCACCGGCUCGACCCACGCGUGGCUGGUUGUAGGUCGCUGGCAGCGUGAAUGUUCUGGAAGGUUCUCAGUGCCGUGCGUCUCCUUCGGAGCAGUGCUGGGCUCACAGGGAGCCGAGGGCAGGGUGCCAGUUGGAGGGGUGUUUAGCCACCCCGAGGGCCCCGGUUGCCCUGGUGAGGCCUGUGGACAGCGGUGAAGCCCGAGCUCGGGGUCCGUGAGGAAGAGCCAUGUGGCGGGUGGUGAGAAAUGGUGGAGGCAGACAGAACAAACAAGGCCGAGCAGUGGGAGGACAGCUGAGCAGGCAGUGAGGGUGGCAGGCGGUGACAGAAGUUCUAGAGAACAAUGAGGAAAAUAUUCGUGGAGAUGACCGAUGAAUGUUCCCUAGAGACGCACAGUAAGGGCUCCCUGCCGCUGAGGGGAAGUGACUGCUGUCAUAGGGGCCCCGCGGGCCACUUUAGAAUCCCCGUCUUACCCUGGACACGGCUGCUGCACACAGGGUUCUGGAAGGCAGGGGCAGGACAUUCAGGUCAACGUCUAUCAAGCGCCUUUUGUGGGCCAGGGACCAGCCAGUGAUGGGACAUCUGUAAUAUAAAUAGGACAUAAACGUAUCAUGUGCCCCACAGGGGCUUGAGGUCUGCAGGGGAACACUGUUUUAAGACCUACUGUGUGCCUGGUCCUCUGUUUCCUGGUUACUCCUGUUAUCUUAUUUAAUCUCGGCACGAAUUUGAUCAAACAGGCCCCACGACCUUCGUGAGAAGCUGAGUUGAGACAACAUGCCCAGUGCUUAGCUUUUAACUCAUUCUGAUUCUUUUUUUUUUUUAAUGUUUAUUUGUUUUUGAGAGAGAGAGAGAGAGAGAGAGAGCCAGAGCAUGAGCGAAGGAGGGGCAGACAGAGAGGGAGACACGGAAUCCGAAGCAGGGUCCAGGCUCUGAGCUGUCAGCACAGAGCCCGACGCGGGGCUCGAACCCACGAACCGAGAGAUCGCUACCUGAGCUGAAGUUCGACGCUCAGCUGACAAAGUGACUCAGGUGCCCCCAACUAAUUCUGAUUCUGAGGCCCCUGGUCGGUCCACUACAGAGCCUGGCCCUGGGAAGAAAGAGGUCGGUGCUGCCUGGAAGGGACCUGGGGGUGGGGGUGGGGGGCAGGGAGACUUCUCAGAAGGGUUAGACCCGCUGCGGACUGGGGAUGCCGUUAGUAUUUAAAGCCCGGCACCCAGGCAGCAGGACGGCACGUGAGGGAGGACGCGNNNNNNNNNNNNNNNNNNNNNNNNNNNNNNNNNNNNNNNNNNNNNNNNNNNNNNNNNNNNNNNNNNNNNNNNNNNNNNNNNNNNNNNNNNNNNNNNNNNNNNNNNNNNNNNNNNNNNNNNNNNNNNNNNNNNNNNNNNNNNNNNNNNNNNNNNNNNNNNNNNNNNNNNNNNNNNNNNNNNNNNNNNNNNNNNNNNNNNNNNNNNNNNNNNNNNNNNNNNNNNNNNNNNNNNNNNNNNNNNNNNNNNNNNNNNNNNNNNNNNNNNNNNNNNNNNNNNNNNNNNNNNNNNNNNNNNNNNNNNNNNNNNNNNNNNNNNNNNNNNNNNNNNNNNNNNNNNNNNNNNNNNNNNNNNNNNNNNNNNNNNNNNNNNNNNNNNNNNNNNNNNNNNNNNNNNNNNNNNNNNNNNNNNNNNNNNNNNNNNNNNNNNNNNNNNNNNNNNNNNNNNNNNNNNNNNNNNNNNNNNNNNNNNNNNNNNNNNNNNNNNNNNNNNNNNNNNNNNNNNNNNNNNNNNNNNNNNNNNNNNNNNNNNNNNNNNNNNNNNNNNNNNNNNNNNNNNNNNNNNNNNNNNNNNNNNNNNNNNNNNNNNNNNNNNNNNNNNNNNNNNNNNNNNNNNNNNNNNNNNNNNNNNNNNNNNNNNNNNNNNNNNNNNNNNNNNNNNNNNNNNNNNNNNNNNNNNNNNNNNNNNNNNNNNNNNNNNNNNNNNNNNNNNNNNNNNNNNNNNNNNNNNNNNNNNNNNNNNNNNNNNNNNNNNNNNNNNNNNNNNNNNNNNNNNNNNNNNNNNNNNNNNNNNNNNNNNNNNNNNNNNNNNNNNNNNNNNNNNNNNNNNNNNNNNNNNNNNNNNNNNNNNNNNNNNNNNNNNNNNNNNNNNNNNNNNNNNNNNNNNNNNNNNNNNNNNNNNNNNNNNNNNNNNNNNNNNNNNNNNNNNNNNNNNNNNNNNNNNNNNNUUUCUGUCUUUCUCUCUCCUCUGAGCAAGGUCACGGCCAUCACAAUGCCAACUGUUUUCCGUUAAAUUCCAAUCUCAUGCGCUAGCCAUAAACGUUUGGGGUUUUUUGUCCCCCUCCUUGGUACUGCCACUGCGCAGGUCAAGGUUGCCAGCACCUUCCAUCCUGCCCUAUGCAGUGACCACUAUUCUGUCCUUAUUUUAUUUGACCUUGUGGCAGCUUCCCACACGGUGGUCCCCCUUGAUAAACUGGCUUCCUUUGCUUCCUGUAAAUGCACUCACAGGUUUUUUCCCCUAAACAUCAGCUACUCCUCUUCAUCGCCCUUUCAGGAUCCCUCGGCCUCCCCCAUUAGCCGCUCCCCUGGGAGCCGUCAUCUCUCCCCCAGUGUCCAGUCGGGCUGUGUCCCAGGUGUGUCCGCUUCUCCCAUCGCCACGGCCACCCUGACCCGGCUUUCGCCAUCUCUGCUGGGUCGCUGCGAUGCAGGUCGAAACUGGGAUCCUGCUUCUUCUUUGGGUCCGUCUGGAAUCUAGCCUUUCCAGAGCGGCUGAAAGGUCUUCCCCAGAUUCCAGUCCAGCCCCACCAUUCACUGCUUAAAAACACACCCGUGGCUGUCAACCGCACGAAGAAUAAAAUACAGACUCAUUGGCAUGGCCUACAGGGCCCACGUGAGCUGUCCCCGCCUCUCCGUGACCUCACGUCCCUGCCCACGCCCCCCGGGACCCUGCUCCAGCCGUUCUGGCCUUGGUGCCCUUCCUCACACAGAUCCAGGUUUGCUCCGGCAGGAAGGCUUUUCCUCUCGUGGUCCGGCUUCCAGAUGGGCCGACUGUUGACUUGUUUUCAGCCUUCAGACGGCAGCCUCGUCGUCACCUCCCUUGGGGAAGCUUCCCUCACACUCUGACUAAAGCAGCCCACCUCCUACUUUAUUUGUAUAAAUUUUGUGACCAACAACUGUGUUAUCUCCAUUCUGAGGCACCUAGCUGAGCUCUUUUCACUUUUUUCUGACGCUUGCCUUACUUUCUCUGCUCCUUAUACUUUUCACUUUCAAGUUUAUGCUCAGCUUAGCUUCAUCUGUGGGAUUCCCGGGAGGUCUGCGUUGAAUAACUGUCCCUCCAGAUAUGGUUUCUUUUAGCAUCUGCUACGAGCUUGAGUUUGCCAUCCACGUGGGGCCAUUUUAUGUUCACUUUCUCUUUUGGAGUUUCUGAGACGAUACAGACAGGGUAAACAUGAGUCCCAAAUCCACAUGAGGUUGGGGUUAUGAAUUCUCAGAGGAGAUCUUUUUCCCCCCAAAGAACCCUAGAUGAUAUGUGCAAGUAUUGUUUUAUGCCUCCUCUGUUGGUACGUAGAUUUUUUUUUCUUGUUCUUCUCCACUGAGCGUAGAAUUUCAAUGUUCCUGGAUUUAUGCAGGAGUCUUGGAUUCAUCAUCACUCCACCUUGUGUGGCCCAAGAGAUCGUCGUCUCCUGUUCCUAUGUGGUUUUGCCUUGGACAAAGAGAACAAAAGUUGACCCCGGAACAGCCUUAUCUUCAGCCACUCUCUGGGGGAGUUUCCUUAUUUACAUGCAAGGUCAGCUAUAGAUUUGAGAGCCUUGAUAUAUAUGACCCAGCAUUUUAUGUGACUUUGAUGGGAAGGUUUACAUGUUAUCAGCCUACCAUAUUUUGAGAUAGAAGUCCCUCAUUUUUAUUUAACUCUGUAUUAGUUAAUGCUUUAUAUGUUGAUGUCCCAAUUAUUGAUAAUAAUCUUAAGUCUUUAGAGAACUUUAAAGCUCAGAAAUCCUUUUCAUAUCUAUCUCCUAGUAGGAAUCACUGGCUUCCUUGUGUAGUCAAGGAAGCCACGCUCGGAGUGAAGCGACUUGGCUAAUAAUGACCACUGUUUUUUGAAACCUACUCUGCGUCAGGCGCUAUAAAUAGAUUAUGGCAAAGGCUUACGGCGGACCCAUGAAAUGGGUAUUAUUUUCUGCGCCUUGUGGUUGAGAAAACUCGGCGUCCGAAUGCUAUUGUAAUUGGUCUGAGGUCCCAUGGCUUGUGACAUAGUGGCCUGCCAGAGUCCAUUCUCUUCCCAGUGCUGUCUCUGUUCGUUCUCCAAGCUACUUUCCUAGAUGUGGGUUUUUAUGCAUUUUAGUGAAGGCAUUUAUGCGUCUUAGUGCAAUUUUGUACUUAGAAAGUUCUUUACUAAUAAAUACGUUUAUCAGUAACUUGGUUAGUUGUAAGGGUGCCCUGUUUCUUCAAUCUCAGUUCCAUCUGGGAGGAAAAGCUCUUUUGGAGCCUUAAAUGACCCACGUGACACCAGAUGCUGCCAUUCACUGUUUUUACCUGCUCCAGGCAGGGGACCCUGGCCUAGGGAUUACAGACGGCCCCUGACGUAUGAUGGUUCGACUUACAGCUUUUCAACUUUACAUUGGUGUGAACGCAAUAUGUAUUCAGUAGAGGCUGUAUUUCGAGUUUUGCAUUUGGAUCUUUUCCAGGGCUAGCAAUACGUCAACAGUACUCUCUCCCGAUGCUGGGCAGUGGCGACGGGCUGUGGCUCCCGGUCACCAGCAACUGACGCACAACUGUUCUAUACCCCUAUGACUGUUCUGUUGUGCACGUUCAGUUCACUAUUCAGUCAAUUGCAUGCGGCACUUUUUUAUAAAACCGGCUUUGUGUUAGAUGAUUUUGCCCAACCGUAGGCUAACGUUAAGUAUCCCGAGUACGCAUAAGGUGGGCUAGGCUAAGCUAUGAUGUCUAGGUGGAUGAAAUGCAUUUUUGACUCAGGAUAUUUUAAAUUUACGAUGGUUUUGUCAGGAGGUAACCCUCUCAUAAGUCAAGGAGGAUCUGUACUAGCUAGCAUCUCAAGCUGUGCCUUUUAAUUUUUAUUUUUUCAGCCAUGAUCUUUCAAAUGAUGUUUCACAUGGGACCCCAAUACAGAUGAGAUAAUUGGAGAAGCAGUGGGACUUUCUGAGGACAUGUAGGCCAAUCACUGAGUUCACUUCUUGAAAAUUAGUCACCUUGUAAAAUUUUAAAAAUAUGUGUAUGUGUAUAUAUAUGUGUAUACACACACACAUACACACACACAUAUGUAUAAACAAAUAGAAAUGAAUAAAAAUCAUUGGCUUUGACAAAUAUGUUCAACUAUCUGUUAAAAUAGCUCUUGAUUCUUAGUCCUUUCCACCAUUUAUGUCCAUAUAAUGAUGUGAGCCCAGGUCGUUGAAAAACCAUGUCUCUAAGAAAGAAACAAGAAAUUAUCUAUAACAAGAGAAUUGUCUGAAACAAGAAUUGUCUGAUGGGAACCCGAUCUCCUGUCCUAGCUCUCUUCAAUUCAGUCCAACGGUCCUAAUUUGUCAGUCACAAUGAAACAAUUUGGUAUUCAUUAGCCAGAUUCAGAGGUAAGGAACUUGAGACUUCAAAAGAAAUCUCUCCUCCCAGUAGGCCAGUCUGUAGUCUCCUGGGGAUGUAUCCCCUUUUCUCUGCCAAUCUGGAUGUUUCCAUGUACAGCCUACCAUAUUUUCUAGGAGGCCCUGCCUCAGGCCACUCCAAAGCCAGGGGUUUGAACUCUAAAACCAGGUGUCUCUUCACUACACAACAUUAUUCCCUGGUCCAUGGGUUUUCAACUCUAACAGACUUCCUUCUUUUCGCCAGCCCGGCCAAAAUAAUUCCAUUUCGUAUUUGAGACCCAAAUCACCUCUCAGGUUCUCUCAGAAGUGACCCUUGGCUGCUUCUGUCCAUACGGACAUUUCUAUUCUUUGAACUUAGAGCUGAUACACAAUUAUAAUGACACUGAAGACACAUUAUCUUGGAUACCUUCUCUAUCUGUCUGUUGCAUUCUUUUCAAAGCUAUACAGUAUCUCUGGCUGAAACGAACAACGCAGGAAACAACACAUGUUGGCGAGGAUGCAGGGAAAGGGGAACCCUCUUACACUGUUGGUGGGAAUGCAACCUGGUGCGGCCACUCUGGAGAACAGUAUGGAGGUUCCUCAAAAAGUUAAAAAUAGAACUACCCUAUGACCCAGCAAUUGCACUAGUAGGUAUUUACCCAAAGGAUACAAAAACACAGAUUUGAAAGGGCACCUGCACCCCGAAGUUUAUAGCAGCAUUAUCAACAAUAGCCAAACUAUGGAGAGAGCCCAAAUGUCCAUCAAUUGAUAAAUGUAUACACACACACACACACACACACACACACACACUGGAAUAUUACUCAGCCAUCAAAAAGAAUGAAAUUUUGCUACUGGCCAUGACGUGAAUGGAGCUAGAGGGUAUUGUGCUAAGCAAACUGGGUCAGAGAAAGACAAAUACCAUAGGAUUUCCCUCGUACGUGGAAUUGAAGAAACAAAACAGAUAUACAUAGGGGAAGGAAAAAAAGAGAGAGGGAAACAAACCAUAAGAGACAACAGAGAACAAACUGAAUGUUGACGGAGGGAGGAGGGUGGGGAUGGGCUAAAUGGAUGAUGGAUGUUAAGGAGGGAACUUGUCACGAGGAGCACUGGGUAUUACGUGUAGGUGAUGAAUCACUAAAUUCUACAGUGAAACUGAUUUUACCAUAUAUGCUGACGGGCUAGAACUUAAACAAGACAUUGAAAUUAAAAAAUAAAUAAAAUAAAUAAAAGUGACGUGAUACCUCUUUAUUCGUAGACCAGGAUUUGCCUAGUUCCAUACGGAGAGACUUCUCUUUUGGUAUCACACUUCGGCGUUACAAUGUGGUCAUGACUAUCAUGGUACUUUUAUCUUGGCAUAGUGUUUGUUCCAAUGGUUAUGUGUGUGGGAAAUCCCUUCUGUUGAAGCUCUUGGGGUGAAGGGCAGAGACAUCACCCGUUUUUUGACAGAAGCUGUGCCGGAGAGAAUGUUUCUGCACACCCUCACCAGCGCUGGGUGCCAUAAAUAUUUGGGCGGAAUUUAGUGGCUUUCUGUGUGUUAGGUGAGCACAUAGGAAGUGAGGCGCUCGAAAAAACAUAAAUGCCCCCUUUCUUUUUACUCUAGAGAAAGGACUCUCUAGGUGUUGGGAUGCUAAACAAGUUUGACCUCUCUGAAUCCCAGCUUUCUUAUCUGAAAGAGGGGUUAGGAGUACGUUAAGGAUAUUUCCAGAGCUGUUGUCAGGAUUAAACAAUGCAAUGGAAAUAAAGAACUGCGGGCAUGUGCUCCUUGUGUUCCUGAUGACGCCAGGGAGUAGGGCACGAGGUGAGGAAAAUUAGCACCAUCAUCCCACCCAACAGCGGCUGAAUGUUGGCCACACUCGGCUACCGCUGCAAGUUCUUGACUUAUUGGCCUAUUUAACAUUCGCCAUCACACUGUGCUAUUACCAUCCCCAUUUCAUACCAGCUAGUGAGGAGUGAAUCGAGGACGGAAACCUAGGCAGUCUGGCCCAGAACUUGAGAUCGUAAAUCUCCCACCUUUUGGACAUCAGAUGCUGUCCAGCAGGUAGCCCGCCCUUUGUUUGUCUCGGCCUGACGUGCAGCCCCCACAGCACCUUCUUGCUAAGGCCGGGCCGGCUUCUGGGACCAGGCUUUACCAUCCCUCCGUGGGCGUGAAUCACAUGAAUAAGGGCCACCUGCUGUGGUUCCAUAAAAACGCUGUAAUUACAGAGGACAGCCAGGGGAAAACAAUAAACAUACUUAUUUCAGCCAGGUAAAAAACCAAAAUCACAAUUUACUUUAUGCAUCCAAAGACUGAUUCGAUCUGUGCUGCAUACUAGAAAAGCCCCACACCUAGUUAAGCCCUACAUAGAUCCCCACGGCCAUAAUUUUACACUACGCCUGUAUAGCAGGUGCCUUUAAUCCGCCACGGGGGCGGGGGGCGGAGAGUAAGCCGGAGUAAGAAUCGUGUACGUCAGUUUUUAAAUAGAGAACAUUCCCCCAUGCCCAAAGUGUACAGGUCAUUUUAUUGCAGUGGAAACACCUAACCUGUCCCGAGGCAGGGGUGGUGGUAGGGGAUGGCGAUCUUCUUGUGACAUUACAAAAGGACAGUGAGGUUGGGAGUGCCGGAAAGCACGUGUGAACUUUUGUUGUGUUCUUCGGACAGAUGUAGGCAGGUCUGCGGGGUGCAGCCUCAGGCUUUCAAAAGAGGUCCCGCCUUGUGAACCCACAAAGUAUACACAAUCACUCACAGGGAAAACGCCUGGAAGGUUAUACAGCACAAUAUUAACUCCACGCGGCGGGAUUAGAGGACAUUCGCAUGUUUUAAAAGUGUGCUCCUAGGGGCGCCUGGGUGGCUCAGUCGGUUUAGUGUCCGACUUCGGCUCGGGUCACGAUCUCACAGUUCGUGGGUUUGAGCCUCACCUCGGGUUUUGCAUUGACAGCGUGGAGCCUGCUUCGGGUUCUCUGUCUCCCUCUCUCUGUCCCUUCUCUGCUCGUACUCUGUCUCUCUCUCGGAAAUAAACAUUAAAAAGAAAUUUAAAAAAAUGUCUUUCUGGAGGUGCCUGGGUGGCCCAGUGGGUUUAGGGUCUGACUCUUGAUUUCUGCUCGGGUCAUGAUCCCAGGGUUGUGGGACUGAGAACUGCGUGGGGCUCACACUGAGCAUCAAGUCUGCUCAAGACUCUCUCUCUCUCUCUCUCUCUCUCUCUCUCUCUCUCCUGCUACCCCUCUCCUCCAUUCGUGCGGGCUCUCUCUCUCAAAUAAAAUUCAAUUCAAUGUUGGGCACCUGGGUGGCUCAGUUGGUUAAGCGCCUGACUCUAGUUGUCGGCUCAGGUCCUGACCUCUUGGUUUGUGAGUUCGAGCUCCAAAUACGGCUCUGCACCAAUGGUGAGGCACCUGCUUGGGAUUCUCUCUCUCUAUGUCUCUCUCUCUCUCUCUCUCUCUCUCUCUCAAAAUAAACUUAAAAAAUGUCUUUCUGAAUUGCCUGAAAAAAAACUUUUUUGAGAGAGAGAGCAAGAUGGGCAGGCUCCUUGCCCCACGCUGAGCUAGGCAGGGGCUCGAUCUGACCGCUCUCACCACCGUGAGAUGAUGACCUGAGCCGAAAUCAGGAGUCGGAGGCUUAACUGACUGAGCCGCCCAGGCGCUCCUGAAUUGCCUGAAAAUUUUCAAUGAGGAUCUAUUUCUUUUAAACUCAGGAAAAUGAAAAAGCCAUCCUCUAAGAAGGAAACCCACUGGAAAGCAGAAGAGGCUGUGCCCUCCGGGUCUCUCUGUAACCGAAUCUGGCAGUCUACCUCUGGUACUCAGCAUGACCUUGAGAUGAAUUCCAACCCAUCCCGCAGCAUGGCACCAUGGGAAAGGAAGGCAUUAGAGCCGGAGAGCUGGGUGUUAUGGUUCUACCACGGGGGUGGGUUAUUCCACCAGUCUGAGUUUUGGUUUCUGUAGAGUGUAGACAAUAAUCCUACCCUUUUUGCUUUAAGUAUUGGGGAUAAUACACAGAGGGUGUUUACCCAAGUCCUUGUCAUUCACUGUUUCAACAACACCCAUUCCCUGCACACCUGUUCACCCCAUGCACUCCUCUGGGCACUGGCAAUGCACAGAGGUGGCAGGUUUUUUUUUUAGAGUAUGUGCUUUCCAACUUUUUAUUUUAGUUUAGGACAUCCUCCAUAUCUGAUCUUUCAAUGUAUUCAUUUUCGUGGAUGCAAAGCUACGCAACGGGGCUAAGGCACAUCCGCUCUGGCCCCACCAUCAGGUGUUGGUAGCCAUCACCUGUGGCUAUUUUAGCUUUGCCAUCAUUUAGGGCUGAAGGUGUGUUUCCUGGGUUUUGCCCUUCUUUGUAAAACAAAAAGAAUGAGCUAAAAAGCUAGAGUAUGGAAUACCACUUUAAUAUUACAGGCAUUCAGCUUUAUUGAAAAGACACCUUUGUUGUCCAGAUACCAGGAUCCUAACUUAGAGACAUUUAUGAAAAGUUGUUGAAGACCUUGUCUCUGUUAAGUUAUAUACGCAGCGAACACCAGAGAAGAUAAAAACAUGUUUUUAAGAGAGUCGAAGUGAUACAGAAGGGUUGGAAGCGAUGCCAUCAAUGUCUAUAGUUCUGGGGGGAAAUUUAAGUCGUUAAAGCCAGCUGCUAGCGUGGACAAUGAUCGAACACUUUUUAUGUGUCCUGUUCCAAGUGUAUGAAUGAGUUGAACUCUCGCAUCGAGGAGGUAUCAUUCCCUCCCCCCAUCUUAAAGAUGAGAAAACUAGGCACAGAGGGAUUACAUAGCCAGGUUACAGGUAGUAAAUGGUAGGGUUGGGAUUUGAACCCAGGAAUCUGCAUAUCCCUGUCCUAGAUUGUACCUUGCACAUUGGUUCCUAUGCAGCCUCGCUAUAGACUUAGGAACAAAUGGAUCGAUUCACAACGUUUUGAAAUCCAAUCUGCUUGGUAGUAGAGAAACUCCUGGCUAGACACUACUUACGAACUCCGGUUGUUGGGACGCCAAAAUUGGGAGUUGCUUGGCCAGAAUCACCCACGGGACACCUACUACUCUAUUCCUUAAUAUCUGCUGAUAGUCAGAGAAUCUUAGGAAGAAAACAGAAGAAUUAAAUCUCGGUGGGGAAUUCAUUUUUUCUACCUUAAAAUUUUAUUGGAACACUAGCUGAUGGUCAAGUUAAAUGAAAUGUCAACAAACUCAAAAGAGCAAAGACCCUUGAAGGUACCUGGUAGGGGCUAGAUGUUACUGAACUGGCUGGCAGUCUGGGGAUGUCGGAGGAAAAAUGAGACGCACGUUCGGUUACCGCAAGUAAUCUCUUUCUCGUUGGUGGGACAGAGGGCAGGGUCGUGUGCUGCCUGCCUGAACCACCAGGUUCCUUGCUUUUCCUCUACAGGAAACCAUAAGGGACUUUUCCCGAUACUGACAGUUCCAGAGUCUAUUAAGUCUGAUUAAAACAAAUAGCAAAAGAGCUAACGUAUCUGUCACCAGCUCGUCAAAGGCUUUGUGACACUCACGGCAAAGCCACCGCUAGCUUCUGUGUCCCAUCAGGUCUGCAUGACUUCUGCAUGAUGGCAUUUAGAGUCGGUGCUCAACUCGGGAUUAGAAGAUCUGAUUGGCCGAGUUGUAGUUAAACUAGUAAAUUAGUGACAGAAGGCAUUUGACCUAGAUGGUUGUAUUUCUUUAGUGCGUGCUCCAGGAUUUAUCUCUACCUUAUAUUUUGGGAAUAACCUAAGUAAUUCAGAACAACUGUUACAUAAACAAUGAGUAUGCCAGCCCAUUCUCUACUGUCAUUUUUGUACCUCACAUGUCUUCCCGAGAGAGAAGCAGAAAGAGAACUACCGUCUCCCCGGUGUAUGUGUCUCUGUGUUGGCCACACAGAAAUCCCAUGAUCUCCUACCAGCCGGAGAUUUCUCUACCAGUCCGCCUUUCUAGGUCCUCUAUUAGACGGCCAGGAGCACUGUCCUCGGGCUGUAGUUUUCCCUGGCGGGGAGUCUUGUGAAUGUCCCAGGCAACCCUCUGCUCUCCACGAUUUGCGUCUGACAAGACCCCGGAGUUACAGAAGCUCAGAACAUUCGAGACUCGGUGUCCUAGGACAGUCAGUAUCUCUUCCACAACAAGGCGUUAUUUUAAGCCGACCGGAAAACUGAACAGAUUUCUAAAACUGCUGUUGAACGCGUUACACGUGAAAUCACACAUAUGCCAUUAGUUGCAAAAGCACUUGAAGGUGGUCGCCUCUAAAAGAAACAAGAGAAAAGCCCACGCCGGAGCCCUGAGUACGGGAAGCCAGUGUGGGGGUGUAUUUGGUGCCACAGACCAAAUUUGUUCCACGACCUCCUGGUCCCCGCUCCUCCACACUCCUAAGUCACACUGAGACUUUGCUGCGGGCUUGAGGUUGGGUCCAAAGGACCUGAGCUGGCCAGCGGCCCAGAGGCGCCAGAUGGCUGGCAUCUGUAGGACACGGUGACACCCGGGGUUAACGAGGGGAAGGAGAACGUGUAGCCGAGAGACACUGAAGUCCGAGCGGUGGUUCUGUUCCGGUGACUCCCUAAACUGUUGGUUGAGGGCAGUUAUUCAUAGCAGCGCUAAUCCCCCUUCUCGCUCUCCCCCUGGCCAAACAUCAAAGGAGUUAAAGGAAAACGCCAGAGAACAUCAAUGUCAACCUGAAGCCCACCACCCGAGCACACCUGAUCUCGUUUUGAAAAAUUUUCAUUUUUUUUGUAGCUUCUCUUCCCGAAUCUGCCUUUUAAUCUGUGCGACAGGUCACACCCACCGCCAAAUGCAAAAAGGGACAGAAUCCUUUAUUUGGGUUUUUCCAUGGAGUCAAGGUGAAGGAGAUUUUUUUUUUUUUUUCAUCUGAGUGGGAAAGUUCUGGAAAGUGGGCGAAGGGUAUCCGAAAUUUUGGCUUUCUGGCUUCGGCUUACCGGACACUUUAAUGAACACUUCUGUGGUGUGACCUUGAGAAAGUUCCCUCGUCUCAGUGCACCUCACCUAAAGUGGGUUGUAAGAAGCUUCGCUUUGGCCUGCAGAAAGGAAGGCCCCAGAACGUAUGUGCAAGUGUUAGUACGAAUAGUUAACACGGUACAUGCCACUCACUCUUUAUAGCUGGUAAUAUUUUCCUCUUAUUUAAAAAAAAAAUCCAAACUUGCAGCAAAGUUGAAAGAAUAGCAGAACGAAGAUGCAUUUCCUCUUUACCUAGAUUUGUCGAUGGCUACCAUUUUGCCACAUUUGCUCUGUGCCUUUUCUUCCACACGUGUGCGUGUUCACAUAAAAAUUUUUUUGGCAAGCCAUUUGAAAGUCAUUUCCACAGAGAAUUCAAUUGUUAUUAUCUCUAAUGUCUUAACACGUGUCUUCUAAGCACAAAGACAUUAUCCUAGACAGCAGUAUAAAUGUCACGCUCAGGAAAUCUAACAUCGAAUCGUGAUAUUAUCUAAUAUAUAGACCAAGUUCAAAUGUCCCCAUGUGUCCCAACAAUAUUUUGAAAUGUUCUAAUCAUUGUUUCAAUCCAGGAUAGAAUCAAGAAUUAUUCAAUAUAUUAGCCGUCCUAUUCUUUUUAAUCUAGACCGUCCCUGAGCCUUUAAAAAAAAUUCUCGUAUCAUUUUGACAUUUUUGAAGAAUUCAAGCCAGCUGUUUUGUAAAGUGCCCCUCCAUUUGUUUAUUUUUUUUUCAUUUUUUUCAUGUUUUAUUUCAUUUCCAAGAGAGAGAGAGAUGGGGACAAAGGAUCGGAAGCGGGCUCCGUGCUGACAGCAGUGAGCCCAAUGAGGGGCUUGAACUCACGAACCAUGAGAUCAUGACCUGAGCCAAAGUCGGAUGCUUAACUGACUGAGCCACCCGGGAGCCCCAAGUGUCCCUCGGUUUGGAUUAAUCUAAUUAUCGCCUCAUGCCUGGCUUCAGAUUAAACCUCCUUGUGGAGAGAAUGUUGCAUAUGUCAUAUACUUCUUAGCACAUCAGUCACAUCAGGAGGCACAAGAUGCCAGAGUCCCAUUAUCGAUGCCGGCCAUUUUGAUUAGUUCAGUUGACGUCCCUCAGAUUCUUCUAUUCGGAGGUCCUUUCUUCCCCCAUGUUUAAUGCAUCAGCAAUCCACCGCCGGAGGCUCCUUUUAUGCUCAUCUUUGUGAUUACAGCCAACAUUUCAUGAGCUAUCUCUUCCCUAAUGAGUCUAUUUUCUUCAUCCGGCCACUCCGGCAUUUGCAAUUCUUGGGUGUCUAAGUCCACCCUCACCAGUGGCGUGACUUCUGUGUGCUUGGUCAUCUUCCUUAGUUCAUUACUUGAGCUUCAUGAUGGAAGGGUCCCAUGGCCUAACUCGGGGAAGCUUUCCUCCAGGGCGGGUUUGACCCUGCCGCUGCUGGUACAGGUACCCUUCCAGCCUCCCUGUGGCUUUUGACUUUGAGCGGACACGUGGGCUCAGCUCUCCCACCUCACCGCUCUUCCAAGAUUUAUCACACUCAUGGCAGAGAGGCUCUUAGAAUCUUGCCUCUCUCUCUGUUUACUAUUGACGGUUCCAAAAAUCUUCAUCUUGCCCUAACCUCUGAGAGGUUUGUGGCCGCGGCUUUUUGCCUAAUGGAGUGCCGUACGGAUCAAUACCCCAAAAGUUCACAAAGUUUUUAAAAGAAUGGUAUCGGCUUGGACGAAAUGAGAAGAAAACAGUACAAAAUGAAAGGAGAUCUGUGAGCCUCUCAAGUCGUGCAGACGGGGAGCUGGCUGAGAAAAGCACUCAGCUGCAAACUCAGGCCAGACUCAGGCAAAGGGAAGAGACCUCAGAGGGUAGAGAACAAAGGGCCAGCGAACAAAGCGGCAGAGCUGAGCCCUAGUCAAGAACUGGCAGCCCGAUUUCAGCAUCACUUACGGACCUGUGGCACUGUGUGUCUCUCAUCCGCUUGUGGGUCCACAGCUGUGAGGCCCCACCAGAGUGGGGGGCUGGUCGCUGGCACGAGGACCGGAGGAGUGGGGCUCAGCCGCUGUCCCUGAAUCACUCUGCACACCUGAACCUGACUUUACUGCUUUGACCGGGUGUCAUGGUGGGAUGGGGCUUGUUGGUCUCGAGGGAGGGGUUGAGUUUAUUUUGCAGGUGGGAGGGCUGUGAAGUAUUGUGGCCUGAGGGUGAGCUGUGGUGGCUGUAUUUUCGAAAGAUGGCCACGACGACAUUUCUGCUUUCCUACAAUGCAGUCUCGAUACCUCUCCCUUGGAGGGGCAGGGUCUCUGUUCCCUUUCCUUGAGUUCGGGCUGACGCCUGACCCACAGCAAAAGCGAGACUAGAUCAUAAAUGCUGAUACAGCAUCCUGUCUGGUUCUCUUGGGAUGCUCGCUCUUAAAGCCCAGGCGCCUUGCACUGAAGUCCGAGCAGCCACAUAGCAAGGCCAGGUGUCGGUGUUCCAGCUGAGAGCCCUGCCAACAGCCAGCAUCGACCACCAGACACGUGAGUCGAGAGCCUCUGCAGGCUUCCCACCUCCUAAUGUCAAGCAACCCUGAACUUCAUGUCUUCCCAGCAGAGCCCAGACAUUGUAGCACGGCGGCAAGCUGACCCUUUCUGAACUCCUCCCCCACAGAACACGUGCACAUAAUGUUUUUGUCUCAUUUUGUCGUCAGUUUGGGGUAGUUUGUGCCGCAGCAGCAGUCCCCAGAACACUGGACGGAGUUUGCGCCUCCCCGUGGGAGAGGUCAACAUUGUUUCUUACCCCCUCUCGUUCCCAUUGCCUCCAACUAGAAGCCGUUUUCCAAGGUCGAUGUGGGAGACCAUUCAUUUCGAGCAAACUAGGAGCAAGAAACUAGGUGUUCAAGAGAAGGAGCGGGUGCCUGGUAUCCCCUGAAGAAACAAAGCGCUUGGAAAUGUAACACCACGGGAAAAUUCCAUCUCAUUCCAAACCAGACUCAACAAGUUCGUAUUGAACACUGUUAAGCAUCAGGGCGAGCAUACAUGACACAGGAGACACUGCACGUGGACAAGAACAACUCAAUUAAAAAAAAUUUUUUUUCAACGUGUAUUUAUUAUUGAGAGACAGAGAGCGUGAGCAGGGGAGGGGCAGAGAGAGGGGGAGACACAGAAUCCGAAGCAGGCUCCAGGCUCUGAGCCGUCAGCACAGACCCCGAUGCGGGGCUCGAACCCACGAACCGCGAGAUCGUGACCUGAGCUGAAGUCGGACACUUAACUGACUGAGCCACCCAGGCGCCCCUGGACAAGAACAGUUCAGCAUUGCUUCCUGUGUCCAACUGCCAGCUUUUCUUUCUGUGUUCCACUUCAAAUUCUCAAGAAGGAAUAUGAUUUUUUUUCUUUGUCCCUCGCUGGGUAGUUUUCAUAUGAAGCCGGCUGUUGACCCGCCGGUCAGCCCAUCGGUUGUCUGGCUUUGGGUCAGGCACCUGCCCCACUCUGCAGGCCUGUGGCACAGACCUGCUGCUUUGGGCUGAACUGUGUCCCACCCCGAAUGCAUGUGCUGAAGCCCUAACCCUCCCCCACCCCCAAUCCCUCAGAAUGUGCUUUUACUUGGUGAUAAGACCUUUAAAGAAAUGCUUAAAUAAAAUUGAGGCUGUUGGGGUGGACUUAGCCCAAUAUGACUGGUGUCCUUAUAAGAGGAAAUGUGCGCACACAGAGGGACACCAGGGAUGCGGCACAGAGGAAGGUUCCAGUGAGGACACAGCCAGCAGGCGGCCACUGCAAGCCAAGAAAAGAGUCCUUAGAAGAAACCAAACCCGCUGACGCCUUGAUCCUGACUUCUAUGCUUUACAAAUUCCUUACAACGCAAGUAAUCUCCCUUGCAAAGAAUUAGAAAUACUCAGAUGGAAAGACGUGAAUAAAACAUCACACACAUCAUUUACCACAGUGGCAUCAACUUUAAAGCAGGUCAUAGAGCACAAAAUUGGUUCUCAAAAUCUGUCUUGAAACAGACAACUAUUGCCCCACACUUAAGGCUAGACGAACGAGGAAUUGGGGGCAAGCUUUUGGUCUCUGAAUACAGAAUCCAGCUAGCUAGACCUGGCGGGGCAUCACUUCCCAGGAAACCAGAAGGAUUCUUCCAGAUGAAAGAAUCCUUAGAGAUCAUCUGACCUGACCUUCCACACCACAGAUGAGAAUCCUGUAUUCAGGAAGCAUCUGCCAGCCUCCCAGACUUCUGCAGGUGGCCGGAGGGCAGAACCAGCCCGUCACUGGGGUCCAGAUUUGCUUUCAUGGUGCAUCAGCUGGGCUCCAAAGUCGAGCAUCUACAGUGUCAGAUCCUGAGGGUGACCGCGUCCGAGUUUGGUGUGCCACAGGGUGUUCUAGGGACAGCGUUCCUCAGCGCCUUCAUCAGAAGCCUCCGGACUGCUUGCCAAAGAUCAGCGAAUUUCCAGGACCCGUUCGGACCUAAGAAAUCAGAAGUCUGGAAUAGGGGCCAGGAAUCUGUAUUUUAUUUUAUUUAUUUUUUAAUUUAUUUUUCAGAGAGACAGAGAGAGAGAGAGAGAGACAGAGUGCAAGUGGGGGAGGGGCAGAGAGAGACAGAGACAGAAUCCGAAGCAGGCUCCAGGCUCUGAGCUGCCAGCGCAGAGCCCAACGUGGGGCUCGAACUCACAAGCGGUGAGAUCAUGACCUGAGCCGAAGUCGGACGCUUACCCGACUGAGCCACCCAGGCGCCCCGGGAAUCCGUAUUUCAGCAAGCAGCCCAGUUGAUUUUUAUUCGCACUGAAAUUUGCUGCGCACCAGGCCAGGACAAGUGCAGAUUUCUGCAGUGGCCUCUUCCCGGAGAUCAUCUUUCCUUUUGGUCCUCAGCCCCGUCCUCUGCGUCCCGCUGCCGUCCUGGGCUCCCCCUCGGCGUUCCUUUCCGCCCCGUGCAUGGGCCGAAGCACUUUUCCUCUUCCUCCUCUCUCCCCUUCACCUGCUGCCCUUCUGGGUUCUUACCUCUGUCUCUUUCUUUCCCCUGUGUUGUAUUCCCCCCAUCUCUUGCGUCUGACCCGCUCUGCUCCCUGCCAAAGCGGGGCUGGGGCAUGGACCCGGGUCAGAGGCCGGCUGACCAGGGAGGGAAGGUCCCGAUCUUAGCACAGUUCUGGUCAGGACGCACCCGGGGAGACCAAAACUGGGAUGACACACACGUCUGCGAGGGACAGGUGAGGGAGGAGGCGAGGGGGCAGAUUUACGACCCGGGAAACUCCUCGAGGAAGCAGGUCAAGGAGACCAAGGUGGCCCGCAGGGUGCGGUAGGGGAGGGUGGCGAGCCUCGGGACACCUGCCCCCUGCCUUCCCGGCAACCUGUGCGUGGGCGAGCUAAGAGCAACUGAGAAUCAGUCUUCUGCACGGACACUUCGCGUUUCCGAGUGUUUACCUGCCGGGGGGUGGGUGGGUGGGGAGACUUGUGUCCUCAGCUGUCAGACCCGAGGCUGUUUGAGGAAUCAGCGCCCACCUCUUCUGGAUGGAGAACCUUAAGCAUACAGGAGUGGAGGCUUUCCUGAGAUGCCCCUCACGCCCAGGAGCGCGAAAGGCAGGUGCCCCCUCAGCGUCCGACGCGCCGUGAUCCGGGGCGAACCCGAGAAAUCAGUCGACGUGGGUCUUUGUCCAGUGCAAUCUAAGAAGCUGGUAUAUGAGCACGUGUCCAUGCGGUCUGGCCCAGAGUAAGCGCUCAUGCAGGGGGGCUGUUACUUAUUAUGGAACUAGUCUUUUAUCUGCCCCGUGUCUGCAUUUAUUUCCCAUCCGGAAAAUCCGGAUCCCUGGGCCUGGCAUUGGGGGACCUCUCCCAAGGAGGUCUUUGUGUCACAACACCUGGAAGGACCGCAGGCAAUCCCUCCCUCCCCUGGAGAGCACACGCACACUACCCCCUUAUUAGGUGUGAGCUGUGCUCGCUCUUCAGGGGCCCAGGAAAUGCCAUUGCUGACACUGGGCUCCGUUUGGCUGUGCCCUUCACCUGUCGCUGGAAGGUCCGCUACGUCUCAGACUCCACGAGGCAGGACACAGGUUGGCAGGAGGAGAAGCAGAAGCGUCCUCACCCGGGAUCCCACCUUUCCAGAAUGUAGCUCCCCGACCAGUGCUGUCUGGGUCGGUCAGCAGCACCUGAGACAGAAACUCCGGGGUGGGGGUGGGCUCUCCUCUCUUGUUGGUCUGGAGGAGCCAGAAAUUGGCUCCGCCUCCUUCCUUCCUUCCUUUGGCUUCCCAUCAGGUGUCCGUCUCAGAAGGCCGUGUUCCAAAAGGCCAGCCCAGCCCGGGUGGUCAGGGCUGCCCGGACCAUCCCUGCCCCACCUCCUGGGGCAAUGGUGCCGGGCCUUUCUUCCAGAAGCUGUGUCUGCAUUUAUUUAUUUUUUUCUUAUUUUUUUUAUUUUUUAACGUUUAUUUAUUUUUGAGACAGAGAGAGACAGAGCAUGAACGGGGCAGGGUCAGAGAGAGAGAGGGAGACACAGAAUCUGAAACAGGCUCCAGGCUCUGAGCUGUCAGCACAGAGCCCAACACGGGGCUUGAACUCAUGAACCGCGAGAUCAUGACCUGAGCCGAAGUCAGACGCUUAACCGACUGAGCCACCCAGGCGCCCCAAGCUGUGUCUGAAUUUAAAUGCCUGUUGCUGGAUCCUCUGCCCCCAAGAGUCACAGACGAGCCCUACAUGGGCCAGUCUGGCCUUAGCACCCUUUGGCUGGCCCGCCCUCCUCCACCGGCACCCUGCACUGCUCACCACCCCCGGAUUCCCCCUGCACCUUGCCCUGGCCUGCCUUUUUUCUUUCUUCUCUGCUGGAGGCAUCCCUGCUGCUUCUAACCUUUCGUUAACCUCUCAAAAUCUUAGGAACGCGCCCCGCCUGCCCCUGCUAAUCACCCUCCGCACCCCUGCAGAAAGAACCUGCCCCUCCUCGCCUCUGCUUCCCUGUGCACUCCGCCCUGUUGUGACACUUCUCCCCGGGUGCCAUCAUUAAAUGGUUACACCUGCGCCUCUCCGGGGCUCCAAAGUCGGCUCCACGGGUCUUUUAAUGGUGUCCCCGAGGCCAGCCUUGGGGCUUCAGUAUAGUGGUCUCUCGGGGACAGCUGUAUUUUAUCCUGGCAGGAUGAUGUGUCACCGCAAUGCCACCCCCCUCACGAACCCCAACGAUGAGUAGCUGGAAAAGGAUCUUUGGGGGAAUUAAUCUUCACUAUCACGUGCAAGGCUGAAGCCUCUACUGCCCGUUGGACUCUGAGAUGACAGAGACUCUCCUGAGAGAGAGGGGCCUUUAGCGACUAGGCUGCUUUCCUUUCUCUGUUUUUAAAUUUAUUUUUUAUGUUUAUUUACUUUUGAGGCAGAGAGAAACAGAACACGAGUGGGGGAGGGGCAGAGAGCGAGGGAGACACGGAAUCCGAAGCGGGCUCCAGGCUCCGAGCCGUCAGCACAGAGCCCGACGCGGGGCUCGAACCCACCAACCGCGAGAUCGUGACCUGCGCUGAAGUCGGACGCCCAACCGACUGAGCCACCCAGGCGCCCCUAGGUUGCUUUCUCAUCUUAGCUGCAUUGUGUUUGCAAUCUUUCUUUCUGUUCUUUCUUCUUUCUCCCUCUCUUCUUUCCUUCUUUCUUUCUUUCUUUCUUUCUUUCUUUUUCCUUCUUUCUUUCCUUUUUAAAUGCCUGCUUAUUUAAAUAUUUAAUUUAUUUAAAUGCCUGUUCCUUUCAUGCAUUCAUUCUCCUGUGCCCCCCUCACCAUUCCUCCUAAAGCCGGAUUCUGCUGCUGACGUGGGUCAGAAGACCUCAUUUAUUUCCUUCUCGAUCCUAACACUUAUCUAGCUAUUUGUCUGUGUGUUUAUCUUCCCCAUCAGGAAUAUAAACUUCUUGGGCACAGAGAUCCUGUCUUCCGUCUUUGCUCUGGUGCCCUGGUAUUUAUAGGAUGAAUUAAUGGGUGAGCACGCGUGCAUUUCACCAUCUCCGUGUGUCUGGCUCUGGGUGAGGCACAGCAGGUGCAAAAGAAAGACAGCUUUUGUUUUCCGUGGGCUGGCUCACAAGUCGAGGAGACCGCUGCCACCAGGGUGCAGAGUGACAAGUCCUGACUUAGCGGAACACGGGGUCUCUGGGGAAGAUGAAGGGCUCACCUGAGCUGGAAGGAGGUGGGGCUGGAAUAGAGGUUCGACAUUUGCGUUGAGUCCUGAAAGGCGGUGAAAUGUACCAGGCAAAGGAGAUGCGAGGGACAUUCUCGGGAAGUGGAGCUCAUGGACAAAAGCCCGAUCGGGAGAGGAGGGCAGAAUGGAAGUGCAGGGGCGGCCGGAGCCUGGCAUGCGAGGGAAGCAAGCCCACGAGAGCACUGGCCUCAUGGUAGAGUGGCUGUCCCCGUGGGUUGGUGGCUUUACUUCCUCCAGCUCCGGGCAAACCUCAGACUACAAGAGGCUGUAGGCCCAGCUGAAGAAAGGGAAGUGUUGCACCCCCCCCCCGUGACCCCUGUUCCUCCCCGACAGGGCCCCUUCUCUCCGCACCGUUCCCGGAGGGGCUGUGGGGACCCUGCGACGGGCGGCGUGGGCAGCAUAGGCCCGCUGGGGAAGCCAGCUCGCAGAAGGACUCAGGCAGCAUCCGAGAACUCUGCUGAGUCAGCAGCAGCUGCAGCGGGGGCAGGAGAAAUGCAGAGGAGGAACACGCACUCGGGUUCCUGGAAAAGGCAGAUGGCCAAUCUCAGGAUGCUUCUUUUCAAGAUUCUAGGUAGUCCUGAGCUCGAGCCUUUGGGGGUGUCUUUGAGAAGCAAGGGGACGGGGUGGCAGCCAGCCUGUUGAUCCCCCUUCCUCCCUUCCACUGAGACUGCCUGAGUGCCUGUCACGUGCAGGGACUGUUCCAGCCAUUGGGGGUAUGACGUGGAACAGAGCACAGUCGUGCUCUCACGGAGCCGACCUCCUAGGUGUGUGGGGGGGGCAGGGAGGGUGGGGAUAAAGAAUAUAGAAGAAAAAAACAGACACAUAACACAUGUCAGGUAGUGAUGAGAGCAAUGAAGAAAAAUAAGGCAGGACAAGAGAAGAAGGGUGAUGGGUGGUGGGUGUGUGCCGUUCGAGAGAGGGGCAGACAUGACCUCCCUGGACAGAUGACAUCUGAGCAGAAACCUGGCUGAGGCGAGGGAGAGAGUAUCAGAAGGGAAUCGGUAACUCUGUUAACGGAGGGCGUUACCUCCUAAGGAGGUGUCUCGUCCAGCAGGGAGAGCACAGCCCCAAAUAAUCUCCCAUUCUAUGAGUGAGUCUAAAAUAAUAAUUCUAUACUUAGUAUAAUGUUACAUUAUUGUGUAUUACAGACUGUAAUAAAUUUAUAUAGUAUAGGGGCGCCUGGGUGGCUCAGUUGGUUAAGCGGCCGACUUCGGCUCGGGUCAUGAUCUCGCGGUCCGUGAGUUCGAGCCCCGCGUCGGGCUCUGUGCUGACAGCUCGGAGCCUGGAGCCUGUUUCAGAUUCUGUGUCUCCCUCUCUCUGACCCUCCCCUGUUCAUGCUCUGUCUCUCCCUGUCUCAAAAAAUAAAUAAAACAUUAAAAAAAAUUUAAAAAAAUUAUAUAGUAUAAAUAACAUAUUCAUAUGUAUUGUUAUAUUAUACAUAAUAUAUAUUUUUGUAUGAUACAGUGGUGAUAAGAUUUAGAAUAUAAUUAAGCAUUUGUCUCCCUUUGCAAUUCCCUACUGUCCCUGGACCUGCCCUCUCUCGGUAGCAGGAUGGACGGCAAAGAGUCAAGUCCCUGGCUUCUCUGUUUCCAAAGAGGCUCACUUCAUUUGUGUAAUUUGCUUGUAAAAGUAGGUAUAAUCCUGUCCGGUUUUGAGGUCAGAAAUCUGGGACUUAUAAAUUCUUAACCCUUAAAGCAGAAACCGUGGUUUUAAAAAGCCAAGGUUUCCAUUUGUAAGAGUCGAAUCGCUUUUAAUAAUCUGCUCAAAAACGAUAGGCUGCUCAGAGCAGAGAUGUACGGCCCCGGGGCCCUGGCCGCCGGACCAGCUAAGGCCAAGGGAGAACAGGUGCUUUCAGUGGACCUGAAAGCAAGGCCAGUGUCCCUGGGAAAGGGCUCAAGGUGGCCUUGGCCUUCUCUCUGGGCUCAGGGGGUGUUAAGGGUUGGGAAUCGGAGAGGAGGGGCUGCUGUGCCCCUGGAGGGGGGAGUUGAGGGGGAGAGAGGGCCACAUGGGGUCACCAGUGGUAGAUGGGCCUGAUGUGGCACUGGGUGGCUGGAUGACCCAGCAGGAGGAAGAGCCCAGAUGUCGUCUGGCGAGGUCAGGAGGGGCUCCGCAUGAGCUGAGUGAUGGCCUGUGUAUCUGGAGAGGAUAGAGGGAAACAGAAAGACCCCAGUGGAGCAAGGGCCGGAAACCCGACGGAGUCUGAGACGUGCAGCAAAUGCCCUAACGGACGAAGGUAGACGGACUGGCAGGUGCCACCUGGUGAGCCGGGUGGGGGAGGGGAAUGUGGCAAUGACCAGGUUCAAUUGACGACUCUUUUAAAAUGGGUCCUCCUGGGGCGCCUGGGUGACUCAGUCAGUUGAGCGUCCAACUCUUGAUUUGGGCUCAGGUCAUGAUCUCGAGGCUCAUGAGGUCGACCCCCAACUUGUGCUCAGCGCUAAGCGUGGAAACUUCUUGGGAUUCUCUCUCUCUCUCUCUCUCUCUGCCCCUCCCUGGCUGCACAUGCUUUCUCUCUCUCUCUCCCUCAAAGUCAAUAAAUAACAUUUAAAAUAAAUAAAUACAAUGCCUUUUUUUUUUCACCCCAAGGGACUGGGUUAAGUUUUCUGCCAACAGGCAGAAUAGGUGCAUGAACUAGAGAGAGUUAGAAUUUCUUGCACAUUUGAAGCAUGUAGUUCGCAAACUAAGCAUUUUGACCCACGAUGCAAAUGUUGAUUAGGUCACCCACAGACACACAAAGAGUUCUUUGGGAGAUUUUCCAGCUAAAAAUCCAUUAUCGGUCUUUGGUCUCCUGAACCCCCCCGAAAUGUGGCAAAUCCUCCUCCGCUGGAAAAAAAAAAUGCGAGAGUUUCCUUAGGCUUAAAAGCCUUGUGGUUCACAGAGGGAAAUCGGUCUCCUUUUUGUUUUUCUACAAAUACUGCCGGUUAUUAUUUAUAGCUCCUCUGGCCCCAACAGCUCUACUCAGUCCUGUGUCUUUGAAAUCCCCCGGGGACAGGUUCCCGUGUGACGUUAACGUUUUCAUCCUCGCGGGGAUUUCUAAGCCUGAUGUUUUGGAACAGGGCACAGAGGAGUUUCCGAGUCAGCACUGAGCGUGCCUCAAAGGCCGGGUGGGGCGUCAAAAGAGAACACGAUUGACGAUCAGACAGGUUUGAGCUCCGGCCCUUGCAGGCUGUGUGGCCUCUGUAAAGUGACUUUACCUUUCUGAGCCUCUGACUCAUCGCCUCAAAAAUGGGUACCGCACCCACUCUUACAGAGAUAUGAUAAAAAUAAAGUGAGGUAAUGUAUUAGUAGUCUGUAGGGCUGCAGACCGGGCGGCUUAAACAUAGAAAUCCACUUUCCUCACGGUUCUGGAGGCUGCGGGUCUGAGAUCAAGGUGGCGGCACAGUUAGUUUCUUCGGGGGGGCGGGGCUUUCUCCUUCAAUUACAGCCGAUCGUCUCAGGAGGACACCAGUUGUAUCCUGUUAAGAGUUCACCCAUAUGACCUUAAGGUACCUUAAAGGCCAUGGGUACCUUAAGUACCUCUCUAAAGGCCCUGUCUGUAAAUAUAGCCACCAUCCCGAGGUCCUGGGGGUUCAGCUUCAACACAUGAAUCUGGGGACAUGAUCAGCCCAUAACAGGGAGCGGGUAUGAAAGGGUCUCAGCACACAGAUGCUCGGUCAAUGUCAGUUGCCCCCCCCCCCCAUUUUGUCAGGGCGCCGUGGGAGCCUCAAACUCUUUUUUUUUUAUUUUAUUUUUUAACAUUUAUUUAUUUUUGAGACAGAGACAGAGCAUGAGCAGGGGAGGGUCAGAGGGAGAGGGAGACACAGAAUCCGAAACAGGCUCCAGGCUCUGAGCUGUCAGCCCAGAGCCUGCCGCAGGUCUCGAACUCACGGACCGCAAGAUCAUGACCUGAGCCGAAGUCGGACGCCCAACCGACUGAGCCACCCAGGCACCCCAAAGGAGCCUCAAACUCUUAAUGACAACUGCUCUCCAGAGACGGUCCCCUCGGAGGCUGCCCCGGGGGCAGGUGGCAGGGAGGCCACAUAAUUAGAAUGCAGGAGAUCGCGUAGAGCCAGAAAACUCGAUUCGGUUCAUACUCUUUAGAUGUUUGGAUUUGGGCCACACUCAUCAUCUCUCAGGUUGGCUUCCUGACAGUCAUAACGAGCUAACAGGGCGGGUAUUAACAUUAUAAUAAGGCCAUGGCUCCGACAGGCUUGACUUCUGUCAGGUGCGUCCCCAAUACUGCUUUAACUGGAUACGGAGACAUUGGCCGAAGCCUUCAGCGCUGACACAUGUGAGAUACUCUGUCCUCCGGCCACCCUGGCUUCCAGGCUCCGCUGUGUGGAGUGCAAAUACCCACACGUUAUCCAAGAGCCGGUGUUGCCGACCUCUUUCACGUUGUCCGGUGGGUGACUGGAAGCUCCCAUAGGCUUUCUGGAAGGCAGGACCAGGUGUUUUGUCGGCUUCCCAUCACCCUGGCUGACAAAUGGCUCGUGUUCUGUGUCCUCUACAUGGAUUCUGGCGUUCCCUGUUCCUAGCUGAACUGCCUUCAGACGUAGCAGGACUCUCUCUCAGGCGUCCGUCGUUCCCAGAAUCUUCUCCAUCUCCACAGAGGUAUUAUCUUGAUGAGGGCUGCCUCCAGCUGCCCGAACCCAUGGGAACUGGAGGUGGCCCAUGACUGUGGGGAAUCCAGUGUGUGGGCUUUGGCCAGAAACUGGGGACGAGGUGGCCGGAAGUCUCUGGGCGCUCGUGUGCCUUAUCCGAGACAGCUUUUUCUUCCCAUUUUUUGUUUGCUUUGUCCCUUGAGGCCUUACUCAUCCACAUUUUGCUCGUGUGAACGAAGCCUGGGAUGUGAGUCAGGUGGCCAUUUUGGGUCCGCAGGGGAUUGCCCUCGCUCUGCUGAAGAGAGACAUGUAUGGGAAGGAAAUCACAAAUCCACUUCUGCUUGGGAAGACUGGCACGGAGCCUCAGUGGGCAAACACGUUGGAAGGAUGUGACGGAACAGCCCCUUUCGUUGAGGUUUUUCUCUCCGGUCAGCAGAGAUGCUUUCCGACCGAUCUCCAGUCAAAUCCAGAACUGCCUGGAAUGCCCGCUGAUGUCAAAAGGAGAAGAUUUCACUGGCCUCUUUCCUUCAAAGGAAAAUUCGAGUUGUACUUGUUAUCCUAAAGAGGACUUUGUCUUUAUUUUUACAAAGCCUCGUUUGGUUACAGUGAUUUCCCCCUCUGAGUGGUCAAUAUGGACUUUCCUGAGUAGACGGGUGAUUAUUUUAAUUAUGGCGUUUGUUGGCACUGGGGAAGCCAUGUUGUUUUUUCCCCAGAAAGUUGGGAAAAAAUUAAGGUGAUGUUUACAGGCUCAUAUUGUGUUAGUGGGAAAACAAAUUGUUGCCCAACCUUGUUUCCUGAUAUGUAGUAUGUGUAGAUUACUGCUGUAGAUGGGUGGUCCUGCUUCCACUCUGGGAAGAGCUGCUCUUCUCCUGGAAAGGAAAGGACCUUUCAUCCCUUCCUAUAGUGAUGUUAGCCAGAUCGUAAUGGCAGCCACAUUGGAGAGCGUAUUAUGGCUCCUUGCAAAGAAUGAAAGAUAAUGUGAACAGCUACUUUGCUUUUGAUAUAUUUAUUACUCCCACUUCCCCGGGAAGGUAAGUCCUAUCUGUUUUCUAGUUAUGCAGAUGAGGAGGCAGGCUUAGCGAGGUUAAUAGGCUGCCUCAAUCCCACAGCGAGUAUAUGGCCGAACUGAGACUCAAACCCAGGUCUCACCUGAUUCCAAAGCUUGUGCUCUAGAUCACUACACUCGUCUGCAUCUUAAUGUAGGCGUUGUCUUAUGAGAACAUCGCCACAAGUAGUUCUCAAAGUAUGGCCCUUGGGCCAGGCUUGUGAGCCUCACCUCAAUACUUGUUAAAAGUGCAAUUUCUCAGACUAACUCAAAUUAUUGAAUCGGAAACUCUGAGGGAUCGAGCCUGAGUGUUUCCGCCCCAAGGCAUUCCAAACAGAGGAUGAUAUAAUCUCUGUGCUGGCACUUCCAGACGGAGCUCUCGCUGUCCCACAGGGCACUCAUUCUGUCUGUUCUGCUUGUUUAACUUGGCCAAUUAUUGGCAAGCUCUUCCUUAUAUUAGAGGACGAUUUGCUUCUCUUCAUUGUUCACCCCUUGGUUCUCGCCCUGCCCUUCGUCCUAGCGACAAGGAGAGCGGAAUAUAGCUGAUGAAACUCACAUGAUCAAGAGCAGGAAACUGCUAAGGUGUUAGAAAGAGCUUGUCUGGCGGAACGUGUCUAGGGAUGCUUUAUUCUUUGUCUCACAAAUAAGAUAGAAGGGGAACAGUUUUGAAAAGGGGGAAAAAGGGAAAGACUGAGGAGUCAGGGUUCCAGGGUCUACUGUUUCUUUAGGGAAGAGUUCUUCUAGAAACUCUGGACCUAGAAGAUACUCCGUUUCCUCCAAAGUCACAGGUCCGGCAUAAAAUCCCUCCUGCUGAGCAAAGCGGAUCACUGCGAGAAGCAAGUUUUCAGAGUCGGAGUGGCAGGAGAGCUCAGAAGACCAGAGAUCAGGUGUGACAAGUGGGUUGUUGAAUCUGUAUCCAGAGGCCUACGGGUGGGGUUCGUGUACUCCUUUCCCAAGCUGGCUACCCCAGAAAACAACUCUGCUACAACUAUGUGCCAUCUUGGGGAAAAAGGGCUGAGGGAAAAGGGAUGUGAUCCAGGGGUGGCAGGAAAGUCAACACAACAACGCGUUAUCGAGUUGGCUUCUACUGAAUACAGCUACUUGCUUGAUUCCGCUGGACUGACCUUGCAGAGCUGGGUAACUGCAACUUAGGACAGUUAUUCUUGAGGGAGAAAGAGAACUCACCCACUGGUUUCCAACUCCCGUCUGUCAAAGUUCUGCCCACAGAGUCUCAACAUCCUCAAACUCUGGGUCAGGCUUAUGUGGGCUCCAUGUUGGGUCCUACAGCGUCCCGUACCUCGUGGCCAACAGCACGGAGGCAAGAGGCACUUGGCACAGGCUGGAGACGAGACACCAUCAGGUUUCAGCUGCAUGAAUGAUCAGAAUCUGGGCAGCGCUGGUGGUCACGGAGGCUCUCGCAAGAGUCAGGUCAAAUGGCUGACAAACAAACCCAGUUUGUUUCUUAAGCAUUAUCUGAAGGUACAAGAGACUAAGCAGAAGUGGGGAGGGAAGGCUAGAUUACACAAAUAAGGUCCCGCCCGGGACAGCAGCAUCGUAUGACAAAACUUGCCAUUUUUCAGGCCUGGAGAGUGAGAAAAAAGUGAGGAAACUAAAUACCAGAGAAAGCGGCAAGAACCACUGUUUCCGGAAGGCAGAGAACCGGAGAGGAGACCCCCAGAUGCUAUAACCCACAUCCCUCACGGACUCCUGAGCUGCAUUUUGGCAGAAGAGGCUCGAAGCAGCCAGCCGAAGACAAAAACGAUCUGAAAAGAGACGAGAGGUUCCACGUAGAAAACAGAGUUUGCGGUUCAAGCCAAGCCAAGGAAACGAUCUGCUAAGCAGAGGAAAUUUUCUCUUUGGACAAAAAUAACAACAGUCAGGUUUUCCACAGUAUAACAUGCGUAACGUCCGGCAUAGAAUUCACACAAAUGAAACACAGUCCCAAGAGAAAAGAACUUGAAGCAGAUCAGACCUGAAGGCCAGACAGAUAUUGGGACUAACAGACAAUUUCAAAGUCGCUAUUAAUGACUAUCCUCAAUGAAGUAAAACAUGUUUAUGUUUAACAUUUUUUUUUUAGUGUUUAUUUAUUUUUGAGAGAGAGAGACAGAGCGUGAGUGGGAGAGGGGCAGAGAGAGAGGGAGACACAGAAUCCGAAGCAGGCCCCGGGCUCCAAGCUGUCAGCACAGAGCCCGACGCGGGGCUCGAACCCACAAACCGCAAGAUCGUGACCUGAGCCCAACUCGGACACUCAACCGACUGAGCCACCCAGGUGCCCCAAGCAUGUUUUAAAUAAAGAAAAUUUUGGGAAAUACCAAAUUAGGAUAUCAUUCUUCUCACGAUAUCCUUUUUGCCUUUUAAUAUUAUAUGAUUAAAUAUCCAAAAAUCACAUGAAGUUCUUUUUAAACGGUCAGAAGUUUCACAUUGUUCUUUUCUCUUUAAAAUAACAUUUUUGGGGCACCUGGGUGGCUCAGUUGGUUAACUCUUGGUCACGGCUCAGGUCAUGAUCUCACAGUUCAUGAGUUCAAGCCCCACAUCGGGCUCUGUGCUGACAGUGUGGAGCCUUCUUGGGAUUGUCUCUCUCUCCCUUUCUCUCUGCCCCUCCCCUGCUCACUUUCUAUCUCUCUCUUUCUUAAAACAAAUAAAUAAACUAAAAAAAAAACCAUCUUUACUUUACUGACCCCCCCCCCACAAUUUUAUCUAGAUGUAAACUAAUUUUAUAGGUUGAAGUAUUUUGAUAAUUCUGUCAUAAUUCUAUCGCUUAAAAGAUAUUUAAAAGUUUUGCUUUAUGUACUAGCGUAAGAUUUGGGGUGUUCAUUUAAUUUAAAAUGAACUUUUAUCAUUCUUUAUCAUUCAGUUGGUUAAAACAACAUAAAUAUGUCACAAAUUUUGAAACAUGUUCAACACAGUUAAAAUUUUACUAUAAAUGCAUAUACAAAUGCACGAAGUUAUGCUUUUUCAAUUUGUUUAUGUCUUCUUGGAUGCAUGGUACUUAGUGUUAGCUAGUAUUCCUAUUUUUUGUAAGUACUGAGAAACAUCAUUUGUAUAAGUAAAUAGAGCUAAAAAGGGGGUUAUAUCAGUAGUAGUGAGUAGUUACUACUCAUCAAAACUGAUUCUUAAUGAUCCAUCAACUAGCACUUUCAAUUCUGUAGAAAGAAAAGAAUUGGAAACAACCUGAUUUGUGGAUUCUUUUCCCUACGUCGUUAGAGACACUUCUGUGUCACACACACGAAUUUAGGAUUGUGACAUUAUCUGGUGUCUUGGGUUUCUUCUCUUCUCUUCUCUUCUCUUCUCUCCUCUCCUCUCCUCUCCUCUCCUCUCCUCUCCUUUCUUCUCUUCUCUUCUCUUCUCUUCUCUUCUCUUCUCUUCUCUUUUUUUUCUUUUCUUUUCUUUCUUUUCUUCUCUUUUCUGUUCUUUCCCUCACUCUGGAGUAAUGUGUCGAAGUAAGUUUAGAAUGGCAGGAGAUGAGUUUUUCUUUCAUUAAGUUAAACCAGCACGAUUAGUGGUCAAGGGAAGCAGCACGAACAGCCAUGGUCUCACCCAUAUCAAUGAGGAAAGAGUUCAGACAGAAGUUGAGGAUCUGGAAAUUGAUUCUGUUGAAACUACACCCUAUAUGCACUCCCUGGUACGUUUUACGUAUGUGAAUGCAUACUCCAGUUUGAAGACCGUAGCCUUAGAGAAUCACGGAGCCCAAACCACCUACUGGGCAAGGGACAUUGGAGAAAGUUUAGGUUUAAGAGUCAGGUUUUUUUACCUGAAAAGGUAAGGUAAGAUCCCAGACUUACACCAGCCAACAGAUCACUGUAAAACAGGGAAAACUUGGGCCGGUACAGAUGAACACAGGAUCCGAAGACUAACUGAUAACAGCAAGGUUUGGAUUUCUCGAAGUGGAGAAAUAAAGCGUCUCAUGUUAGCGGCCUAAGGCGACGCAAAACUGCACAAAAGUGUAAAGAAACAGAGAGAAUAGCGUCAGGUUGAUCAAAGGAAUAAUACUCGCGGCCCCUGUAGUUAAGGGUAGAAAGACAUUCUUAUUAGAUGCUGGAUUUGAGUGAACGCGUCGGAAUCUGAGGAAGUCUGCGGGAGUAGCCUUCUUCUAGAGAUAUUCACAGUACCAGAAGAAAGUCAUCUGUUUCAGUGACGUUCAGCUGAGGACUUCAGCAGAAAAUGAAAUAAGCCAUUUAGAGCUGAAGUAAUGGUGGCCUAUGACCGAAUUCACCAAGUGAUCAAUUCAAGAGUUACUUUUGACGAUGCUGGUGCAGAAAGUUGGGUUCUGGCUUCUGCUCUCCUAGCCUUCCUACAUCUUCGUCUGGCCGUGCCAUGUGACCCCUGAGCUGAAAGGAGACUCAGCCAGAUGACCGCUAAAUUUCCUUCUGGUUCUCCCAUCCUAUGCAAGAACAUAACGUUCUUAGCACGUUAUGCUUAGCACCUAAUGCUCAGAGCAACAUUAUUCAUGAGAGCCAAAAAGGGGAAAUAGAUGCUAUGUCCAUCCGAUGGUGGAGCCAUUCGAUGGGAUAUUAUUUGACAAUAAAAAGGAAGCAAGUACUGACAUAGGCCACAUCACGGAGGAGCCUUGAAAACAUCACACUAAGUGAAGGAAGCCAGCCAGAAAGGACCACAUAUCAGAGGAUUCCAUUCGUGUGAAAUGUCCAGAAGAGGCCAAUCUAUAGUGACAGGAAACAGAUCAGUGGCUGCCUCACCUGGGAGUUGGGGAGAAAGGGGGAGGUUACUACCACAGGUUUUCUUUUUUUGUUUUUGUUUUUAAUUUUUUUAACGUUUAUUUAUUUUUGAGACAGAGAGAGACAGAGCAUGAAUGGGGGAGGGGCAGAGAGAGAGGGAGACACAGAAUCGGAAGCAGGCUCCAGGCUCUGAGCCAUCAGCCCAGAGCCCGACGCGGGGCUCGAACUCACGGACUGCGAGAUCGUGACCUGAGCCGAAGUCGGACCUCAACCGACUGAGCCACCCAGGCGCCCCACAGGUUUUCUUUUUGAGAUGAUGAAAAUGUUCUAAAAUUGAUGGUGGUGUUUGCACACCUCUGUGAAUUAUACUAAAAGCUAUUGAAUUGUACAGUUUAAGUGGGUACAUUGCUUGGUACGUAAAUUAUCUCAAUAAAGUUGUGAUUUUUUUUUUUUUAAGUUAUGAAAGGAAUUUUUAAGUGGAGAAAAGACCUUGGAUCCUUGCGUAGACAUAGGAUAGGUAACUGAAAGGAGAAACAAUCCAGGAGUCAGAGAUGACACCUGGGGAGGAGGGAGAUGGGAAGACGACUCUGCGGGGAGAUCAGGGCAGACAGCCAGUCGGGGACAGUGGGCAUUUGGUGGUGAGUAAGGACACCCGUGGGAUGCCCUGAGCUGGAGAAAGAAGAGAUUGAGAGCACUGAGUAGAUGCUCAGACCUUCUCUGCCUCGAGCCUUGCCUUUGGCCAGACUUGGACAUGUCUUUUUAAAUGGGUGCCCUCGCCCCUCACCUCCCUUUCCCAUGUCCGGGCCGCUAAAGGCAUAAUUUUUCUCUCAGUUCUUUUAAAUUCUUGUGAAAAUGUCUUCUUCAUCCCUGCUUCUGCAUCUUUGACAUAAUCUCUCUUCUUUUUCUUUAGUGCUUACCAGGUACUUUCUCUUUCCCUGGCCUAGGCCACGUCUUGUUAUUAAAAAGUCAGCCUUGACUUUUGUUUUUCAUUCCUUCUUCCCUUGGGUCCUUUGCGACCUUAUCUUGAAGGAUUAUUACAUAUAAAUGUGAAGAUUCACUAAUACGCUUAAAAUAAGGGAAACCAACGUACCCACUGUGCUACUAAGGUGAAACAUUGUGUGUGAUAAAAAUAAGGACAAAGCGGGGCGCCUGGGUGGCGCAGUCGGUUAAGCGUCCGACUUCAGCCAGGUCACGAUCUCGCACUCCGUGAGUUCGAGCCCCGCGUCAGGCUCUGGGCUGAUGGUUCGGAGCCUGUUUCUGAUUCUGUGUCUCCCUCUCUCUCUCUGCCCCUCCCCCGUUCAUGCUCUGUCUCUCUCUGUCCCAAAAAUAAAUAAACGUUGAAAAAAAAAUUUAAAAAAAAAAAAAAAAAAUAAGGACAAAGCAAUCUGACGUUUUAUUUUCAAAACUUGGCACAAAAAGGAAUGUCAGAGCACCUGGAACUUUUUUUUUUUUUCUGUGUUCUCAUUUAUUUUUUUAUGGUAGUGGGGGGCACAGAUUUAGGUUGACCCCAUGGUUUGUGCAAAGUAUCCCCUAGCUUUUUACCCAACUAAAACUAAGGCUGGAUUUCAAAUUCAUUUGUCCACUCAUUCAACAAGUGUUUAUUGAACAUCUACUAUGUGCUCGGCCCCUCACUAGGCACUGGCCAUAUAAUUAAUGAAAGGGAGAAAAUGCUCCUGGGUCUCAUGACACACGCACUCCAGCAAUCCGGCAGGAGAGACAGACAUUAUGAAAACAGUCACACACAUUUCCCAGGUAAUUAUAUAAUUAAAGUUAUGAUGUCUUAUAAAGGUAGACUGUAGGAUACUGUUCUAGGAUUCCUCCUUUCUUGCCUUUCCUCCUGCACUUACUUGCUAAAGAAACCCAGGACAAAGAUUGGAAGGGAUUUUCAAAUUAUUGAAUCUUUGAAAAAAAUAUAAACUUUAAAUCCUUCAGGUAAGGGCUUCAGUUAACUCGAGGAGAGGUGGCCCUAGUUUAAUGAGCAGAUCACUCACUUGUGACAGGCAACGUUAACAAGAAAAACGAGUGGCUUUUAAUUCAGGGAUAACCUAUGUGGGGAAAAGCACAGACAUUGUAUGUACACAACUCAAUGAAUGUUUAUGAGUUGAAGACACCUGUGUAACCAGAACCUAAACCAAGAAACAGAAGCUUCACGCAUGCCCCUCUUUGAUUCACCAAAGUCAUUUUACAAGAGGACUAGUAUUUUUGUUUUUUUGGUUUUUUUUUUGUUUUUAAAUUUUUUUUUAACGUUUAUUUAUUUUUGAGACAGAGAGAGACAGAGCAUGAACAGGGGAGGGGCAGAGAGAGAGGGAGACACAGAAUCUGAAACAGGCUCCAGGCUCCGAGCCGUCAGCACAGAGCCCGACGCGGGGCUCGAACUCACGGACCGUGAGAUCAUGACCUGAGCCGAAGUCUGAUGCUUAACCAACCGAGCCACCCAGGCGCCCCGAGGACUAGUAUUUUUGAGCACUCGCUACAUGGCAGGCGCGAUGGAAUUUCUUAGAAAGAUCCCAUAUCAUGCGAGGGGCACUAUUUCUUCUCUCUCGUGUAAGUUAGAUUACUCCCUCGGAAUCCAGGGGACACCCAGGGUGUUUCUAAUUUGCUGUUCUGCGUGCCCUUCUUCCCCGAGGAGGAAACAGUCUGUCUCUCCCCCACUCCCCUACACAGAAUCCUCCUUCAGCAUAACUAAGAUUGACUUGCUCAUUUCUCUGAGUCGCGCAGGCCACUCUAGGCUCACUCAAGAUUCUGAAGAAAUUCACAUCUAGUAUUUGGGGCGUCAUCUCUCUGGAUUCGGGGGGCUCGUGGCAGGGGAUUGCGGUGGGGUUUUAAAGAGUCUGGCUGGGAGGGGGAAAGAAUCCAAAGGGCCCUGAGAAAAAUAGGGAUGGAAAACGUCGCCCACGGCACCAAGGGGGCUUGGCCUUCAUGCAACAACAUGAAGAAAUAUUUCUAUCAAUUCUACUAGGUGCAAUUCUACUGGGGCGAAAUGUGUCAGUGAGCUGGUCCGCACUGGAUCUGUGCUGAGAAGACUUGUCUAUAUCAAGGAUGUGGCUGGGUGCCUCAUAUUAUGGUGCAAGUGUGGCCGGGACGAGGAGUGGGGUCUUUGGAGACUAAUGAAGUGCCAUAGGCAGCACUCUCGCCUCAUCCGAGAGAUAACAAAAAUCUCCUUAUCGUAAAAACAAAUAUAUGAACAAACAGUAAGCCAUCUACCUCUAACUGGUCCAGACGGAGUUCCAAAGUCCCCCAAAAGUUCACCUCUUUAUGCGAGGCAUUGAAAUCCCUAGAAACAAUAUGGCCGUCUCCUAUUUGGUGAGAUAUCAGAAUUUCUGACCAGGGUUUCUCAUAAAACCCUGCAGGUGAGCUUCUCUGAGGCCCUCGGUGUUGGCUAUGUAGUGAUUUUCUGCCAUGCUUUGUUCUCUCUGCCAUCAAGAAAGGCGGAGUCCAAUGGUCUCUCCCUCCUCAAGCCCCGAUCCCAAGGCCCUGUUUCUUCCAUCGUGGGGAGCCAAGUUCGUCCCUUCCUUUGCUGAGAAUUCUGAGGUCCCCAAACAAGCCCUUCCUCAUUUUCCCUCACUUUCCCUUCCUCCAUCCUGAAGGACAGUCUUUGCGUCUGUCCUUUGGUGAUUUUCACCUGUGCCAAAAGACAAAACCCCUUCCUGUGGCCCAAACCGUUCUCUUUGCUUCUUUUCUGGACUGUGGUCCCUCCGCCUUUUCAUCUCUUUUCAUACUUUUGUUUUAAACUUCUAUUAUUACGGCUUUUAAACAUAUACAAAAGUGGGCAGAAUAAAAUACCCUUGUAUGUGAUGAAAACAAGGCCAAAGCAAUUUGUCCCCACACCCAGAUUCAACAAUUGUAGCUUUCUGCCCCACUGUAUCAGAGUUUUUCUUUUUCUUCAUCGUUGUCUUGAAAAUGUCUUUUUGCGGUUGGUUUGUUUAAGUUCGGAUUCAAAUAGGGCUUACGUAUUAUGUUUGAUUUCUACGUCACUUCAUUUUUGUCUAAUCAAGAACAUUUUCCCAGCCCCCUUUUAUUUCCUGUCAUGCUAUUGACUUGUUGAGGAAAGCGGGUCCGUUCCAUAAGAUGUCCCAGAGUCUGAAAUUUUCUGAUUACUGCUUCUUGGUGCUGUCUAACGAGGUCCUCAGUCUCCUGUAUUUUCUAUAACCUGAAAAUCAUACCCAGAGACUUGAUUAGCUUCCUUCUUCCCGAGCCACUUACUGCUGCGUUAUGACCUAUGUCAUGCCCAAAUGGGUCAUGGCUAUUCGUUAUAAAACGCUUGCUUAUGGGCUCUGUGUUCUGUUGGCGUCUUUCCGCCCCAUGUGGAGCGCCAUGUAGAGUCACGUGCACCAAUUUUCUCCACCCAUUCACAUACAUUUUCCCCCCAACUCCACUACGUUCUCUGCCCAACCGUGUACAGAAAUAACUUUCAGAGAUCACGAGAUAUUCUUUACCAACAAACCCCAUGACUUCCCGUCAGCGUUCUAAUGAAUGCCAGCACCUCCACCAGCUACCAAGUCCCACGUUGCAGCCUUUUGACAAUGUCAAGGUGCUCUCCCUCCAUGAUCGUUUUUACAAAGGGUUGUCCUUUCCCAUUCUUGGUCUCACUGAUCACCUUUGUGUGACGGCUCUUACGUCUGUGUCUAUAGCUCUGACCGACCUCGCUGAGCUCCAAGUCUAUGAUUUCUGUUUUUCUGCACGAGCAAUUUUAUCUCUAAAUGAUUCACCAACACCUGGAACUCGAUCCAUUUCGAUCGUAUUGUCUGAUCUCACUAUCAACUCUUCUUGGUGGAACCUUCUUUAAUCUUGCCAGGAAGAAUUAAUCAUGUGCCUUAAUGUGUCAUACCGUUGUGGUGUGAACUUCUACAGAUGGGCUCUGACUGUUGUGGCUUGUGUAUGUCUCUGCGUCUUCUACUCAUUGCGAAUUUCUUGAGGACGGGACUCAUGUUUCCUCUACCGAUGUGUUAAUUAAUUGGAGGUGUUAUGUAUUGGGUAUCUACUAGAGGCAAGACACUACACUUUGUAGCCUUUGGAUCUGAAAUAAUAAAACCUUGGGACAAGGCAGGGGUGAAGGGACAACAGCAACAGUGAAUGUUAGCUGGCACACCUAUUAAACUUGUCUCCUUUCUAAAGCACUUUGCGGGUUGAACUCAUUCGAGCAUCACUGUCAUAUUAUGAGGGAGUUACUAUCAUUAGGUGAUCUUACAAUAAGAAACUGAGGCACAGCGAAGUUAAGAGAGUCACCAGAGUCCCAGAAAGAGACAGGCGGCUGUCAGACAAAGUCAUUUCUGCCCGGCCAUUCUGCGCAGCCCGGCAUCGGUAGAGUUGAGGGAGAAGAAGUUAUCUUUAGAAACAGACUGACGAGGACGCUGAAACUAGGAAAUUAGAGCAGUUUGGGAGCAGAGUUUUCUUUAAUUUUCUAUAAAUUGUAACGCGAUAUCAAGAUGUUCAACCAUCCUCAAUUGCUAUUUCCAUAAAGUCCUCGGCUAAAAUACCCUUCAGAUAUAGUUAUAAAUAGCUUUGUGGGCCUGUUGGGCUCCAACUGAGAAUUACAGUUAAAGCCUUAUUCAGAGUGGGCAAAUCAAGAAGCGAAUCCAUUUAGAGCAUGCUGGUUUUCAAGGAAGGAUCCUUAGUCUCCGGGUAUGUUCUGUCUGGCACUCGGGGCUUGGGCUUGGGAGGGGGCGUCGAAGAGAAUCCCAUAGGGAUGGGGGGGGUUCGUCUUGUUUUGUUCAGUGUCCGGUCGCUUUUUCUCAAGCAGUGGGUGACACACACUGUGUGUUCGGUGAAGACUUGUUGAACGAGUAAGGGAUGGACAGAGAAGGACAAGUAAAACGUGGAAGACAGUCUGGGCAAUAGGUGCUCCCUAAUUACAUGUGAGGUUGGAUGGUCCAGAUGGUUUCCUUAGAGGCCCCACUAAGGUGCGAAAGAGAGUAAAAACAGCAACGAAAAUCCCUAAGCAAGUUAACAAAGAGGUGGUGAAAGCCAGACCCGCCUGACCUCGUGGGUGUUGGUGUGGAAUACCCUGGGGAAUAUUUUAGGUUCCGCUUCCCACUUAGAAUCUCUUUUCAGAUGCCCCCUCCUCUCCUCCCUCCCCUCGGCCAUUAUAGGGCCGUUCGCAUGGAAAAGCCAAAGGUUUGGACUCCCAUCAAGUCUCCUCAGGGAGAAUGGGUGAUAGGAGGGGAGAAUGAGGACCCAGUCCUUAGAGAACCUGGAGCAAGAUGGCUCUCGUCUCCGCAACAGGUGUAAGGUUUCCCAGAAGUCCUGGUCUCUCUUUGGCGGGGACUCGUUUGGGAAGUCCUUUCCUUUAUUACUUACAGGGUCCCAUCUCUUCAUGCCACCGCUGCAUAUUUUUGCUGCGUGGGUCAUUUUGCUGCUUGACCCAACUGGCCUGUAAUGGCUGUGCGUUUGUCACGUUGGCGCUUUCCGUAUACGGGGGAGGGCGUGCCUGCACACAGAAGGCCUGUCUCUCUGAAAGCCCUGCUCUGUGGUGUCGUCUCAACUUUCCAGUCCUUGCCAAACUACUCAGGUAGAAUUAAUGACACUGCCUCCUUGGCUGUUGUUUUUUGUUUGUUUGUUUGUUUGUUUGUUUUUUGUAUACAAUUCCAUGUAGAACUAUCUAAAAUAAGAUCGUUCUCCCUCCCUUUGGCCAUCCUCAAAUACGUGAAAACAACUUAAACAUGCUUCACUUAAUAUUCUCUUUUCCCACACUGGAUCACUCUGGGUUAAAGCAGACUUCGAGAGUCCAUCAAAACACGUGGUUUCUAGGCCAUUCUUCCCAGUUCUUCUACUUUAUUUUUUUAAUUAAUGUAUUUGUUUUGAGGGGGGAGGGUGGGAAGAGGGAGAGAGAGCAUCCCCAGCAAGCUCCACGCUGCCAGCACAGAGCCGGAGGCGGGGCUCAAACCCACGAACCGUGAGAUCUGAGCCGAUAGCAAGAGUUGGAUGCUUAACCGACCGAGCCACCCAGGCGCCCCUCUAGUCUUUCUAACUGAACUUCAAGUCUAGCCAGUGUGACUUCUACAAGCUAGUACCCAGGACAGGUUCUAGAGUGCCAAGGAGGUCAUAGUCAAACGUAUGAUCCCUGGUCACGUUUCUAAGCCUUCUGAAUGCCAAGGCUAUGUUAGAAGCUGAGCACUCAGCGGAGGCAGGGCCUGCCCUCAGCAAGCACCUGGAAGAGAAGACACGUUUCAUGCUGAAACUCUGCUCCCAGACCCUGGUUGUCCCGUGCAUGUUUCCACGGCAGGGACAAGGUGCUUCUCUCAAAAUCCUUGUUCGGAUAAAGGAGCGUUUAGUUCCUAAAGUUUGUUUAUUGAUUUUGAGGGGUUGGGGGGGGGAGGGAGGGCCAGAGAACAAGGAAGAGGGAAUCCCAGGCAGGCUCUGUGCUGUCAGUACAGAGCCCGGUGCUGGGCUCGAACCCACGAACCGUGAGAUCAUGACCGGAGCCGAAGUCAAGAGUCAGCUGCUUAACUGACUGAGCCGUCCAGGUGUCCCAAGGAGCGUUCAAGCUCUGGUUGGUGUCCCCAAGAGCUGCACAGGCCGGACAAGAACCGACCGGAUGGAGAAAUGCUUUCAGAGAGGCCGGCCUUCCUUCCCAACCUCCAGGUGGGGUGUACCUACAAACCCCGGGGAGAGCCAGAGGGGGUCGUGUGCCCUCCUCCGAGCUCCCCCUUCCAAGAUCCCGGGGCGGGGCGCUGCCCUGAAUUUGUUUUCAGGAAUAUUCCGUAGCUGGCCAGAUGCUCCCCAGACUUCGAGGCCCUUCUCUGCUUGGGGGCACGCGCCCUGAGAGCCCUCGGAAGACAAACCCGGGGUGACAGACACCAACGCGAACAUCAGAAGUUAGAAGUGGAUGAAAGGAAGCCGCCGAGGCUGAAUGGAGGUCAUUUGAUGAAUACAGAGCACAAAGGAGUCAUGAGUUUCCAUGGCUGGGGCUGGCCAGACGCCCAGACAACGGGCCGGGCCCGGACGACACUCGCAGAGGAAGGCCGGGCGGGGACUCUGACAGCCGCCUUGGUGGCAGAUACUGGGACUGUUGUCGGUGUGUGGGACACUAGAAGGCCGGUGCGACCAGGGCUUGCAUGGGAUGUGAGUCAGAUGCGUGGAGGGAGAUGGGGGUGGGGUGGGAUGCGGGGGAGACUCUGGCUCUGGUUCCUUCUCAGGCACCUGACAGAUGGAGCGGGCAUUACGGUUCCAGCAGGCUCCUCAUGAGCGGUGCCCCUGCAGCACGAAGGGCCGCAGGCAGCCCUACCGGCCUCCACCGUCCGCCCGCCGACGUGAGCCCUGCGGCAGCAGGUGGAUGAGGGACCCGAGCUGGCGGCAGACUCCUGGUAAGGGGCAAAGUCGGAGCAGGGCUGGGCCUGCCCAGACUCUUCCCGGCCCCCGAUUCUGAGCGGAUCCUCCUGGGUCUCGCCCGCCCACGACACCGUAAGCAGACAUUAUGUGUUUGUGCAGCGUGUCCCCAAGCUAAGAAGCCCGACAGCCCCCGGAUGGCCGCAUCGCUCUGAUUGCAGCUCAAAUCAAGGAGUCCUCUGACGCGGACCGUGACUUCGGCUCGGUCACGAUCUCAAGGUUUGUGGGUUCGAGCCCCGCGUCGGGCUCUGUGCUGACAGCUCAGAGCCUGGAACCUGCUUCGGAGUCUGUGUCUCCCUCUCUCUCUGCCCCUCUCCCCUCAUGCUCUGUCCUCUCUCUCUCAAAAACAAGUAAACAUAAAACAAUUUCUUUAAAAAGAAUAUUUUUUAAAUGUUUACUUGUUUUUGAGAGAGACACAGAGAGAGAGACAAAGAGAGGGGAAGAGAAUCCCAAACAGGCUCUGGACGGUCAACGCAGAGCCGGUCGUGGGGAUCGAUCUCACAAACCGUGAGCUCAAGACCUGAGCCGAAAUCAAGAGUUAGAGGCUUAACUGACAGAGCCACCCAAGUGCCCCUUCCAGAAUGUUUUUAAACGGAUUCGAUUUAUGGCAAAGGGAAGCAACUGUGCUGAAAUUCAGUUAUAAAAAAUAUUUUGAAAACUUCGCAGUCUAGUAAAAUACAUUCUUCUUAAUUAGCCCACUGAAUACCAUGAUCUGGUGACAGAUCUGAUAACCGCUGUGAUUUUGAUGUAGUGAUGAGCGUAUCAUAUUUUGAUAUGUGAAAUAUGAUGUAAAAAUACCUGUGGUUUUUAUUGGCAGCCAAGUGCAAUAUAUACCGUUAAUAUGAACGUGGCUGUUUGCUUACAUUUCGAGUGGAAAGAAUCCUAAUUUCAAGGGACAGAUAAAAAAAAAGUAAAGAUACCAUUUUUCCUUUUCAAGUUCCGAGACACUGCUCCCCUACCCCUUUCCAUAUUCGUCCCCAGACUUGAAGGAUUUCAAAGAAGGACUUGAAGAAUCUUUUCUUUAGAGAACAUCCCCCCCCCCCCCCCCCCCGCCCACCAUCAUAACAUGAGGUCAGGAAAUUAAAUUUUCUCCUUAAAUAUUAAAAAUAUAAAAGCCUCAUACAAAUUAACCGGAAAAGCCCAGGAGACAGAUGGGCCAAGAACAUGAUGGAUAUAGAUAAUGAUCAAAACUUGACCAAAAAUUCCACUUGAAAACAAAGUAACAGAAAUUCGGUUUUUUUGCCCAUUAAAUUAGUCAGGAUAAGACAUGCACCCACAUAGACACAAUUCUGCCAAGGAGCACUGAUGAGACUAUUCUUACCGCUGCUUGAAUUACAACGGGGACGGUUGUUUUGGGAAGCAAAUCUUAAAUUGUUCACAUUUUUGGAAUCAGUUUAUUAAACAAACUUGAAUUAUUAUCUUUUAAUGGCUAAGCGUUAAGAUUUUUCUCACGUAACUAAGACUGCCCAAAUUGUAAAGGACCCACUGGGUCAUAUAUCCCACGAGCUUCCUUCAUCAUUGACAAACCAAGUAUAUUCCAGUCCCAAAAUCAUAAACGUAAUAAAACCCACUGCAUCCCCUUGCGUGUGCCUGGACCGCCUGGGAUCUUACUGCGUGUCCUUUGAAUCGGAGAGUGUGUAUUUGGGCGUGAUGGCUGAUUUUAUGUGUCACCUUGACUGGGCGAAAGGGUGCCCGGAUAGCAGGUGAGACAUUAUUUCUGGGUGCGUCCGUGUGGGUGUCUCUGGGAAAGACUAGCAUUAGAAUUAGUGAUCGGUAGACUGAGUCAAGGAGAGUGUCUUCACCAAUGCAGGUGGGCAUCAUCUGACACACCGAGGGCCUGAAUAGAACAAAAAGGCAGAGGAAGGGUGAAUUCGCUUUCUCUGCUGGAGCUGAGACGUCCAUGUUUUCUGGCCCUCGGACUUGGGGGCCCAUGGUCCUCAGGCUUCCAGACAGAUGGGGAUUUGCACCAUCAACCCCCUGAGACUCAGGCCUUUGGUCUCAGGUCAAAUUAUACUACAGGCUUUCCUGGUUCUACAGCCUGCAGACAGCAGACUGUGGGACUUCCUGACCUCCAAAACCACAUGAGACAAUUCCUGUAAUAAAUCUAUGUAUAUGUAAUAAAUAUUAUUAUAUAAAUUAAUUAUAUGUGUAUAGUUAUAUGAAUAUCAUAUACGAAUUCAUAUAUGUACACACAAAUUUCAUAUGAGUUACAUAUAUGUACAUAUGAAUACAUGUGUAAUAUCUACUAUUAUAAAAUGUACUGUAUAUAAUAGAUUAUAUAGUGUAGUAAUAUAAUAUAAUGUAUAUAUAAUAUGUAUUAUUAUAUACGUAUGUAUAUGCAUAUACAUAAUAUUAUAUUAUUAUAUAUAAUAUAUAUAUUAUAUAUGUAUGUAUAUGUAUACAUAUAAUAUUAUAUUAUUGUAUACAAUAUAUAUAAUAUUAUAUUAUGUAUAAUAUAUAUUAUUAUGUAUGUCUGUAUAUGUAUAUACAUAAUAUUAUAUUAUUAUAUAUAAUAUAUAUUAUUAUAUAUGUAUGUAUAUGUAUAUAUUAUAUUAUUGUAUAUAAUAUAUAUAUUAUAUUAUAUAUGAUAUAUUAUUAUAUAUGUCAGUAUAUGCAUAUACAUAAUAUUAUAUUAUUAUAUAUUAUAUAUUACAUAUGUCUGUACAUGUAUAUACAUAAUAUUAUAUUAUUUUAUAUUAUAUAUAUUAUUACAUAUGUCAGUAUAUGUAUAUACAUAAUAUUAUAUUACUAUAUAUAUAUUAUAUGUAUAUAACCUCCUAUUGGUUCUGUUUCUCUGGAAGAGCCCUCCUGGCUAAUACAUUGCGCAUAGGCAUUUUGGCACAAUAUUUAGUGGUCUAUAUUCAUUUUUCCCCAGACGGUUUUCUUUGUUCAUAUUUGUACUGUUGUCUUUGUUUCUCCUCAUGGACUGCCUGCCAGUCCAUAAGUCUUUUGCCUCGAUCUUGACAUCAUUGUCCCAUUCGUUUAAUAUGUAUUUCUUGAACACCCAUUAUGUGUCGGGAAUUGGGGUAGGUGUUAGUGAUUCAAGAGGGAAGAAAAUCAACUUCAUUCCUGGCCUCGUGAGGGGACAGGAAACUACUGCCCAUGAUUCCAAAUCUAGUCUGCCAUCUGUUUUUGCACGAAGAAAGGUUUUUACGUUUUCAAAUGUAAUAGAGGGGUUCCUGGGUGGCUCAGUCGGUUGAGCGUCCUACUCUUGAUUUCGGUUCAGGUCACGAUCUUGAUGGUUUGUGAGACUGAGCCCUCGUUCUGGGGCUGGGAUUCUGUCUCUCCCUGUCUCUCUGCCCCUCCCUUGCUCUCCCUCUAUCUCAAAAACAAACAAAACGAUUUAAAAUGUAAUGGAAAUCAAACGAAGAAUAUUCUACGACACAUGCAAAGUAAACAAAACUCAGGUGUGGUGUCCUUCAAGAAAGUUUUAUUGGAAUGCAUCGCGCUGACUCGUGUAUUAUCUACGGUGGCUUCUGCACCACAGCAGCAGAAUUGACUUGUCCCAGAAGAAAUCGUAUGGCACAAACCUGAAAUAUUUACUAUCUGACUGUUUGCAGGAGAAGUCUGCCGAUUCCUGAGCUUGCGGGGUAGACAGGAAAGUACCAAGCAAUCCAACGAGAAAUAAAAUAAUAACAGAUUGUGGCAAGUGGUGUGAACGGGGGGAAGGAGGCCCCAGGGGAGAAUGCAGGGGCAUGGUGAGGAGAGGGUCGUCAGAGAAGGACUUCGGGGGGGGGGGGGGAGUGACACUGACGCUGAGUUGGGCAGGGUGGGCAGCAUCUGGCUGUGCCAAGAACAGAGGCAACAGAGGCAGCUCAGUUCCAGGCAGCGGGGAAGGGGGUGCGUGAAGGCAAAGAGACCGAUGGGGGAAAGAUCCUGGUGUGUUUGGGGGCUGAGGAGGCAUCACAGCUGGAGGGUAGUAAGACUGGAGAGAGAUAAGUAAGUACAUGGGAACCACUGAAGAAUUUUAAGCAAGGCAAUGACAUGGUUUGAUUUGAGGGUUUUUUUUAUUGUUUAUUUAUUUUUGAGACGGAGACAGAGUGCGAGUGGGGGAGAGGCAGAGAGAGAGAGGGAGACAGAAUCGGAAACAGUCUCCAGGCUCUGAGCUGUCAGCACAGAGCCCGACGCGGGGCUCGAACCCACGAACCGCGAGAUCGUGACCUAAGCCAAAGUCGGACGCUCAACGGACUGAGCCACCCAGGUGCCCCCCAUUUGAGUUUUUUUUUUUUUAAAGAUCGCUUCCGCUGCUCUGCAGACAAUAGAUGGCAAGAAAAAAAAAAUGAGAAGAGAGAGUGGCUCCAGAAGGCCCUCUGCCAAUGCCUGCCUUUCUCCUGUCAGCAUGGACCGUGAUCGGCUGUGUAAACCUGCCAAGACGAGGCACUUCGGGAUGUUGCAAGGUUCUGCGGCUCUUCAACGAGGCUUGGAUGUGUAGAAGAGGAACUGAUGACAAUUUCUGAGGAAGCGUGUGUUCCACGUCAGGUGUUACUCCAAGAAGAACUCACUGAAGACUCUUCUCUUGCUAAAAAUACAGUUUUCCAAUACGGGGCGAUGGAAGAGGGAACAGUGUUGUUAGAAACCGUAACUGGUGGUAACCCCUCUUACCUCCUGGCCAGCGGUAUAACGUUCCUCGGCAGUAGAUGGCCCUGUUGGGGAGGAAGAUGAGGUCAGCCCUGCUAGCUGGACGUCUGUGCACAAGGGGUUAACAGUCAUCUGUGCGUGAUGGCAGUGGGAAGGCAGGAGGAGUGAUCGGGAAGGAUAAGACAGAGGCAGAGAAACGCGACCGUGGAGACCGGCGAGGAAUUUCUGGAAAAGGAUGAUCCUCGGGACUUGGGAGCACGUGGGAAUCCACUUUCUCUUGUCGCAGGUUUUGAAAUGCUGCCAUGUGAAAACCUUCCAUUUUCCCAAAGCUUCAGCGCAAGCCUUCUACCAGACUUGGGCUGGUGCUUUCUUGGAAGUAACUGGGGUGCUCUCUCCCAAAGUCCGAGGUAGUAAGAAUUCUAAGGAAGUUUCUUUACCGCCAGUAAUAGGCAUUUUGAGCGAAUUGCAUCUGACAGUUUACGGGCAGUGUGGCUCCUGAUUGCAUGUAGGUUACAAGUCAUCUGCUGCCCUCCCACUAAUCUGUAAUUUACAUAAGGUCAAGUAAUGUGUUCAUUUCCGAGACCAGGAAGAGGAACAGCCAAGAGAGCGUGCAUGACAUCCAGAGGCCCUGACAUUGGCAGGGACAGAACCCCUGCUUGUUCCCCUGGCCACUGGGGUCCCUGGGGGAGCCUGUACUUCUAGCCACUUGGUGGAUGAGAGACAAGGUCAAAGGACAUCAGAAAAGAGCAAAAGUAAAUGUUUAUGGAAAAACACAACCCCGCAUUUAUAGGAAGUAUUUGCGUCCUCCUGUGUCUUGCCCUUUCUGAAUUUUGUGUUUCUUUAAAGGCACCAGUUCUAUUUUUGGAACACACACACACACACACACGCGCGCGUGCACACACGCCAGAUUUUGAUGAGCCUUUUGCAGGAAACGCUUUCCCACCAAUUUGUUUAUGGGCCUCACACACUAAUCAGAAAGCUUGAAGUUGGAGGCAAAGCAUCCAUGUUUUCGGAAGGUCUUCCGGUCACCCCAGUGCCCAGUGGAAAGGCACAGUCAAAAGCAUCUCGUGGAGGUUGGAUACUUUUGUAACUUGAGAAAGCUUGGGCAGGUGACUGAGGAUCCAAAUAGGAACCCACCUAAAUCUGCACAACACAAGAAAUAAUGAAGUGUUGAGUGAAUUCGGUCUCACGAGGAGCUUCUCGGAGAAACUCUUAAACUUUUUGACUCAUAGGGCUGACGGGAAGUCUCUUGGAGACCAGAGUGGGCCUCAUGGUAUCCAAGGAUCUGAGCCAACGGACUUACGCUGUGAGGUAAUGUGGUGCAGCCAUGUAGAUGAGCCGCUGGGGUCAUUGCCAAGGCCUUGCGUUGAAUGGCCAACCUUGCUACGGUAUGAUUAAAGCUCUCAUUCUACCAAAAUCUUCUGUAAGAACCCCUCUCCUUCCCACAUACCUUAGGUGAAACCCUGACCUAGAUUUUGGUAGAAAUGGGAGCAGGCUACAGAAGAGGGCACAAAGCCCCCCUUUGCAGACUCGGAGAAAUGCAAGCCAAAGCACAGGUGAGCAAUCAGCCUGGCUUUCUGGAUCCUGCUUGUCUCCAUUUUGCUGGCCUCCAAAAGAGUUUUCUUCUUCCUUCGCUCUUCGAAUGCAAGAACGAGUGAAUAAUUGUCCGCAAAGCCUCUUGACUUUCUCGAAGCACGGCACCCUCUGAAUAUAAAAGCGAAUGUGCUAGACAGCGAUCAAAGCUCAAAGCGGAGAAAGUCCCAGACUGGGAAGAAACCGACAAAAUAUAACUUCACACCUCAGAGACCGAAUCUUGUACACAUGACUAAGUGGCAUUUUUUUGGAGGUCAAGAGAACCUGCUGAGCCUACAGCUCCCACUGAACAAUAAUAACAAUGACAGGCCCUGUGCAGUGACUGCUGGUUUGCAAAGCACUGUCAUAUACAUGACCUCACUUCUCACAAGUGAGACGUGCACACAAAACAGAAACACCGCAAGAUAAUAUCUGUUCUUGCCGUCACUUAAAAUAAAGAGAGUCUAAGACUCACAGAAAGUAGCUUUUAUUCCUCAGCCAUUAAGGGGUAGAAUCAGCAAUUGAGUCCAGAUCCUAUGGUGCCAAAAUCCACUCCCUGGGACCGCUUCCUUGGAGAGCCGAACACCCCUCUCUCUCCAGCGUCCUGUCUUGUAACGAAUGGUCCAUGAAAGAAUGAUCUCUGACCUCUUCAGUGAGGAAUCAGCGUUUUGGAUCACAGAGCCGACCUAGAAUCACCCAGUUGUGCAAUAGGUAGUUCCUUCUAAGAUGAUUUAAAUCUGGGUCCUCCAGAUCCAAAAUAUUCCUUCCUCUCAAAUUUCCAGGUACAGUAAGUUUAAAUUCGAAGUCACCAAGUGAAAUAAUUUUACAUUCUAAAUUACCCCGAAAACCUCUGGAAGAAGUUUCUUUUGGACUCCUACUCUUCAGAUACACGUAUUUAGUUGUGAUUUAUCGGCCCUUCCUAUGCUAGACCUGGCACUCUAGUCUCCUCAGUCACGCUUUGUGCAUUUAUUUUUCGAGUACCUGAAAUGUUUCAGGCGUACUUCUGAUGGCUACAGAUAUGUUAGGGAACAAAAUAAUCAAUCUCAACCCUCCAUGGGGUGAAUGGGGGAUAGACAAUAUACACUAUAGACGAGUAGUGUGUCGGGAUGGUAAGGGCCAUGGCUCUACGUAAAGUCCUCAGGAGUGAGAGUGAUGUAGGGCAGUGAGAUACUGCCGCUGGUGUGUGUUUGGGAAGGUCUCUGACUCAAGCAGCUCACUCAAGGACCUGGGGGAGUAGACCAGAUGGUUAUCUGGGGCCAGGGCUUUUUAAAGAGAGAGAACAGAGAGUGAAUGUCCUUGGGAGAGAAGGCUGGGUGUGAGGAACAUUUCUAGCAGAACAGUGCGGCUGGAGCAGGGGGAACAAAGGGAGAGAAGUAGAAAAUGAGAUAGGGAAGAGGCCCGGGGGACAGGUCCAGAGAGGCUUGGAUGUCCAAACAUGGGUUUCUGGUGAAUCUUCACAAGGAAGCUUAAUUACUUAUAUUUUAAAGUUCAAAAGACAUGCAAAGAGAAGGCUCAUACUUAUUCCAGGCUGAAGGCAUCCUUAGGGUGCCUAAGGGUCUAAACCCAGAAGUUCUGAUUCCACACUUGGCUUUCUACCCUCUUUUCUCCGUGUCUUAUGGAUCCUUCUGCUACCACGGUCCUGAGCAGAGACUUUAGGCAAAUAGCUAUGUUCACAAGGAGCUUGUUCAUAGCUAGUUUCUAAAUCUUGGUGCGCAUUUCUAAAGAGUCAACAUCAAGAAAAAAUUCAUAGUGGGCCUUGUGACGAGAGGCGAAUUACCUUCUCAAAUGUUGCAUUUAUUGAGUUGGGAUUUGUAAUCUGGACAAUCUAAUGCUUUGUCUAUAACAAGAGGAAGAAAGGCAGAAGACAGGAAGCUGUGGCUGCAAGUCUCGGAAAUGCUGAGCACAAGGGCAUAUUGAAAAACUGGAGAUCAAAGAGGCCAGUGGAAAUGCAGCCAACGUGAAAAACCAGGCCAAUCCCCUUAGGACGAGACAGAGAUAUUCUGCACCUGUUAUCUCGAAAACCUUCUGACAUGCACACAGUGAAAACGCCGUCCUAUGUUUUGGUUCAAGUCCCUUUGACAAUGGCUGUAGAAGCUGGAAAGAGUCAAGUAUCUCUUUCUCACGUUACUUCAAAAAUUCUAGUAAACAUGGCUGGCCCGUCAUAUCACGCCGUCAAGAAAGCACUAUCCAUAUGAUCAGGUUUUCUGAUGAGCCCUAGUGCCCCUGCACAGACUCUCUGGCACUCAUUUCAUUUGGCGUCCACUUAUCCAUGUGCUGUGCCGGGCAGUCCUGUUCAGAUCAGGUGCAUCGGUCAUGUCAGAUCCCUGCACCCUUAGAUGCGACCCCCUGUAGAUCCAGGCCAAGUCAACUGGUGUCUUGUGCUAACAAGUGAACAGUGGGCUGGCAGGUUGGUUGUUUAGAAGACAAGUCUCACUCCCUUCAAAGGAGCAACUUGAUAAAAUCUUACUGCCGCACCAGCUCUCAGCAAUAUUGGUGUUCUGAAGAAUUCCAAAGGAGCUCAGGAGUAGCCAUUAGAGCAGACUAUUGCUGGAGGUUUGGUUCUGUAUGUCCUCAUCCAUCCAUCCAUCCAUCCAUCCGGCUUCCUGAAGCGAUCCUUCACAUGUAGAAACCAAGUGGGGUUCUGAGACCACGUCCCUGGUGGGAUCCCCUAAGCAGCACAAAUGUGGAUGACAAUCUCAGGAUGAUGCGAACGGCUAAAUGGGAGUUGGAUGUCCAGGAAAAAGAAAGACGCCAUUCUGGAAGGGAAGUCAGGGUGCUGCUGGAGAACCUGUCCUGAUAGAUCCUGACUAACACACAUGAGGAGUCUUGACUGUGGAAGCCUGACUGGAGGUUUCCUCUGUGGGGUAACUUUAGAAAGGCCAAGGAAAAACAAGAUGCUGUCCAAACACCUUCUCCCUCUUGAUUGUUGCUGCCUAAAAUUCCUAAAAUUUACUUAUAAGCAGAGGAAUCAAUGUAAUUUGAGGUACAACAAAAAACAAAAAAGAAACCCUCCAAAGCUAGGAAGAGAAACACUGCAGUGCAAAUUCACUUCAGGGUGCAGCUGACUCUUCUGGGAAGAGGAAUGGGAGAAUGAGGCGGUAUUCAUUUUCUAGGGCUAAUAUAAAUUACUCUAAACCCAGUGGCUUAAAACAACACCCAUUUACUGUCUUAACUGUUGUGUAGACCAAAAGUCUCAGUGGCUUGGCUGGGCUCUGCUCAGGGUUUCGCGAGGUCAAGAUCAAGUUGUUGGCAGAAGUGCAUUCCCUCCUGGAGGCUCUGGGGAAGAACCUGCUUCUGGAUGUCUCAGGUUGUUGGCAGAGUCCAGAUUUUUCACUUGUAGGAGCAAGGCCCCCCUUUCCUUGUUGCCUAUUGGCCAAGGGUUGUUUGCAGCUUCUAGAGGCUGCCUGCAUCCCCUGCCCCUGACACCUUUUCUCCAUCUUCAAAGGCAACAGUGCUGGUGGGGUCCUUUUCAUGCUCCACAUCUAUCUUGCCUCUCCCUCUGCCUCACUCCUCCUGCUUCUUCCAUAACACUUCUCUCACUUCAGCGGCGACAAUUUCUCUGCUUUUGAGGCUCAAGUGAGUCACCUGAUCACAUAACUCAGGAUGAUUUCUUUGUCUUAAAGUCUAAACCUCAGCAGCGUUGACGUCUGAAUAUAACCAUCUCAGGCAAAUAGGAUGUUAGACCUAAAAGGCCCUUAGAGAUGAUCUAGACCAGGGAUGGCAGCAGAGUUAGAGAACCUGAGGCUUGUCCUAUCCCAUGAGCACAACUAGAUAACUAUAAAAUCCUCCUAAAUACCCCAGCAAUAAAAAGAGAGACGAGGCCACAUUGAGCAGGUGCAGAGAUGUGGUUUAAGGGAGAAACUGAUUACAGGUGCUGUGGAGGAAGAAGAUAGAGAGAUGCGAGAGAGAGAGAGAGAGAGAGAGAGAGAUGUCCAGGGGAACACACAGGAGAAUGUUUCCCCAAAGCUAUUUGCUUGGAAUACGAGAGUGGCUGAAUUUCUUGAGCUCUUGCAACCAAUGGGGCUUAAAGCUUGGAGUUUUAAAAGUCAGUGGGCUUGGCUGGGAUAGAGCGCUGAGUGUGCUGCCCUACUCCUGGAGAGAAGGCAGGCAAACAACCUGAGGCAGACAAUGUGGAAAAAAGUCAUCUGAAGAAUUCCAGGGCACACAGAUGAGUGAGAGAUUGUUCACUGAUGUGUGAAAGCAUCCCUGAGAGGCAACGUUCACAGAGAUACCUCUCUGGGAAGAGGGAAGUGGGUCAGGGCCAUUUCCCUCCCCUGCCCCUCGGCAGAAACACAGAGCCACCGGCCGGGAGGCAGCUCAGUGCCCACACAGGCUGCCCCAAUUGUUUACACCAAGCCCCACCCCCUGCCCUCUGGCAGGACUGCCCUUCUCAGUCAAGCUUGCAUCAGUUCCAGUGCAGCAGGCCCUGCCCCCGAAAGACCAGCACAAACCCCUACCCACACCACCCCUCCUGACCAGGCAGUUCUACAGGGCCUCAGUUCUGGUGGAGUUGGUAUCGGAUCUCAUUUCACAAGCAGACCACAGCACACCUAGUUGAAAGUCACCACAUUCAGGCCAGGGACCAAACACUGCCUACUGCAGGCAACAAGAGCCUCUACCGACAACUGGCCUGAAGGAGGGAGCGGCCAAAACACAACAGCAGAGUGCACACAGCGCGCACCGGACACAUUCUCUGAAGCCCAGGCCCUGGGCACUACAUGGCCUCUUCUUCAUUAGGCCAUUACUAUCAGGAACAGGAGACAUAACUGGCUUUUCUAAUACACAGAGGACUCCCAUCCAAAUCAACAAGAUCAGGCCAACAGAGAGACAUAUUGUAAUUACAUUUGCAAAAUACGGUGAUAAAGGAAAGAUCUUAAAAGCAGCAAGACCAAAGGAGUUACCUUACAAGGGAAAACCCGUAAGGGUCGCUGCCGGUUUCUCAACAGAAACGUGGCAAGCCGGAAGGGAGUGACAUGAUAUAUUCAAAGUGCUGAAUGGGAAAAAUCUGCAGUCCAGAACACUUUCUCCAGAGAGGCUACCAUUCGGAAGAGAAGGAGAGACAAAAAGUUUCACAGACAAAUACUAAAGGAGUUUGUGACCACUAAACAAGCCUUGCGAGAAAUAUUAAAGGAGGACUCUGAGGGCAAAGGAGAGACCAAGAGUGACAAAGACAAGAAAGGAUCAGAGAAAAUCUCCAGAAACAAUGACCUGAAUAAAAAGGCAAUAAAUACCUAUCUGUCAAUCAUUACUUUGUAUGGACUAAAUGCUCCAAUCAGAAGACGUGGGGUAUCAGAAUGGAUUAAAAAAACAAGAUCCAUCUAUAUGCUGUCUACAAAAGACUUAUUUUAGAUCUAAAGACACCUGCAGAUUGAAAGCAAGGCAGUGGAAGAACAUUUACCAUGCAAAUGGAUGUCAAAGAGAAAGUCAGAGUAGCAAUACUUAUAUUGGACAAAGUAGACUUUCGUUCUUGUGUUGUUUUUGUCUUCUUUGGUAUCAGGGUAGUACUGGCCUCAUAGAAUGGUUUUAAAUGUGUUCCCUCUAUUACGUUACUUAUAAGGUUUUGAUAAAGAUCGCCAUUAAUUUUUUUUUAACGUUUGGUAGAAUUCACCACUGAAACCAUGUGGUCUUGAGCUUUUCUGUGCUGGGAGAUUUUUGAUUCAUAAUUCAACUUUCAUUCUUGUUAUUGGUCUACGAAAAUGUCUUAUUUCUUGGAAUCAAGAUUCAUGAUUCAAUCGCGGUAACUUGUGCAUUUUUAGGAAUUAUCUGUUUUUCUAAAAUAUCUGAUUUGUUAGUAUAUAAUUGUUUAUAGUAAUCUGUAAUCACGCUAUGUAUUUCUGUGGCUAUCUGCUGUAUUGUUUUCUCUUCCAUUUCUCAUUUUGGUUUUUCUUAGUUAAUGUAGCUAAAGCAUUGCCAAUUUUGUUUAUUUUUUGGGAAAACUGGUCAUUACUUUCGAUGUUACCUUGUUGUUUAUUCUGGAGUCUAUUUUAUUUAUAUCUGAUUUUUCCUUUUUGUUUCCUUCCUCUAUUAAAUUUCAGCUAAGUUUCUUUUUUUCUAGUUCCUUGUGGUGUAACUUUAACUCGUUUAGUUGAACUGUGUUUCUUAAUAUAAGAAUUUAUAACAUAAAUUUCACUCUAACAUCUGCCUUUGCUGCAUCCCAUAGCUCUCAGAAUAUUGUGUUUUCUUUUUCUUUUGUUUUGAGACGUAUUUUGAUUUGCUAAUUUGAUUUCUUAUUUGGUCCAUUGCUUGUGCAGUAGUGCGUGUUUAAUAUUUACAUACUAAAUAUUUAAUAUUUACAUUAUCGAUUUUGCAGCUUUGAUUUAUUUCUGAUCUUUCGUUUUGUACCAUUGUGGUUAUAAAAUAUGCUUGGUAUGAUUUGAGCCUUCUUAAAUUUGUAGUAUUUGUUAUGUCUCCUUUUACGUGAUCUAACCAGGAGAUUCUUCUGUGUAUACUUGAAGAAAAUGGGUAUUCUAUUUUUCUUGGAUGGAAUGUUUUAUAGAUACCUUUUAAAACCAUACUGAAGUAUACUUCAAGGAAAAAUGUUCUUAUUGAAAAAAAAUAGCUUUAACCGGGGUACUCAUUUAAAACAAAGCAUACCUUGGGCGCCCGGCUGGCUCAGUUGGUAGAGCAUGUGACUCUUAAUCUUGGGGUUGUGAGUUGGAGCCCCAUGUUGGGUGUAGAGAUUACUUAAAAAUAAAAUGAAGCAUACCAGAGGGGUGGGGGAAUGCGUGAAGUAUGUAAAGGAGAUUAAGAACACACUUAUCAUGGGGCGCCUGGGUGGCUUAGUCGGUUGAGCAUCCAACGUCGGCUUAGGUUAUGAUCUCACAGCUUGUGAGUUCGACCCCGUGUCAGGCUCUGUGCUGACAGCUCAGAGCCUGGAGCCUGCUUCGGAUUCUGUGCCUCCCUCUCUCUCUGCCCCUCCCCCACUCGUGCUCUGUGUCCCUCUGUCUCAAAAAUAAAUAAACAUUAAAAAAAUUAAAAGAAAAAAAAGAACAUACUUAUCAUGAUGAGCACCAGGUAAUGUAUGGAAUUGCUGAAUCACUAUAUUGUACACCUGAAACUAACACUGUAUGUUAACUGUGGUGGAAUUAAAACAAAAAGACUUAAUAAAAACCAAAUAAAAAUAAAGAAAUAACACUGACAUGGAAGAAAGAAAGAAAGAAAAAAAAUGAUCUAGACCAGGAAUUCUAACCCUGGAUCUAUAGAUUUGGAGCCCAUGGGUCUAUCAGGGAAUGGGAGAGCCAAGAGAAUUCAAAGCAAGGAUGGGUAUAGAUAAAAAGUAUGCCACUUCUUUUGAGAGAGAGAGGGUUCAUGGUUUUUGUAAGACCCUUAGAGAGCUCCUACACAAAAAAGUUUUAAGCAGCCCCAAGCCCCAUGCUUCCUUCAUUGAGUUUCUUUGAAUAUCACCAAUCACCCAUUUUGCUGUUGCUGUGAAAGAUGAAUACCUAGACUCACGCCUGGGAGAUCUCCUCCCAGGGUCCAUUGGCCACUUCCCAUUUCUAUCCUAACUUAAUGCCAUUUAUUGACAGCAAUGCGAUCCUAUAGGGAAAGGGCUAUAUAAAGAUUGUUGGAAAGGCAGUCGCAGUCGAUAGGCCAUCGAUAUUAGCAUCUCACCUGGUGCUUCUCUGUCAUUGUCCACAAGUAUUCAUAGGCACUGGAACACAAGGCACACUGACAGAGGAGGGAGGUGUAAGAAAAGGGUAGGCCUAUAAGCUGUGAAAUUAGAGUGAAGAAUUUCCCUCUCGAGAGUCAAUAAUUUUAACUUCAUCUCAACCAGGCCUUGUAGGCUAAUUUUCUCUGGUACUCCUCUGUUUUUCUGUGCCAGCCUUUUGUACCUCACUCACGGGUUACUUUUCUUUCCCUACUCUGGACUUGGAUACCCUCAAAGUCGUGUGCCAAGCACAGCACUUAAAUUCAGGAAACCAAAUAGACAUGUUUUCUGCCUCCGUAGAGCUUACAAGCUAAUGCUUCAAAAAAUGUUAUUUGAAACUGAAUAUUAAACUGACAAUAUACAAGUAUUUGGGUUUUUUACUAUUAUUUAAUAAUAAAGAGAUUGAUCUAAAUUGCCAACCAGAGAUUCCAACCUUAAUAUUGAUUCAACAUCAUGAUUUAACUAAUUCAGCUGAAGAGCAGAAAGGAUUAAUUACUGAUCAAUGAGACAGGAACAGAAGGCCAUUUGCUAUAAUUGUUCAAUUAUGGAAGCAGAGUGGAAAAUAUUAAAAUGUUAUGAUCCUUAUAACCAAAUUUCGAGAUAAUAUUCUACACUAAGAGAAUAAAAGCAAAGUAGAUUUUCUUUGAUUUAUCUUUCAAUUGGGGCAGAAUAAAAUGGAAAAUAAACAGUGGAAGAAAAUACUCUCUGGGAUACAUACGAAAGUAAGAAAAGUGAAAGCAAAUGAAAAUAGCCAUUCAAAUAACAUCAUCGACCACUAGGUUUGCAUAGUAAAAACAAAUAGAACCGUAUGACUUUAGACAAGGAACUUAAAAACUCUGAGCUUCAGUUUUCUCAUCUGUAGAAUCAUGACCAUAAUGUCUGCCUUACUGUAUUUAAAAAAAUUUUUUAGUGUUUAUUUAUUUUUGAGAGAGCGAGAGGGACAGAGUGCAAGCAGGGGAGGGGCAGAGAGAGAGGGAGACACUGAAUCUCAAGCGGCCUUCAGGCUCUGUGCUCACCGCCAGGAGCCUGCUUCGGAUCCUCUGUCUCCCUCCUUCUGGCCCUCUCCCGCGUAUGUGUGUGCGCGCUCUCUCUCUCAAAAAUAAAUAAGUGUUAAAAAAAAGAAUAAACUUUUAAAAAUUAAAUUAUAUUGUGUGCAUUUGUAAGUACUUACUAUUUAAAUAAGAAUACGUAUGCCACAAUAAAAUACCUUGCAAACAGCAGAUUUUUUAAAAGUAUAAAUUCUUAUUAUAUUGUAUUACAUUUUUGUUUAAAACAUCCGUAAAAAAGGUAGCCACGUAGGACCCAAGAUUUAUUAUUGUUCUUAGAAUAGAACAAUAAGCACUCAAAGCACCUGCAGCAAAUUGUACACGUAGGGGGAUCCAGGCCGCUUUAUCAGUCAUGUUGGGAUUUUCUAAUGGAAUCUUUGUGCCCAGGGAUUUGGGCUAACCAUUUGACUCAUGCUUGUGUCUACCCAGAUGACCAGAGUCCAGGCGUAAAUGUAGAAUACAAGUUAUCAGCCUAAGGGGCAUACAGGGGAGGAUGGCUGGAGUCUGUCCUCAGUGGGUGUACCUGUGUUUUUGUGUACCAUGUAGAGAAUGACACUAAAGCACGGAAGCCGAUAGAACUCAGAGGGCAGACCAGCAACGCCGCUGCGGAGAAACUCCCCUUGCUAUGGUCACAGACCACGGCCACGGUGAGAGCCCCGACUUCCCAUGUACUUGGGGAAAAUAGCGACUGUCGUCCUCGUCACCCUGCCUCGGGGAGUGACUCCUCCGUGGCAUAACUUUGCAAAAGCCUGUCUUGUUCAUAACGAUAUCCCUGAAUUCUACCGCAACGCUUAGUCCAGAGUCGGUCUCAGGAAGUAUCUGCUGAAUGUACUCUACGUAACUCGGCUUUUAUUCAGUUAUUUGGGGCAAAUAUAUUGAAAUGGUACCCAAACACCUAGCUAAGCUGUCACGUGCCUUACCCACCAAUACAGUGACACGGCAGACUAGCUCAGUUGGCUGCAGAGAAUAAUCCAUCCGCCGCCGUGGACUUCUAUCAACGUGUAGGCCAGCCUUUAUACAAAAUACGCUGUUUCUCAACUGAACUUCUUCAAUGUCCGCCAUUUUCCGAAGUAAAGAGUCUUCAGAUGGGAGGAAGAGAAAGAAGGAGAUGGAAAGAGAGACAGGCUGACCCAGCUGGAUAAGCCAUCACAACCACCCUACGAACAAUCUAUAUAUCAUUUACGAAAAGGAUGCAGUUAGGCCUUGUUUUCUUUUUCAUGGGUGAUUUUUUUUUUCCUGUCACGUUUUAACAUGCCUGUAGGAAGCCCUAGCAGGUCGGGCAGAUCUAGACUCUGCAACCCGCCAUUUGCCAUUGGGUCCGCUAGGGCAGGUGAUUCUGGGCUAUGAUUUCGUCAUACGUAGGAUGAGAAUCCUCAAGUGUGCCGGGAAAGGGGCAGAGUUUCCAAGAGAAGCCCCAGCCCAGAGGACAAGUCCUCCUGAGCCCACGGUCACGGCCAGGAAGGGAUGGAAGGAUGCCAGUUCCCAGGCUCCAGUCACCGGAUGUCAGUUCUCUGACAAACAGUUGUAAGUGCCUCAUUUAGACUCGUGUGCAAUUACAAGCCGGGAAGGAAAACCAAGAACUAGCACGAGGGGCCUAAGGGGCCUUGAGCAGAAGCCCCCCAGUGUCGGCUUCCGUCCACGUUGAAGGUUAGACGAUACAGGUGGAUAGCACCCUUGGGAUAGAAGGUGGCACAGAGUAGGCACGCGGAGGACGUUUGCUACUAUCGUUAAUAUUUUUAUUACCUUCUUCAUAGUCUUAGAGUCACUAUUCCCACAGCUUUCCAAGCAGAGCGUCUGGGCCCAGAUGCUUUCGGGUCACGUAAGUUAGAGAAAGUUCUGUGAGGAAGACCGGGAAGAAGGGGGAGGACGGGUCUACUGGACAUACCUGUGCCAUCAAGAGUAAGGCAUCUACAAUCAAGUGUUUGCAAAACACGGGGCGCUCAAUGUCAAACCGAGCCAAACCAAAACCAAAAACACGUCUGGCGGGUGGCCUGCCAGUUUCUCACGGCUUGUUCGGAACCUUCUUCGUGGUCCUCCUCCUGCACGCAUGCUGGUUGCAGUGGGAAAGGACGGCGUUUGGCUGUGUGCUCGCCGAAGAGUGCUCCCUGCCGGGCUUUCUGGAAGCUAGGAGAUCCUGGAGUGUGCAUUACUGGGUGGUCUGUCCUCUCUCUCCACCCUGGCCGUGAACUUUGUGCCUGCGUGGGUGCUUUGGUCUGCCCUGCUUACUGCGUUCUCUGGUCUGGACUAGGGUCUACGGUGACACUCCAGAAUGACAGUGGGAUUUGUGUUUUGUUUACUCAAGGAGUAUCUACUAAGUACUACCAGGGAUCCCAAUGAGAAACAGACUGUGUGUGCAUGAGAGACAGAGACAGAGAGAAUUUCUUUCCGAUUAAGAUGUGGGUCAGCAGAUCCCCUCGCUUCUCUCAGAGGGAAUACGACGUCAGGAAAAAACCCAAAAUUGCUUAUCUAUCCAUCCAUCCUCCUCGUAGGCCAAUUGACUCGCCUUGUUCCUAGCACCUCUGAAUACACCCUCUGUCCUCACCAUGACGCUGGCCCAGCUGGGGGUUGCGGGCAAGAGAAAAAGGGGAUGAUGUCCUGGGGAAAAGGCCAUCAGAGCACCCCUGGGUGCCUGAGUUUGUUGAGCUUGUGACUCGCGAUUCCGGCUCAGGUCACGAUCUCACGGUUUGUGGGUUUGAGCCCCGCAUCGAGCCCCGCGUGGAGGCUGCUUGGGAUUCUCUCCCUCUCUCUCUCUCUGUUCCUCCCCUGCUCGUGGUCACUAGCUUUCUCUCUCUCUCUCUCUCUCAAAAUAAAUAAAUACACUUCAAAAAAGGCCAUCCAAGAGCCUAGGACCAAGUGUGACGAGUGUUGACUUGUAAAGAUGCGGUGCUGGACGUGGAGAGAAGGCAGGUGACACAGGACGUAUGAUCGGGAAACCCCCUGGCUGUAGGCCGGCUCUGCUCUCCCCCAGCUUGUACAUUCUAUUUCCUUGACUUCUAUUUCAUCUUAACACUCAUUUCCUUUUCAUGGUUAAAAUCUAAUCUGUGUUCAUCACAGAAAAUUUGAAAGAAAAGAGAAACAAAGAAGGCGUUAAAAACCAUGCAUAAUCCUAUUGCCCAGCUAGAGCCGCAAUUAGCAUUUGGCUGUUUUUUUUUCUUUUUUCCCUCUAGAUACACACAGUUUUUCUUUGCUGGGACACUUCCAUUUCAAAACUGGCUUUUUUCCCCAUUUAAUACUCUAUCCUUGAACUCUUGCCCACGUUAUUAAGUACUCUCCUAUAACACUCUUCUUAAUGGCUGUAUAAUAUUUUGUCACACUGAGGUAUUACAAUUUAUUUCGGCACCCUCUCAUUUCGUCCUCGAGAUCGGUCUCCUUGUCUCAUGUUCCAACUAAAGCCAGGCUUUGAAAGCUCCCUGAGGACCCCAGAAUCUAGCUUUGCUCCACUCUUUCCCAAGACCUGCAGGAGAGAGCUACUGUCACGUUCCGUCUCCACCGCCACUAAUGUGACACCUCGGCGUGAGGCUACUCCAGAGGUGGGACAGACCCAGAGGCAGGGUGGCUGGGAGGCGGGGAGGUUGGGAAUGAAAGGACUCCCCGUGGCUAGGUUGGGACCAGCAUGGAACCAUUCUCUCACAGGCUGCUUUCAGAAAGCAAAAGCUACCAGCCCAGCGCUUGGGAUUGUUUUGAAAGGCAGGGCGAACAGCACAUUUGAGAACUGAAUUUGGCUCCGUUUGUUCAAGGGGAAGGUGGGUGGCUUUCAGCUGCCUAGGAAACGGGCUUUGAAUAUGUGCUUCCUGGAAUUCUUUGUGGUCCUCUUCUGAAAGGGUUCCUAGUGUUCCUGAUAAAGGCGUUAUUAUUUGGCAUUUGCAGGCAGCCUCGUUUGGCCAACAUUCUGUUCAGUUCUUUGCGUCGGUGAGCUCUUGUAAAGCCCCGUGUCUCCGCAGAGCAAGGCCAAAAUUCUUCCUUCCUGCUCCCUGCCUCUCUCUCCUUCCCCGCUCUCUGCCUCCCUCCCACCCCCCAACCGUGUGCAUACUUUUCUUUCGUUUCGAUUCUGAAAGCUGAAACCCUGGCAUUCAGUAGGUAAAGCCACACACCGCACCUGUUUCAGGACGCCGCGCAGGGGGGCUCAUAGCACACGCGGGGCGUGGCCGCUGUAUUACAAACAUACGUCGCCAUGAUUGGAUGAAUGGUGGCCAUGACGUAGAACACAUGGUCAACACCUCCAAGACCUGCCAGUAAAAGAAGCAGAAACACACACCCUGGCCGGCCCUUUCCCUUGGCCGGGACCCAAAGUGGAGAAGACAGAGGGCCUGGCGGAAGAAGGUCUAGAAAGAACGGCUUCCUUCUUCCUUCCCUCACUGGUUUGUGCAGUCAAUCCAACUUAAGCAAUGGUUUCACUAUUGUUCCCCUGGGAGAAUCCAAGGAACCAUGGGAUACGCUUUGGUUCAAUCAGAUAACAUAUUGAAAUGCCCAGUAAACCACCGGGGCACCUUCUGGGCGUUUCAUACGUAUGAAUGAUGGCUAACGUAUUCUGAACUUUCUUUUCACCAAGCACUGUUUAAGCACUUUGUAUAUAAUUAAAACCAGCUCUGGAGUAAGUUACCCCAACUUGACGGAUGAGGUUAAAUAACAUGUCCGAUAUCAUUUGUUUGAUUUCUCUUCUUAUGUGUAUGGAUUGAAUAGCCCGGGAGUCCUGUCCUCAGCAGAGAUUAGCUGAGCACUUGACCAGACUGGGGAAACAGAACUUCUGUAGAAAGGCUGGGGCUACAUAUCUUGGGAUAUGAGAAGGGGGACAAUGAGAAGGGGGACAGAGCUGUGAUCCUAAGAUUAGUCCAGCAGGAUUCUCACCAUAAUCCCAUUGGUUUUCAGCAUGCUGAUAGCGGAAGGUUAAGUCAGAAUACGGAGCAAAAGGGGUCCAGCCUACAGAGACAUCUUUUGGGGGAUUCUGUCACUGUUUCGUCACACACAUACAUACAUAUACACACACACACACAUUCACACAAACACAUACCAAACAACUGGAUUUGCCAAAAUUCUGUAGGAUAUAAAACUAAGUGUUUCCUUCCCCAAGAAUUUUGUGGGCUUGCCAGGAAGAUAAGACAAAUAUGCAAAUAACUAUAAAUAACUCUCUGCUAUAAUGUGAACUUUGUGAAAGCAGGAACUUUACUAAUCUUGUUCAUGGCCAUGAACCUUAGGUUCUCGACAACUCGGCUCAAGUUGGCAUAUAGGUAAUAGACAGCCAGGGAAUAAUUGUUGAAUGAGUGAAAAAGUACAGUUGGCCCUGACAACAUGGAUUGGAAUUGUGUGAGUCCACUGAUACGCAGAUUUUUUUUCAACAGAUAUACGGUGUCCAUACGUAAAUACAGAAUGCUACUAUAAAUGCACUUUCUCUUACGAUUUUCUUAAAAAUAUGUUAUUUUCUCCAGUCUGCUUUAUUGCAAGAAUACAGUAUAGAACACGUACAGCAUAGAAAAUAUGCGUAGACUGUUUGAGGUGUCAGUAAGGCUUCAGGUCAACGGUGGGUUAUUAGUAAAGCUUUGGGGGCGUCAAAGUUUCCGUGUGAAUGUUUUGGUGGGGUCAGUGCCCCGUGUUGUUUCAGGGUCAACUGUAUAUCUCCAGGGGCCUUGGGGAAAGAUGCAGAGCAUAAAUAGAAGUCUAAUAGUAGUUACCUAUUUCCGUGAAACAACUCCCAAACUUAACAGGUUAAGAAUCUGCACGUGGCUUAGCUGGGUGGUCCUCGUUCAUUCGGGGUCUUUCCAUGGUGAUUGCAGUCAAACUGUUGGUUGGGGCUGCAGAUCUCUGAAGGCCUGACGGGAAGAUUCACUCCCAAGAUGGCUUCUUAUACUCCUGUGGGCUGGAGAACUCUGUUCCUCACUGGCUGUUUGCUUGAUGGAAAUCCCCAGUUCUUCGCCACGUGGGUCUCUCUGUGGAAUUGUUCAACAUGGAAGCUGGUUUCUCUCAAAGCGACUGGCCCAAGAAAGAAAGAUCCACGACAACGGAAGCUCCAAUGAGUGUUAUAACCUAGUCUCAGAAGAAACAUGCUAUUACUUCUGUCAUACUUUAUUGGUUACACAGACCAACUCUGGUGCAGUGAGGGUGGGGACCACGCAAGGGCAUAAAUGUCAGGAAGCAGGGGUCGUUGACAGCCAUCCUGAAGCUGACUGCCACAGGCCCUAAAGUUAUACCAUUUGGGCUCAUAUCGGACAAAGAUGGGCCGAUACUGAAGUCUAGUUCAUUAUAUCAUAAGCACGAGGCUUAGUAAAGCUUGAAGAACUGUGUGUGAUUUGAUUUCUGGCAAACUGAGUGAUAUUUUCAAUGUAUCCAAGGAGUUUACUAUACAUAGAAACAUUAUUUUGAACUAUUUUUUUUUUUUCCGGAAAAUGGGCGUCCCUUAAAAUCGGUAUUUUGGUAAUUGUUUAUAAAUACUCUUCCCAUAUAAUUGUCACCAUGCCCCAAUUUCUUCAUGUGCCUGAGAGCAUUCAGGAAGGGGCUAAGCUUGACACUGAGAACUGGAAAUUCCCAGUAACUUCUCGAUAAAGCGGAGGGACUGAUGGGCUUGAGAUCCAUCUGUAGAAGCUAAGUGCUUUCGGGUGUUACUAAACGUCCUUCAGCUUGACAGGGGUAAUGGCAUUAUUUACCUCAUAGGAUUGUUAGGAGGCUUAAUGUUCAGAAUACAUGUAAAGCAUUUAGCCUUUGGCCUGGCACACUGUUGAGACAGCCAAAAAAAAAAAAAUUAUCUAACUAUCCCCUAUCUUCAUUACAAAUAUAUUUAUUAAAUUAUUAAAUAAUGAACGGAAAAGCCCGUGCUCAACCCAUUGUGCCCUUUAGAUCCACUAAUUAUAACUCUUGUUAGGGCAGAUGUAUGAACGAACUGUUCUCUCACCACCCUGUACCUAUGUCUUAACUUACUGUAAAUGUUUACUAAUUAGGAACGCAGGUCAUGUCUGUACCUCCCCGGUAAAUUUUGGAAUUCAGACCCGUUUAUUUCUGCCCCUGGGAGCCAAACACUGCAGCCUCUGAAUGUUCCGCUCGAUUAGUUGCCAGGCAAGUCUCCGGCACAGCCAUACUUGUCGCUUGAUCUUGUCAAGGAAAUGCAGCCAAUAGUUCAAUAACUCGGCCAAUAGGUAACAUAUUGCCUUGUGAUCAUGCGUUGUAAUUGAUACUUUCGUCGCGUAUUUUAUGUUAGACUUGUUUGACUUUAAAAAAAAAAUUUUUUUUUUUUACAUUUAUUUAUUUUCGAGACACAGAGAGAGACGGAGCGCAGGUGGGGCAGGGGCAGAGAGAGAAGGAGACACAGAAUCGGAAGCAGGCGCCAGGCUCCGAGCCAUGGGCACAGAGCCCAACGCAGGGCUCGAACCCACAAACCGCGAGAUCACGACCUGAGCCGAAGUUGAAUGCUUAAUCAACUGAGCCACCCAGGUGCCCCUAGACUUGUUGGGCUUUUAUCUUCACAUAAGGAGUUCCUACCUGUUAGAUAUUGUUAGAUAUUGUCAGCGAUUGCUGAAAUUGAUAAAAACGAUCGAAAACCCCAGAUCUAGAGUAGCAGCACCGGGAAAUGUGGGAGAAGACUUGAAAGGCAGGCUGGGCUGAGAAGCUCUGAGUCUAGAACCAGAUAUAUGUAGGAAAUAGAUGCAGAAGACCAUCAGACACUUAAAUCCCUAUACAAUAUAUGGUCUUUCCAGAGGCAAGGAACAUGCAAAAUAUUCUGUGGAGUCAAGUGGCCAGUGUAUUAAAUGAACUAAUGGAGCAGUAUAUCAAUCUGGGUUGGCAUAGGGAAUUUUCUCCCACCUUAAUGGGGCAACAAAGCUAAACUACAUUAUUAAAUAAUUAAAUUUGGGAAAUUAGAUAAUUAAAUUUAGAGAUAAUUAAAUAAUUAACAAUUAAUUAAUUAAAUUUAGAAAUUUGGGAGCCUGGGUGGCUCAGUCAGUUAAGCAUCCAACUUCAGUUCAGGUCACGACCUCACAGACCGUGAGUUCGAGCCCUGCAUCGGGCUCUCUGCUGUGGGCACAGAGCCCACUUCAGAUCUGCUGCUUCCCUCUCUUUCUGCCCCUCCCCCGCUCACCCUCCACCCUCUCUCUCCCUCUCUCUCUCUCUCAAAUUAAAUAAAUACACAUUAAAAUAAAAGAAAUUUGGGAGUGCAAUUGUGAAAACAACCCCAUUUGAGGCAAGAUAAUUGGAUCUCCAACUGGCAGAAGCACAUCAUAAACAGGACUCAGCAAGGCUUUUGGAAAGUAUGCCUUUGGUUAUGGGCAGUUCGAGAACUCACACCCGAGCCACAAUCAUGGUUGAUAAUCAACCUCUUGAGCUGAAAAUUUUCUAGAGUUUGCUUGUAAACUCUAGUUCACUUGGAGAGUAUUUGUGUUUCUUUUGUGACUUGUGUUUUUUUUUUACCCUGCGAAAAAUCCUACACUAUGUUUAAAUGAGAUACUGUUUCCUACCCAUCAAGACUGGCAAAAAUUCGUAAGCUUGGCAUUGUAUUAGUGAGGCUGGGGAAGCAGGCACUUUCAGACGCCGCUGGUGAAUAUGUAAAAUGUUACAAACUCUGUGGGGUGACUCUGUCAAUGUUAGCACUUAUUUUUUGACCCAAGGGUUUACCUUGAAGGCAUGUCUCUUAACAAUAAAAACCGUUUACAUGCAAAAGAUUACUUAUACUGCAAAAUUUUGAAACUACCUACAUGUCCAAGUAUAGGAAACGGCUUGGGUAAACUACAGCACACUCCCCUUAAUGGAAUGCUAUGCAACUGUAAGAAAAGAAUGAGAAAGGUCUCUGGGAACUGAUAUUGAGCGAUUACCAAGAGAUAUUUUUAAGGGGAAAGAAGUGAAGUGCCAAAGAGCAUAUAAACAUGGCGUGCUACCCUUUGUGUAAGAGAGAAGAGGAAAUAAAAAACUAUAUGCAUAUAUUGUGUUAUCUUUACAAAAAGAAACACAGGAAGAAUCAAGCAGAAAACAAUGAAGUCGGCUAUCUCUAAAGGGGUGCUGGAAGGGAAAUGAGGUGAAAGGGCGUGGGAAAGAGGGACACAGAAUUAUUCUUAGAGAAUUCGUUUCUCUAUGCUUUUGCCUUUUGGAAGCACGUCUAUGUACCACGUAUUUUUUUCAAUAUAUAGAAUAUAUGUAAUUAAAUCAACAAGGAUGGGAAAGGGAAAAGAACUUAACACUAAAAGCAAACGGAAACAUACAGACCUUAAGGUGUUUCAGAUAAAUUGCAUAACCACAGAUUUAAUUAUUUUAUGAACGUGGUAUUUGAUUAUAUAGCCUCAGUCUUGGGUGGGAGAGAAGAGCAAACAAACCUUGAGCUUUUUUGAGUAGGUUUCCUUUUAUAGUUGAAUGGACACGGAAAUACUGAAACUGCUUUACAUGUGUUAUUGGAUUCAGUAAAUGAAUAAAUGGGUAUAUUUUGUUGGGAUCCAGGUAUCUCAUUGUGGAGAAGGGACGUAUAUGAAAUGAGAAUAAGAAGAAAAAAACCCCGUGGGGAUAGAUUGUAUUUAUUAUUUAAUGUUAUCCUUAUAAAAUUACGACGUCUAAACUAUGUAUAUUUAAACACACACACACAUUGAUGGACAUGUUUGUUUAUGUACAUGUAUAAACAUUCAUCAUAUAUUUUCUAGUUUUGUCUGCAGCGACAGUCUAGAAGCAACGCCACCCCAACGGCACCUAUAGCAAUUAGUUCAAGGUGAACUCCAAGUUUCUAAUGACCAUUUUCCAACAAAAGGAAUCAGUGCUUCCCGAAGAAACAGCAAGUCCCAGGGCUGGGAUAGAGUAGGCAGAAAAUAAGCCUGGAAUAUUUUGUUAUAUCAGAGAGUAAGGAGAUUAAAACACACAGAAAAAGGUACAGUAUCCACAUUGAAAUGGCUCUCACUGACCAGAUCUGGGACAACUUGAACACCAAAACAAUCAAGGGCACUCAUGAGCUCAUAUUGAUAAUAAACAGAUAAACAAAUAAAUGACGAGAAGGGAGCGCUCUCGCUUACGGUGAUGCUGAGCGCUGACUGGAGAGACGGCUGGGGUUGGGAGCCCAUCAUUUUGCAACCAUCCUAGUAAGGACUAACCCCAGUGGGACAUUUGGACAAGCCAGACCUAGACGUGGGGCCUGCCAUUUCUACGUGCAUUCCGUUGGACAAACCUCAUUGACAUGGCUAAACCUAAUUUCCAGGAAGGCUGGAAAAUGUAUUUUUACUGUGUGCCCAGGGAAGGCAGGGAGAACUCAGACUUUGGUAAGCACUAACAUUCCUUGUCACAAGAACAUGUAUAUGUAUGCUAUUUAUAAUAUUUGUAAAGUUUAAGAGAUUUUGGCACAUUGGAGUAUUGAACUGUGAUAGCUGGCAUCCGAGGAGGCUCUUGUGUAGCCCCACCCCCCAACAUUGUAUCUGGGCUGGCCUGGACUUGUGUUAAUUAACAGAGCUCUGCCCCAGUUCCAGGCCUACCCUUUAGGAAGACUGGUAGUUUCUGCUUCUUCUCUGUUGGAACCUUCACUUUUGGAAGCCAUGUGCCAUGAAAGGAUCCUGGCUUUCCUGCUGGAGGGCACCUGCAGAGAGGUCACAUAAAGAAGAGACUUGGAGUUAAGGGAGAGGGAGAGAGACCCAGCUGUCCUAGCAAUUCCACUCAAGCCUCCAGAUAAUACCAGCCUUGCUGCUAUGAUGACUGCAAAUGGAUGAGAAUUGCCCAGUGAGCCCAGCUGGCCACAGACCCAUGAGAGGAAACAAGAUGGCUGCUGUCGUGAGCCACUGCAUUUGGGGAUGGUUUAUUAUGUAGCAAUAGAUAAUCGAACCCCCGGCAGAUAGGAUUCAUGAUUCCAGUUUAAACUGUGUAAUUGAGUAAUUGAUUUAGAGACGUGUGUGUGUGUGUGUGUGUGUGUGUGUGCAUAAAAACCCACUUUCAAGGAACGCCCAAAUUAUUUUGACAAUUAUUGUGGACAGCCUCAAAGGCGAGGAACUUGAAGCUGAACUAAAUUUUCAGAUUCCCCAGUUUUCAUGCCCUGCCCUUAUCGCGCUUUCCUUUCUCAGCAGGUACCCAACCCUUCCAGGGAAAUUAAGACGGAUUCUUCAGCCAGGCAUGAGAAGCAGAUGUACCUGGUGAAGUGUUUCCUAGCUCUGUAGCAUCCCUCCGGUCUAGUUUAAACAAUAAAGAACAAAUAAGCCCAAGAAAGUGACUUGGCUGGGAGGUCCAUACUAGCUGCCUUAACCCUCUACGGGAGCUUUAGGACCUACUAUUCAUUGGUGAGUUUCUAAAUAUUUCUAAAAUUUCUAGAAUAUUCUAAAAUAUCUCCCGCCCCACACAGGAGGCCAUUCUAGAACGCAUUCAUGGACUUUCCUCUCCAGUUGGUCCAGGACACUCAUUAUGUGGUUGGUUAACUGGCUUUUGUCCCUACUUAUUCCGUGUGGGACAAUUUUAAACACCCCUUUCAGGGAAGAAUUAUAUCUGCUCCUAAUAGGACAUCCUUGUCCUGGAGCUGUGUCACCACCAUAACUGAGACAGAGCUCGGGGCCCAGAAACAUGACAACACGUUUGGCAGAUUGUAUUACAGAGAGAGAGAGAGAGAGGAAUUUCAGAAACCUGACCUCAGAAUUCCAAAAUUCCGAGUUAGGGCUAAGAUUUUCCACAACGGGUUUUGUUUUCUGGAGGGGGAAAGAUUAGGCCUGGACACCCUCGAAAGAAACAGUUUACAAGGGCUUAUUCCUCGGCAGGUGAGGACAGAUGAUUCACCUCUACCAACGACAUGCAGGUGUGUCCCGGGGGCAGACUCCAUCUCUGAAGACAGAAAGAGCCAAGCACCCCGCGUAUGGAAAAAGCAGGCCAGGAAGCCAGUUGCCAGCCUAACCCAGAGGCGGUACUAGAAGGGCCCCGACACCCCCGAUGACCCAAUCCUCCCAGGCCACCGGGCUAAUUAUAAGAAAGCCUAGCAGAGAGUCCGUUGCGAAAGGUGGGUACUGCCUACAUCUUUGACUUCGGCUAGAUUAGGGCAGGAAGAACAAGAAACCCCUCGGGGUGAAGUUAAAAGCCAUCCAAAGCCCCACGGAUCAUUCAAAGGGGUGGGGGGUGGGGGUGGGCGCUGGAGAGGCGCAGAGAAAGAGGAAAGAGGAAGGAGGAGAAACAGGAAAGGGAAGGAGGAGGAAGGAGGGUUUAUGUGAAGCGAUGUCAAUAGCUAUAUUUGGUGUCUACUUAGGCAGCCAAUCAUUUAUUUCCAGGCGGGCAGAAUCACUUAUUCUGCCCUGCUGUCUGUGUGAAAUCUCAUGCACACUGCACGGAAGUGGAAUAGAUUACUGCAGGGCCGGGGGGGGGGGGGGGGGGGGGGGGGGCGAGGAGGCGGUUAACCCACGCUCUUCAGGAAUGGCGGUGCCAGUCUCUCUGUGUAGGAAGUACUCGGGAUAGUAAUUUAGUUGGAAAAGGGUGGCAGGCCAGGAGGCUUGCAUGGAAAUUGCACUUGAAUCUGAGAACAGUUUUUUUUUUUUUCCCUGACUUCUAUGGUAUGCUUUAUUUGUGAUGGGUUGGAAAGGGAUCGAAAGUCUCCCCCCAAGUCUCCCCGAUCUCCCCCUUUUCCCCAUCUGUGGCACCUCUCAGAAUGGGCCCCUGCCCUUGCCAAAUGGAGAGAAUGGCUCUCUGUGUCCUUGGCCGAACUGGCCGACAGGACAGAGGAUAAACUGACCAUGGACCAGAAGUCAGCCCCCGGCACUCCUGGGACCUUCGUGGACUUGAGCACGCCCCUCUCUACUGACACUGUUGAUUACUGAUUGAAAUUUUCUUUUGGG